RNAcentral lists this long non-coding RNA (98119 nucleotides) under Capsella rubella. Its description in RNAcentral is "long non-coding RNA (CRUB_LNC004625)". The stretch from base 72807 to 72938 matches the Rfam family "Small nucleolar RNA snoR111". The record is from RNAcentral. Lineage: Eukaryota; Viridiplantae; Streptophyta; Magnoliopsida; Brassicales; Brassicaceae.
CAAAAAACCGUGUGUCAGAAAAAACUAAACUGCUUCUAAAUUUUGCAGAAGACAUCACUCUGUGGUAAAUGUAAAUAAUGACCUGAAAACAUAUGAGAUGAGGAGAAUGAAGCUGAAUAAGGUGACCGAUAGCUCUCAUUCUUGGUUUCAACUCAAGGUCUUCACGGAACCAAACAUUGUAGGUUAAGAUCUUCAAACAAGAUAGAGAUGUUCCUGAAUCAGAAGCUACCCCUAGGUCCCCCCCUACAAUGAAAAAUUGACAAAAAAAAGUAAAGACUUCUACACUGAGGAACAAUAGAAAGCAACCAUUAACAUUUAUAUAUCAUCAAGCUGAACGAGUAGAAACCUAAAACCUCACACAAGUUAGUAGCAAACAAAAACCAAUAUGAAGCCAAGUUUUGAUGAAACACAACAUCACACAGUAACUGAUAAUCUAAAUUAAGAGCUAUCAACUAAUCCGGGAAUACCAAAAGAUCUAAAACCUUAGGGAGUAGUAAAAAACUGACCUUUGCUUUCAAUUUCUUUGUUUUUCUUCAUAAUACCAGGAACAACAGAACCACUACCAAUCUCAACGACGUCAUCAUCCAUAGCCUUACGCUUGUUGUUACACCGCCGAAGAGGGAAAAAAACAGAGCCGACGGAGGAAUCAGGGUUAUUACUAUCGAGACCCGAAUCAGUCAGUUCGUCGAAGCCCAGUAGAGAAGACGUGGGGGAUCGCGUUCCACAGACGUCGCAGAUUGAGUUCUUGUACGUGUUCAGAAAAGUACAGGCCUUGCAAGCCCACUUUGCUUCAUCGUUCGUGGAGACAGAGAGAGAAGGAGACGGAGAAGGGAUAGAAGCGGGAGUCAAACAGAUCACGCAAUUGAGUUUCUGAGAUGGCGAAUUGAGGAAAGUACAUUUGUUGCAGGACCAAGAUGACGAGGGAGACGAUGACGACAUUGCAAGAGUUGUGAGGAUUCUGAAAAUUUGGGUUUUUAACAUUUACCCUAAUUCCACAUUUCCGAUUACGCUUUUUGUCGCUUAGGUUCCAUUUAACGGCUACAAGCAAAUGAUUCUCAAAUUCAAAGUUUAAAAGGUGAACCGUAAUUAAACCGAAACUAACCGAAUCGAGCCGUAAUUUGAAAGGGGAAGACACAGCAUGUAACAAUGUCAAUAACAUUCAAGGAAGACAGGUUUUAUACAAAAAUUUUAUUCCCACAAACAAGAAUACAAGAGACUAAAAUGGUCUAACAAAUAAAACAACAAAUUACAAAAUUACAAUAUAAUAGAGUGUUUUAAGUCCUAAAAUUGUAACUCUGCCGACACCUUCAUAGGCCAGUGGUGUUGCCACUGUGACCUGGUUUGGUAGUAUGGCAAUGGAGUUCUCUGAGUGACUCAAACUGAGUCCAUUUCCCGUCAUGGGAUUAAAGUGGGGGAUUCAUCAGAGUUAAAGACUUGUCACUCACCGUGGAAAAAUGAUAAAUCACCAGAAGGGAAACAAAAUAGAAGAUGUUACAAGAAUCAUGAUACUGACGUAGAAGCCUCUUGAGAGACUCCUUGAGGUGGUUUCACCUGCGGCCACUUGAGUUGAAUUCACCACUGUCUGUGUCCUAUUUCCGACUUUCUUGCUGCAAAAUAUCUCAUUGAUUAACGGAAGCUUUAUAAAUGUAUCACGUAUAGUAGAAGUAUAGAUAAUGUGUUUUCAAAGGGAGUUGUUAUACACACAAAAAACACUUUCAUACCUUCCCGGGAAAAUGCAGCUUCCAUGACCUGAAAACAUAUGCAGCUUUCUGAUUUAGAACCUUUUAUAGUGAAAGACGUGAUAGAGGAGACAGACUUUAAAUCUAGUUAAUAACAUUUACAAUUUUACACAACAAGGAUAUGAUCUUGACAAAAAAAACUGUUAUAGCCUGCUUAUGAACCAAAUGAUAAACAUAAAGUUGAUAAGAGUUGAAUAGGGAUGAGAAGGUACAAGAAGGCAUAGGCGUUUUCUAAGACCGUAUGGUUGUAGUAGAUAUCUUGAGAUUUCCAAGAAAAAGAACACGCUUUUACUGAAGGUGAUUUCCAAACAAAUUUAGAGAAUCAAGAGCACAAGAACCUUUCUUUGAGGACUAGCUUCUAUGUAUGGAUGCAAAGUUUGGUUAACACUGGUCUAGGACAUGUUAUAUGCAUACAGUGAUUAGGAACCAAACCGAGGAAGGAAAAGCUUCAAAGUCACACAGGUUUUAGCAUAUGAGAAAUUACUAAGACUCUAUUCUGGCACAAGACCAGCUCCUACAGACUUUUCCAACUUAGGAUCUAAACUCUCACCAACUCAGAUGGGGUUUCUUGAUUGUCGUAAGUCUAUUAUUAUAAGAUCUCCAAACACUGAAAAGAAGAAGGAAUAAGCUUACUUGGGUCUGUAGUAGUGAUCAUUGCCACACCUUUGAAGUCACAUGAACCAGAAGCUCUUCCUUCCUUCUGGUAAUAACUAUUAAAGGCAAAUGAAGCAUGGCCCUUCACGUUAUUCGGCUGAUAACAACUCUCUCCAGGUUGAAUCUCACUACAAUUAGAUCUCCCGGGUCCACAAGCCCAAUCCAAUGCAGCUUGAAGGGUCUUAGCAUCCACACCAUCCAUAGCAAUGCAGUAAGUCUGGUUUGUUGUAUCAUUUGCUAAGAAUGUUCCACUUCCAGAUACAUGAAGCAAAUAAACCGGUGUAGAGUUCCCGUAGAAUAAUCCCCAGCUAGCUUCACUAACAGGAGGAGACCUCAAAUCCUCGUUAAACAGCUCAUAAAUGUAGACACUUGGGGUCAUCUCAGGAUGCAUAGGAGUCCCGGUUCUAUCGAAUAUAUGCUUGAUCAAAUUGGAGUUGUAUGUAUCAGCAUUAUCGAUAGUAGCAUAUGGCUCUUUCGAAUCACCUUCUGAAGGCCAACCGCUCUCGGUCACAAGCACAACUACAUCAGACACAUUCAAGUUUUUCAUGGAGACAUAAGCAGCAUCCACCAUAGCAUCAAGCACAUUAGUGUAAUGCAACAAAGUAUUGGGAUCAACCAUUUCUUUAGACGGUGUCAAGGGCUCGAACAAACAGUUAUCAAGCGGAACCACGCCUUUGUUCUGCAUAUAGACAUAGUAAGGAUACAGAUUCAUCAUCAAAGGAGAACCCGUUUUCGACAAGAACUGAAGCAAUGGAACCAUAAUCGAAUGCCAAGUCUGGUUAAAGUAAGCUUGAGAAGGCGGGAAAGUAUCGAGCAUGAUGGAAGCUGCGUGAGGCGUAGAGACCUUGAUUUGAGUGUGGAGAUUGGAAGCAACAAGAGCAUUGUAUAAAGACUCAAUUGCAGGUAACAACAAAGGAGCCGAAGAAGGCACAGUAGUUAAAACCUCAUCUCCAACAGAAAUGGAUGUGAUUAAGGUCUCAGGGUAAUAAGCAACCACAUUCCGACCAAUCCACGAAGCAGCAGUACUGUUGGAGGAUCCAAUUGCGAGAAGCUGAUUGUUUGGUACACUGAUUAUGACCCGUAUCUUGGUUUUAGCAAAAGCUUUGAGCAAUUCCGGAUCAGCAUCGUAUAAACGGACGUGAUUCACUUUCUGAGUUUGUAAGAAUUUGACCAGUUCCGUCGGCGAGAGCAUAUUAGAGACAUCUGUGCCGAUGUUGAAUCCAACAAAUGGAUCUUUGUCUUGUUCCUGAACCUUAAUAUCGUGAGAUAAAGACGACGAACUCGCUGCAUAUAGAAAAGCAAGAAGCUAGUUAAAAAUCGAAACUUGGCAAUGAUUUCUAGCUAAAAACUUAGAAAUCAGUUAAAAAAAGUGUUUUGUCUAGAUUUGGAUUCGAAAGAAAGAAAAAAAGCAAUCUUUAGCCAAGUGUUAACUCAAUAGAAAGCAGAAAAAAAAAACAUUCUUUAUUUUAAAAGUACAUAAAGUUCGUCAAUUUGGGGGAAUUAGAACUGCAAUGUGUGAGUUUUAGGAAACUUACAAGAAAUCAAAAGAAGAGUGAAGAGGAGAAAGAAGAGAACAGGAACGGUGGAAACCAUGUUAGUGACAGCCAUUGAAGAGGAGCUUGAAGUUAUUGCGCAACAACUCUUCCCCUUCAGAUUCAGAGUCAGCUAAAGGUUCUUGCAUUAUCUUCCUAGAGAUUUAUUGAUGUACGGUUGAGAUAAUAACCUAAAGAGAAACGGAGAAGAAGAAGAAGAAGAAGAGAGAUUAGACAACAUAUUAAGGGGUUUUAGGGACGAAAGAAAGAUUUAUGUCUCUGAGCUUCCACGUGAACCGACUCUGCUCGCUCCUCCCCACACAACUGGUUUUUUGCCUCAGACCAAAUAUGAAAUUACUGUAAUACCCUUGAGUUCUGAUAAAGCACCACCAGCUAGACAUCACUUAUGUAAUCUUUUAAAGAUUUUGGUCCAUUUUAAUACUUAAAAUAUAUAUAUAUAUAUAUAUAUAUAUAGGCAUAUAGCUCCCACAAAUUUUGUAAAAAGCAAGAUGAAUUGUUUGUUUAUUGUUUGUAGUUGUAUGUACACAAUACCUCUCAAACUUUUAUAAUCAUAAAAAGGUUAAUUUUCAUUCGUCAUUAUUAACUAUUUUGGUUUUAGUAUUGGCUUGAAAUGUUGGUGUUGACCUCAUGUGGUAAGUGAAAGAAAAUAACAAUGCCCUUUAGUAUAUAUUAUAUAAGUGAUGUUUAGGAGUUUUCUCUAUGUAAUUAUUUGUUUGGUCAUUGAGAUAUAUCCAUCAAAAACAUUGAAUUACAAGUUAAGACAACAUUGGAAUACAGUACAAGAUGACAACCCAUGCUUUGGUUGAAUAGCUUAGAAGACGGUGGUCCAUUUUAUUUAUUUGUUGAUGACACAUUUUUCUCAUCUCAGCAAAUUAAAUAACUAAAUAGAUGUUUCAAGAAGAAAUAUUGAAUGAACGUGGAAAAAAACUUUAAAUUAGAUGUGAGAAUGAAAAUAAUAUUAUGACUUCAUAAGAUCAUGAGUUAUAUACUUAUCAAGUAUAUGCUAAUCAAGUAAUCAUCUCACUCUCAACUAGUUUACAUGCGUCAAUAUUCAACUGUUUUAUAUGAAAAGUUAUCAAAAAGUAUGAAGCCCUCAGAAUUGUAUAAAAAGAUUAAUCAAUCGUGUUAGGCUAAAUCUUUUAGCAUCAACUAAAAUAUGUUAAACUAAAAGAUAAAUCAUGUAGACAAAAUGAAUACAUUUGUCUCUUUUUUUUAUAUAACACUUUUAUAGAGUUUUCUGGUCGAGCAAUGAAAACGACGAAGAAAGAAAAAUAAGCACCCGACAAAAACAUAUUUGUUCAUACAAACAUCUAUCUGCGCAGAAAUCCGUAUGCAACUUUUUUUUUUUUUGAUAAACAAACAAAAACUCAGAGAAAGAGGAAAGAUUUAUGGAGAGUUUAAAAGUGUAAGAUUCCCUCGUUAUAACUUUUAGGCCUUAAAUUACAUAUUUCAAUUUCCUUGAAUCAUGAAAAUUAUAAUAAUCUUUCAAUAAUGUGACUGGAGACAAUAUGAAAAGAAACGAAGACGACUAUACUAUUAACAGAUUCUGAAUUUUUGAAAAUAAAAAAAAGUAAAAAAUCAAUGAACCGUGACACUUUUUUGGCUGUGUCUAGCAAUGAUUAAUUCUACAGUUAUAUUUUUUUUAAAAAUAGAAAAGACAUCAAAUUUAUUAAAAUUCAAUUGUAUAAGAAUAACGUGGCUUUCUAACUCGAUAGGGUAACUAAGUUUUGCGUGUGUGUUGCCUUGCUCUCGUAGCUCGUGUGGCCAGCGACGGUACCAAAGAUGCAACGCUUGACAUGUUCGAUGCUCGAGCAAGGCAGACAGAGAGAGAGAGACAAAACAAAAGAUAAAAUUAAAACAAAACAAAGCUUGCUUUGACAACAUAUGAGGUAUUCUAAAAUAUCUCUUUUUUUUUUUCUUUUUUUUUGCGUGGCUCUUGGCAAAAAUGCCUUUCAAAGAUCACAUGAAACACGAUUCUACUUGAACUUGAUUCCAUCUCUAUGCUGAGUCUGUGGUGUCAUCAACACUGUCUAGUGGACUAGUAGUAACAGAGCAACGUUUUAAAAACACCUGUUUCACGAGGCCACGCGUCGUGCUAUAACAGGGCUGUUAGAUUUUAACCAUAACGGUCGCUCACGAUCUUUUCACAAUAAUGCAUUCAUCCAUCGGUUGUAAUGCGUCCGUGAUCAUCGCACUAUAUCACAGGCAGUAGCAGAAACAUUAUCAGCAACCUGCUAUUAAACUCUAUUUUAUUUCUCUCUGCUGUGUUGUGUCAUCAGUCAUCACCUUCAAACUCUAUUUAAAGUGACGAUCUUUGCCUAAACAUUUCAGUGAAUCGAGUGGUUUAGUUUUUUCGUUCCGUACAUCUUCUUCGCAGGUGAGGUGAGAUUCUUGUUUUUGUUGUUUGCAGAUGAUGAUCUAACAUUUCGAUAAUCAUGUCCUCUCCUCUAAUCGCGUUCAAAAGUUUUGUGAUUUUGAAAUCUGUUUCUUCGAUUCCAUUGAUCCAUUUCGUUCUAUCAAUCCGGUGUUAUCCGGAUCUGAUUUUGAGUAGGAUUCGUGAAUCAAAGUGUUGUUUUUGAUUGAUUUUUGUGUUACGAUGAUCAUUGAGAAAUAAAAAAAUAGUGUGAUUCGUGUUAGUCGAUUCUUGCUCACAUUUCAAUGGGUGCUAUAGAGUAGUUAUAAUAUGCAUGUUUUGGUGAAUCAUGUGGUGUUGAGAUUAAUGAUAUUGGGGUUUAUGUAAAUUUGAGACCUUUUUGGGUUGCAAAUGCAUAUGGUGUUGAGAUUAGUGAUUUGUUUUAUAGGAUUUAACGGUGUUCGUUCACUAAAUUUAUAUCAGGAGAGAGCAUUAGGGAAAAAUGAAUGAGAUUCCUUGCGCCUCCAUGUUGAGGCUGUGUCACUGUUUUAUCUCGAUUUGUAGUGUUCACUUUGUUUCCAUGAUAGCAGCUGAAUCAAGUUUUGUUUUUAGAAACAUGGCUGAGGCUUCUGACUUGUUGGAUUGGCCUAAGAAGGACAACCGUCGUUUUCUCCAUGCUGUCUACCGCGUUGGUGAUCUUGAUCGCACCAUCCAGUAUGUCUCUAUCCCCUUCCACCCUGAUACCCUUGUGAUCUUCAUUUUGAUGUGACAGGAUUUGAUGAUGUUCUUUAUUUCUCACCAGGUUUUACACUGACUGCUUUGGUAUGAAGCUGUUGAGGAAAAGAGAUAUCCCUGAGGAGAAGUAUUCUAAUGCUUUUAUGGGAUUCGGACCCGAAACAUCUAACUUUGUUGUGGAGCUGACAUAUAGUAUGGCCUCUUUCACUCUCUGUUCCCUGUUAGCAUUGAUUCAUAUUUAUAGCUUUCAAAUAUCAACUUAUGUGCUUUUUUCAUUGAUUCAUAUUCAUUUCUUUGUUUUGCAGAUUAUGGAGUUAGCUCAUAUGAUAUUGGAACUGGAUUUGGGCAUUUUGCCAUUUCAACUCAAGAUGUAAGUCGUCCUACUUUGUGUUUGGAUAUCACGAAUCAACAUAUGCGUGUGAAGCCCUGAACUGAGACAUGGAAUAACCCUCUUUUCUUUAGGUUUCCAAAAUUGUUGAGAACGUCCGUGCCAAGGGUGGAAAUGUCACUAGGGAACCUGGUCCAGUCAAAGGUGGAAACAGCAUCAUUGCGUUUGUGAAGGACCCUGAUGGUUACACUUUUGAGCUCAUCCAGAGAGGUCCAACUCCUGAACCACUCUGUCAAGUCAUGCUUCGUGUUGGUGAUCUUGACCGUGCCAUCAAAUUCUAUGAAAAGGUAAUGAGUGAAAAGGUUGUCUUAAUGUUUGAAUAUUCAUUAGUAGUGUUAAACUUCACUUCUAAUUCCCUGCAGGCCCUUGGGAUGAGACUCUUGAGAAAGAUUGAGAGACCUGAAUACAAGGUGAAGUAACCAGUGAUGCAAUGUAGACAAAUACUUUACCUUUUUCAGCUACUUUUGGAUUUAUCUGAGUGUUUUAUAUUUGUUGGAUGAAACAGUACACCAUAGGUAUGAUGGGAUAUGCUGAAGAAUACGAAUCCAUAGUUUUGGAGCUGACAUACAACUACGAUGUGACUGAGUACACAAAGGGCAAUGCGUAUGCACAGGUAUGGGCUCUAGACAUGCCUCUGUUGCUUUAGGUUGUCUUUAAAACCGGUUCGUGUUCAUUCAUUUGAUAAUUAAAUGAUUUAAUGUGAUAAACAGAUUGCAAUAGGUACUGAUGAUGUGUACAAGAGCGGUGAAGUUGUGAAGAUAGCCAACCAAGAGCUAGGAGGAAAGAUCACUAGAGAAGCCGGACCCCUUCCUGGAAUCGGCACCAAGAUUGUCUCAUUCCUCGAUCCAGAUGGCUGGAAAACGGUUAGUAAUCUAUAAAAAUGUUUGGCAGAUUUAGCAAUUUUGGUAUAUAAGAUUCCACUUCUGACAAUGAAACCUUGGAAUUUUUUGAUUAAGUGUUUGAAAGGUUUGGUUGUUAAAAUGACAGGUACUGGUAGACAACAAAGAUUUUCUCAAGGAGCUGGAAUGAGGAGAGCUAUGAUGGUCGAGAUCACGAAACCAUUCUCAGAAAAAAUGUGAUCGUAAAAAUAAAGGAAGCUUCUAGUAUUUGAUCUAAAAUAAGAGGAAUGUGGUUUUAGUUUUGUGUCGUGCUUUGUGUGCUUGUUCCUUUUGUCUUUGAGACUUUGAGCUAAACUCUCUACUAUGAACUUGAAUAAUAAUAUUUCCACCACCUUGAGGCUUUGGUGUGCUCUUUUCGGUUAUGGACGGUUUAGUAGAUAAUCGGUUUACUGGAUAAUUUUACGUACAAAAUCGGUUUACGGGAUAUGGCACGUCAAUGUCCGUGAUCUCUCUAUAAGGUGCAACAGAGAGCGAUAAGGGAAAAAUAAAAUUUCAUUAAAAUUCAACUCUAGUGUACAAAGAGUUGUGUGUUUAUAUACAUUGAUAGAACUUAAACAACCUUCUUAGCCAAUAACACCCAAACAUGGAGUAAAAAAUCAUAGUUUGGAUACAAUAUAUAUGCCUUAAGUAUUCAUGAUUCAACGUAACUAAAAUAUAUAUGUUCAAUAUAUGCAGUCACAUGAAAACACGGCCACUACCGCAAAAAAUAAGAAGAUCUCAGAUUAGUUGGCUAUAUUAAUGGAGUUUGGAUCUACCUACUUUAUACUACAACUAUUAUUCGAAUUUUGAAAGCCAUUUAUAUAUAAAACAUUCCAUACUCACUACGUAACCGGUCGGUUCAAAGUAUUUCUAACCCUAUUAUAGUAUCUUUCUUCUCUCUCAAUACACUUAUACACAUAUAUGCAUGAGCAUGCUGAUGCUUGCAGAAGUUCGAUCAAUUAUAGGAAUAAGCCGGUUAGAAGAGAACCAAUUAAACUUAAACGUCAACCGGUUAAGUUAGGUUAGAGCGGAUGUGAUCUCCAUAGGUGUCUCAAGGAUCAUGUGUGUGUAUGUAAAUUUGAUUUUGGAUUUGGGACCAAAAGUAGCAUAGUGGUAUGUUUCUUUUGGCCUCCCAAUUAAUUUUAUCCAUAGAAAAACGGUUGGGUUGUUGUGGGUCUUUUCAUGUUCGUAUCUAUAACCUAACCAUCACGGCAUCUAAAUUUACACAUUUUUAAGAUCUAUAUAUAUGUUUAUAAUUAAGCUUCGAUAUUUGCAUCUUGCUAGAAAAAAUAUGAAAAGUGAUGAUGACAACAAUAAGAUGAAAUCACUGGACUAGAAAACCAAAUAAAGUGUUUUAAGAAUGUUCGUUUUGUUUAUAUACAAGAGAUGAUGAUCACAUCCAUAUUUUUUAAGAUAUGUUAAUAAUGUAAGAAUUGCUCACGUACGUUAGAUAAAGUUGUCGUUUCCAUGCAUUACGGUUUAUGACGAUUUACUUUACAAGAUUCUAGAAACUAAAAUUGAUGCUAAUUAGUUUAACCUUUUUGUAUAGAUAUACAUUUCGUUGGACAUGUGUAGUAGUAGGCAUGUCAAUCGGGCUAGCCCGGCUCGGCCCGACCCGAAACCCGUAAAGCCUUCAUAUAUGUGAGCCCGGUCCGGUUCGGCCCAAAAAAUUUCCGAGCCUAUAUUUCAAAGCCCGGCCCGGCCCUAACAGGGCUACAGAGCUUUUCGGGCUUUUUUGGGCUUUAUUUACCGAUAAAAAAUCAAUUUCUAAGUUCAUAAUAAUUUUUAAAAACUAUAUUUAAAGGUCUACUAUAAAAAUAAUGCAUCAAAUUUUAAACAACUUAUCAAUAUGCAAUAAAACUAACUUAAUUUAAGAGAAAAAAAUAAAAUCCAAAUAAAUUAUUUACACUUUAACCCAAUAAAACAUGGAACUAAAAUACUUUAAAGUAUAAGAUAGAGUCAAAAUUUAAUAGAUAUUUUGAUGAUUUCAAAAUCAUGAUACUUAUAUAUAUUUAGUUUUAGCUUUGUAUAAAGAUUUUAAAAGUAAUAAGUAAGACUAGUAAGUAAAUUUGAAAACUAUAACAUUAAUCAAAUCUUUUAAUCAAACUAAAAUAUUCAAAAAAUUCACAAUAUAUUUGUAUAAGGGCUUUUCGGACCGGCCCGAGCCCGACCGGGCUAAGCCCAAAAAUUCCUUUAGCCCGAAUGGGCUUAGCCCAAAAGGCCCGGUUUUUUCUGGACAUAUAUAUUUAAGACCGAGCCCGAUGUUUUUCAGGAUCGGGCCAAACUAGCCCGCGGGCUUUAUCCCUAAUUGACAUGCCUAUGUAGUAGACUAAUUUAUAUAGUGUAUAAGCUACAUUGUAAUUCUACUCAUACAAGAUCGUCAUAGAUCCGUAUUCAAUUGCAUUUAUUGCACACAAACAUUACAUAUGUGUGUGUGUAUACAUAACUGCCUAUAUAUGGUCUUGUAACACAACUCAGUAGUUCAACAUAAACAAAAAGAAUUUGAACUAACAAAGCCCAAAACAUGAAAACCACCUUUACUAACUUUCUUGUGCUUCUCCUCAUUGCACUUGUUUGUGCCAAUGUUGGUGCUAGGAAACUUAUGUCCGGAGGUACCCAAUUCAAGGAUGAAAAAUCUUUCCUCGGAGGCGGCGGUAACGGUGGUGGCCUAGGGAUUGGCCUUGGUGGAGGAGCUGGUCUUGGUGGGCUGGGAAUUGGAGCCGGAGCUGGACUAGGGUUAGGUGGAGGUGGAGGCGGCGGUGGUGGAUUUGGUGGGGGUGGUGGACUCCUCGGUGGAGGUGGCUUCGGCGGAGGAGCAGGUGGCGGACUCGGUGGUGUUGGUGGCCUUCCUUGAACGCAUUGUCAAAUGUCAAGUGUGUGUGUGAGAGAUCAUUCUCAGCUUAUUCUACUAAUUAAAAGUCACUUUCAUAUUGUCUUAAUAAAUUACCUUCAAUCUUUGGAUUUCAGCUUUUAUUUAAACUUCAAUAUUUGAAUCAAGAAACGUCUUAGCUACUAGAGUUACGUAACUAGAGGUAAUGCUCGUAAUCGUAUUAUGUGUAACGCUGGUUCAGAUAUGAUAAGUGCAAGAGUGCAACGUUACUUUUUAUACACUGGCAUUACAUUUUUUUUCUUUCUUAAGUACAGCUAAAUAAAUAAAAAGAGAUUAGCUAAAUAAAAAUAAAAACAAAAAAACAAAAAAAAAUCCCAUAAUUUCAUCGAGAACUACAUUAUCACACUAACUACAGCAAGGGGCGGAUCUAGAAAAUUUGUUCAAUGGGGGCAAAAAUAUAGUAAAAAAACUAUCAAAUACUAAAUUAUAAAAGACAUAAAAUUGUCAUGUAAAAACUUUAAAAUAUCUUAGAAAACCACUCAGACGCUCAUUUAACAAUUGAAACCUUUUUACCACAUUUUCAUUUGUGACAGAUUCAAAUAAUUAAAAACAAAAAAACAUGUUAUUAAUUAAAAAUUUUGAAAAUUUUGAAUUUAUAGUAUUUUAAAAUUUAUUAAUUUUAAAAUUUUGAAUUAUGUAACAAACUUUCAUAAAAGCUUAACCAUAGAAUAAACAUAUAAACAAUUAUCACUCCAAAAACUAAUAUAGUCAUGUAUAACAUAAAAACCUAUAUAAUGUUUUCCAAGAAACAUAGUUAUAAGCUUGAACUGAUUAAAUAAAGAGAAUUUUUGAGAAAUACCCCUUUUGGUGUACCCCUUUUUAAAAAUACCCCCUUUAUCUAUCCAUUUUCAAAAAUGCACCUUUUUAAAUAUAAAAAAUUAUAAAGUUUUAUAUAGUUUAUAAGGUACUUCUAUAUAAUAACUACUACUGGGAGAUUCGAUACAAAUAUUUUAAAAUGUUUUAAAUAGUUUUAAAUCAUUUUUAUAAGUUUUAUAAGGUUUUUAAAAGGUUUUUAAAAGGGUUUAUAAGGUUUUUAUAAGGUUUUUAUAAUUUAUUUUUACGCUAUUUAUGAAAAGUGUAUAAAGUUUUCGACACAUAUAAAGGUAAUUUGUGUAUAUAUUUAUAAGCUUACACACAUAUUUGGAUAAAUUUCAACAUUUUUAAUGGGGUUUUUGAUAAAGUUUGAAAAGGGGGUAUUUUUAAAAAGAGGUAUAUGAAAAGGGGUAUUUUUGAAAUUCCCUCUUAAAUUAAACUAACUGACAAAAAAUAAUGCUUAUAUAAUAGAAACGAUUGUAAAAAAGCCGAAAAAUAAACUCACAAAUUGAUAGUUGUUGAUUUGUUGUCACACAAAGAAACCAAAUGACUAAAAAAGAAGAAAAUAACAAAAAAUUAGGUAUAGAUUAGUAAGUCUUUAAUUUAUAUAUUAAUAUAUAUUUUUUUGGUACAUGGAUUAAUGGGCUUUACAAAAAAAGGCUGAAAAGUAGUUUUUUUGGUGGGAACAGAUUUUGUUUUUAAUAAUAUUUAAUAAUAAUUUUUUUUUUUUUUUUUGCUGGUGGCAGCUGCCCCUACCACCUUAUAUGUGGGUCCGCCCCUGACUACAGCAACUAUAAAAUUUGAUUGGAGUAUUGGACACAAGGUUAGACAAUAUGACCAACUAAAGGUUGCAAGAACCAAAUCAAACUAAAGAAAACUGUCAAACUUUAUUAGCUCCCAAUUCAUUUAUAAUUGCAGAUGUGAGAUUCUUACCAAAAACCGUAUAUAACCCAAAGAAAAGUGUUCGAAAUGCCGAUGAUGACAUGAGAUUGAUGGUUGCAGCCUUGCAGGGAACACAAGAUUUGCAAUGAACAUAAUGCUAAGUAACAUAUAAGCAAACAACAAGUAUAAAAGCAGCUUUUGAUUGUAUCACAUCUCCAUAGUAGUUGAAAUGUGUCUUGAAUACAUGAUAACUGAAUCAAUCCAUGACCAAAAGAAGUGUUAUUUUGAAUCCAACCAUAUUCAUAUUAAAACAAGGUCCUCAAUUCCUUCUGCAAUAACAUGGAUACAUAAAAAAACGUCUACAACUCCAAAAUUCUGAUAAGAAAAUACUAACAAGAUCAGGCAUGUUCCUUUGUGUGUUUUAAUUUUCUUUUCAUAUGCAAUACUUUUAUGUUAAUCUUUUUGCUAUUUAAUAAUUUAGAAAACUAAGAAGAUAAAGAUUGAAGAAUACGCUUCAGUGGCAAAGUCUCAAUCUUUGUAAGAUUUCUACGCUACCCAUUUCAGUUUCUUAUGUUUCUUUCCACAGAAUCGUUUAUAGUAGUGUAUCAGGAAUCUGGAAAACGCUCCAGUGGCAAAGUGUCAAUCUUUGAGUUCGAUCUCAUUGCGAUUAUUAUGUUCCCAGAUUGUUUCAGAUGUUAUAUAAUGAAUCUGAAUCUCAUAGUUGAUGAUUUAUGGAUUGAAAAAUGUUAUCUUUUAUUGUUGUCUAGAGAUUGUAUUGCUUUGAUAUGAAUCUCCUUUCUUCUUCCAUGGGUUAAGAGUUUAUCAAUGUCAAUUCACUGAAUCCAGUUGAAUUUGAAAAAUGUAUUUGUGGUAUUUGAUUUUGAGUAUUCUUGGAUCAAAAUCUUAUGUAGCUUAAGGAGAAGAUGAGAGGUGGUAGUCUAUGGCAGCUAGGGCAAUCCAUAACACGUCGUCUUGCUCAAUCUGACAAGAAGGUUGUGUCACGCCGUUACUUCGCGUCUGAAGCCGACCUGAAAAAGACCGCUCUUUACGACUUCCAUGUCGCCCAUGGCGGAAAGAUGGUUCCUUUUGCUGGUUGGAGUAUGCCAAUUCAGUACAAAGAUUCUAUCAUGGACUCAACGGUUAACUGUAGGCAGAAUGGGAGUUUGUUUGAUGUUGCUCAUAUGUGUGGUUUGAGCCUUAAGGGCAAAGACUGCGUUUCUUUUCUUGAGACACUUGUGGUUGCUGAUGUGGCUGGUUUGGCUCCUGGAACCGGGAGCUUGACUGUGUUCACAAAUGAGAAAGGCGGUGCAAUUGAUGACUCGGUGAUUACCAAAGUGACAGAUGAACAUAUCUAUUUGGUAGUGAAUGCUGGUUGUAGGGAUAAGGAUUUGGCUCACAUUGAAGAACACAUGAAAGCUUUCAAAUCCAAAGGAGGUGAUGUCUCGUGGCAUAUCCAUGACGAGAGAUCUCUUCUCGCCCUUCAGGUUUGGCUAUUACUUUUGAACCAAAAGAUUGUUCCAUUUGCUGUUCUGUUAUUGCUGUAUACUCAUAGAUACAGUACAUUGCAAUCUUAUACCUUGUGAUGUAGGGUCCUUUGGCUGCUCCGGUGCUUCAACAUCUGACUAAGGAAGACUUGAGCAAGCUUUACUUUGGGCAGUUCCAGAUUCUGGACAUUAAUGGUUCUACAUGUUUCCUUACUAGGACCGGGUAUAAUGUCAUGUUUCAUUAUCGUUUUGAGUCAGAUGCUAUAACACAUAUCUGUUUUUUGGUUCAAGUAGACAGUAGCUCAAUAGAAAGAGUUCUGAAGAUCACGUAGGUAAUGAUUGUGUCUGUUUGUGGAUUUCAGGUAUACCGGGGAAGAUGGGUUUGAGAUUUCAGUUCCAUCUGAGCAUGCAGUGGAUCUAGCGAAAGCAAUCUUGGAGAAAUCCGAGGGUAAGGUAAGGCUUACAGGUCUAGGAGCAAGAGACAGUCUCAGGUUAGAAGCAGGACUUUGUCUAUAUGGAAACGACAUGGAGCAACACAUUUCUCCUGUUGAAGCUGGGCUCACAUGGGCAAUAGGGAAGCGUAGAAGAGCCGAAGGUGGAUUUCUUGGCGCGGAUGUGAUUCUCCAACAGCUUAAAGACGGACCUACAAUCAGAAGGGUCGGUUUUUUCUCCUCAGGACCACCUGCAAGGUCGCAUAGCGAGGUUCAUGAUGAGAGUGGGAACAAGAUUGGAGAGAUCACAAGUGGAGGGUUCAGCCCGAACCUGAAGAAGAACAUAGCCAUGGGGUAUGUGAAGUCAGGCCAGCACAAGAACGGGACUAAAAUGAAGAUCUUGGUACGUGGGAAACCAUAUGAAGGCAACAUCACAAAGAUGCCGUUCGUGGCCACCAAAUACUACAAGCCAACAUGAUAUGUGUGUCUUCUUCAUCCAUGACUUUCUCUUGCUUUUGUUAAAUGACUUAUGUUUUUCCUUUGUUCUGAUUUGGCAUGAAAAUGUACGAUAUAUUGCCUCAAGGGCCGCAUUACCUAUUUCAUUUUUAUCGAAAUAAACUUAACACAUGUAAGACCAAGUUAUGAAUGUGUUCACAGAUUUGAACAUCUUCAAGUUCUUAGUUGAUCAUGGAAGGAUUCAGGUUUAAACAAAUGAUCCAACAAAAACUUCCUAAACGGUGCGUUUUGCGUAGAAAAUACUGUACUAAGGAAACAGUAGUACGAAUCAAUAAGCAACACGUGUCAAGUCAAACAGGGUAACCAGUUGACCUUCGUUUAGCCUAUUAACACAGAACAGUUGCCCAAAACAUCUCCGUUGACACGUCACCCCGCCGCCGUGCCAUCACCGUGAAAUUUGUUUUUCACUGUACUGUUUCGAAUUUUACUCACAGAUCAAAACGACAGCGUUUCAAUUGUAAUCCGCGAAGAUAAUAAAUUUGGGAACUUGGGACCUUCUUUGUCAGCAGAGAACCUCCGGCGAUGGGUUUACACAAAUUGAGACUCGCCGCAGCGGUUCCGAUAACCUUCUCCACAUUCUCUUCUCGCCUCUUCCUCAAGCCAUUUCCCAAUACUCUUACCCUAGGUUUGUUUUCCCGCCAUCUUCAACCCCGUAAGCCUCUCUUGGUCAGAGCUUUCUCAGCUUCCGCCGCCGUUCAAAAUAUUCCGGCCAGACAGACCUCUGAUUCAUCUGGUAUUCCAGUUUCACUCUCUGACCUCGUCAAAAUUCGUCAUUGCUUUUGAAUGUAUCUGAUUCGUUCUGAGUUUGCGAGUUUUAGUUGCAAAGCCUCAGUGGAAGGCGUCGAUUGAUUUCAAAUGGAUAAGAGAUAAUAAGGAAGCAGUUGAAAUCAACAUCAAGAACAGGAAUUCGAAUGCUAGUUUGGAUGCUGUGCUUGAGCUUUACGAGAACAUGGUCAAUGUCCAAAAGGUUAUCUAAUCUUCUACUCUGCCGUGUUAGAAAUUAGCUCAAUUCGAAUUUUGGAUUCUUAGUACUGGAAACAUGUGAAGUCUGCUACUUUGAGGAAAAAUAUUUACGAAACUCCAAAGAAACAUGUUAAAGUAGCUAAAGCUUGUUGUUUUGUUAGUUUCUGGAUAGGUUAAUUAUGGAGUCUUGGUGACAAACACUAGUUUUAGUCUCUGGCUAGAUUUGAGGGAUUGCAUUGGAUUUUUGUUUUUCAUUCUCUCGGUUCAGCUAAUGAACGAUUGGAGAUAGCAGGAAGUUGAGAGGCUUCGCGAGGAAAGAAACAACGUUGCAAAGAAGAGGAAAGGGAAGCUGGAGCCAUCUGAACGUAAGAGACUCGUAGAAGAAGGUAAAUGAAGAAUCCCUUUUGUUUGUCAGUCUGUCUUCUUUACUGAAAUAUAAUAGAGCAUUUUCGCCUUCAGGUAAAAAUCUUAAGGGAAGUCUUGUAACUCUGGAAGAACUCCUCGUGAAGCUUAAAGAUGAGCUGCAACAUGUAGCACAGUCUAUACCGAAUAUGACUCACCCUGAUGUUCCUAUUGGAGGAGAGGAUUCGUCAGCAAUUAGAAAAGAGGUAGUUAGUGUGGUCAUAACUCCCUGAAUUUUUCCGUUGGCUAUGGCAUUUUGCUGUCGAAGGGCUUUCCAGAAACAUUUUUAUAAUGUUUUUGUAGGUUGGUAGUCCACGUGAGUUUAGUUUUCCAAUCAAGGAUCAUCUUCAGCUUGGGAAGGAUCUUGAUCUCAUUGAUUUUGACUCUGCUGCUGAGGUAUACCCUUCCUUAAUCAUUAGGUACCAAAGCGCAUUUAUGGGUUUUCAGAUCACCGUUACCAUGUGCUUAGCUGCUGGUUUUCUUUUUAUAUGUGCGGGGGAUAUUUAGACAGAAGUUUUUAUUAGUUCAUGUUAUGGAGUUCACUUGAGUGGGUGAAUGAUCACCUCCUUCUAUAAAGCAUUAUAUUGAUGUCUAAUUUAUUUGGUCUUCCUGUACAUUUAAUCAAGGAGAUGAGGUGAAGUAACUUCUUUUUUAUUUAACUCGUGCAGGUAAGUGGUUCAAAGUUUUUCUAUUUGAAGAAUGAGGCAGUUCUAUUGGAGAUGGCCCUUCUUAAUUGGACAUUAUCGCAAGUCAUGAAGAAGGGUUAUACUCCCCUAACGACCCCUGAAAUUGUGAGAUCUUCUAUUGUUGAGAAAUGCGGUUUCCAACCUCGUGGAGAUAAUACUCAGGUUUUUGCAAUACUAGUGUGUUUGCUCUGUUUAAUUAGUCAACGUUUUUUGUUUGUUGCCCAUCAUGCUUCCAUUCUUCUGAAUAGGUCUAUUUGAUAGAUGGAACUGACCAAUGUCUCAUUGGUACCGCUGAAAUUCCCGUAGGAGGAAUACACAUGGAUUCUAUUCUUCUUGAAUCAGUAUUACCUUUGAAAUAUAUAGCAUUCUCUCAUUGCUUCCGUACUGAAGCGGGUGCUGCUGGUGCCGCCACAAAGUAAGUUAGACAAAAGGGUUUAGUCCUUGUAGCAUCCGCGUGUUCUUGACUUCUUCAACACACAGGUUUUACUAAAACAUCCUACUUUCUCGAUUUCGAGCAGAGGUCUUUACCGAGUUCAUCAGUUCAGCAAAGCAGAGAUGUUCGUCAUAUGCAAACCUGAAGAUAGUGAAUUUUUCCACCAAGAACUCAUUCAGAUCGAAGAAGAUUUGUUCACUUCUCUAGGAUUACACUUCAAGUAAGAAACUUUUAGACUUGAUUUCUUCUUACCAGAUAUUAUUUCUUCCUAAAUCUAAACUUUUUCUUUGCAGAACAUUGGAUAUGGCCACAGCGGAUUUAGGCGCACCAGCUUAUCGCAAGUUUGACAUUGAGGCAUGGAUGCCCGGUUUAGGACGAUUUGGCGAGGUAACAAACUGUUAUUCAUUUUUGUCGGACCACUAGAAUGGAAUUUUAGUUUCUACUUUGAGCAUGCUGUUUGAACUUCUGAAUCAGAUAUCAAGUGCAUCAAACUGCACGGAUUACCAAAGUCGGAGGCUGGGAAUUCGUUACCGACCAUCUGAACCGCCUCAAACGGGUGCUAAGAAAGGCAAAACGAAUCUUCCGGCUACUAAGUUUGUGCACACUUUAAACGCAACAGCAUGUGCAGUCCCGAGGAUGAUGGUGUGUUUGCUAGAGAAUUACCAGCAAGAAGACGGAUCCGUGGUGAUACCUGAACCACUUAGGCCUUUCAUGGGAGGCAUUGAACUCAUCAAACCCAAGCUGAAGUAGUUUUUAUGGUUAAACUCUUGCUGUUAUUCCUCUUGUAUUUGAAAUUUGUGCAUUAUAUACAGUUCACAGGCGCUGAAUUUUGUCGUUUCUUUUUCAUUUUAUAUUAUCAUAGAUACAAUCCUUGAUCUUUUUUUAAUUCAAUUAUAUUGAAAAGGAAAUAUACACUUAACAGUUUCUGCAAUUCAUACAUAUGUUUGCUUUUUCUUAGAUCGUUGUAUUCUUCUUUGGCUUGGGAAGUGUUAUGAAUUCUAGUUUGAUUAUAAACGAAUUAGAAUGCUUGUUUAAUCAAAUUAGAAUUCAUAACAAUUGAAUUAUAAGUUAUAACUUAUCUUUCAUAAACAAAAAAAUAUUGAACUAAGAUAUUGUAGGGCUUUACCCCGAAGGGAGCCCUUCCAGAAAUUCUCGAAGGCCCAAGACAAGCUUAGGCCUAGGAGGGGGUUUGGAAAUAGUUUUCAACCAGCAAUAGACGCGCCUCGGUUAAGACCUCAUUAGCUGCGUCAUUGCCCCAAGCGCAAAGAUGCUUUUCUACAACGCAAAGCCUCUUUGUUUUAUAAUCACACAAUAUCGAUCAACUUGAUAACCCUUCCGAUGUGGGACUCUGUUCUAUAACAACAAAACUGAUAUAUUCGUCCACGAAAUUUCAGUUGUGCUGACAAAGAAUUUAAUCAUUUUUUUUUUUCGAAAAAGUUAAUACUUCUAAUCUCCUUAAAAAAUGAUGAAGAUUUAAGACUAAAAUGGUAGGGGCUGCGCGAACGCAAACCCCCUCUGCCACAAAUAAUGACGUAGGCUCUUCCUCAUGGGAAGACCUUAAGCUAAGCACCCCUCCGUAAUGUGCAAUGGAGGUCACUAGCCUAGGCCACUCGUCUUCUUGAUCACGAGUUGACCCCGUCCAGGUAAGUAAUUUGCUAGUUCCAGGCAUAUCUCUCUUUAUACACUUGCAAUCCCAGUCAUUGUUUCUUGUCCAACCGAUGUGGGAUGUUAUUACUUACACACACCGCGCCGUUUGAAGCCUCUCGUUUACGACGACGUGCUGGUCUCUCACAAGCUUAAAACGGUAUGAGUUUUUUUUUUUUUGUCUUAAACACACAUCUACUAUGACAGUGGACACUCUAGGCCUAAUAGGCUGUUUUUUUUUCUUUUUUACUUUGGCCCAAUAGGCUGUUAUAAACAAGAAUCUUUGAGCAUUUUGAAAUCAAAGAAUCAAAAUAUGAGUGUAUUUCAUGGGUCAAACAAGUUUUUACAGCAGUCGCCUCAAUGGCAAUUCUUUUACAAAACAGCCAAAAGAACAUAUCAAUGUCUUGCCAAAUGAGAUCACAAUGAGCACUGAGCACAGCAAAAAAUUAAUACUAAUUGGCUAAAAUCCUGCAGAAACAACAAAACCGGUUGGUUCUCUACAUGUACAUGACUUGAGAUGAAGCCGGUAAUUUUUUCGUUGGGAAAGUUAAACCCACAUAUCGUUACUCUGAUAAAACACCAAACUGCUGACAAAACCAUGAAUUCAAGUGAAGGGAUAGAAAUUUGAGAAGAGCAAGGUACCAAGAAGGAUAUAGGCUGCACAAUAUGACCGUAUCAAGUAUCCCCAUUUAUUAUGUUUUGGAGAUGCAAUCAGAUUCGAUGCAAACCAGUAAAGAGGUGGGCUUGCUGACAAGAACCGUGUUGCAACCUGUAAUAACCACAACACACACGUGAGGCCAGUCUCAGUGAAACCUUAAUCUCAUCUAAAAUUCUGUUUAUGCCACUGAGGAUUGUAACCUGAACAUGCAUGAUGAAGAAAGCAGUGGUUGUCAUUAAACCCAAGUGUACGAUAAACGGGAAAACAUCAGCUGAAAAGUAUCCUGAUUUUUCUGGAGAGCUGGAUUCUGAAGCCGCUUUGGUCACAGUGACAUCCUUCUUACUAGGUUUCCGCUGCCUAAUGUCACGAUUUCCUACUCACGGAAAUAGAGAGGAUCCAUCAACGUUUUAAGUUUGGAAUUAUUAUACAACAUAACGAAGAAAAUGAUACCUUCAUUUGUUGAAGAUAACGAAGAAAAUUAUACCUUCAUUUGUUGAAGAUUUAACACUUGUUUCAACUGCAUCAUUCAGAGAAUAAAGCCUUGCAGCAGAUCUCUUUUCUUUCUCGGUAGCUUGAAACCCCAGUGAAAUGAAAAGUUCAGGCCGAGACUUCAUGUAACUCAUAAUUGAACACACAGCUAAAGAGAGAAUUGGGGAUGCAAGCAGAAAGUUUGGGAGCUGUUUAAACUGAAAGUAUUUAAGGAAACCUACUCCCCUGUCAGGAAAAAGGAGAUAACUGCUCAAAAUCAAAUAUAAGAAAGAAAACUUGCAUAUGUCUUUGUUGAGAGUACUUACCAAUAAUGACUUUGAAUGAAGUUGUAUAGCAAAGGUAUCCUUCCUUUGCACCAAGGCCUCAUUUCAUCAAGCGUAUGUCCAUGACAAAUGUUAUAGUAUCCAUAUGCUUGAAACGCGACAAAAGGAAGACAAAUGCAAACGCAUCUAAGAAAUCCAGCAACCAAAACCUGUAUAGCCAACUGGGUAGCGAGACAAAUCAUUCAGAGAUUACAUGAUUAACCAAGCAGCUGCUCUUUAAGAGAUACUAAAUCAAGAAAAUUUUCCAUUGCAGCCUUAAACUAAAGAGGAUAUCAAUAGAACAGUAAAGUCAGAAUCCAUAUCAAUAGAACAGUAAAGUCAGAAUCCAUUAAAAAUGUAUGAAUAACCUAAAAAGAUUGUUCUAGUUUAUCUUUUUCUAUCUGGAAGGAUCUAAAAUGUAAGAAACAGAAUGAUCCAGACAAAGCAUGCUACCAACAAAGUCCGAUGUCGUAAUAUCUGAAAGCUGAAUGAAAUAUGUAUAACUUACAUAAAUGCGCCUUUUCUGAUAUAAAGCUUCAUAUGCUUGAUGCAUCGUCUGGAAACAGAUAUAACCAGCAUUAAGAACUCCAUUGGACCUUGCACAGCCAGAGAGUGCAAACCAGAGAACGGCUACAUUGCUGGUACCAGAUAACAAGUGAUACACGCCUCCAAUAGAAAAAAGAGCAUACAGACUUUCUGUAUAUCUGGAAGUCACAAAGCAACAGUUUGGUCUUUAGUUACCAAUUAUUAUUCUGAUAAGACUGAACAUUCUCACUUUCAGGAAUCGAACUUAAGAGAUCAUUGCUUAAAUACAUUACAUUGCCGAAUAAAAUAUGGACGCUGGGUUGAAACAGAAGAUAAUUGAAGCUCUGAAUGAUGCCUCAGUGUCCUUCAAGAUAAUAACUGAAACCCUGUUAGCAACGACUGGUGUAAGAUAUUUCUAAAUCGAGGAUAGCAAAGACAAGUACUUACCAAUAAGACUAAGAGAAACUCGGACACCAAUUACAAAAAGUACAGUUGAUUGCCUCUUAUACACAAAAUGUUAAGCUUGUAGAGCUCAAAGGACUCAUGACUCAGACUCAUUUCCAGACACAAUAAUCGAUUUUGGAUGAAUGUCAAAGAAGUACCUAAAUAGAUAGAUAGCAGCAAAUACGAAGGCCAAGUUGCUGACAAUGUAACCAGACAGCACCAUCACAGCUCGAAGACCAAUCAAUGGAACCAAAGGCGCAAAAACUGAAUCCAAAAAGAAUCAGAAACUAUGGUAAAAAAUACAAGAAAAAAACAGGGAAUCAAGUGGGUAGAUCUAAAUUCCAAAACCUGUUCGAGAGAGAAUCGAGAUGAAGAAAGGGAGCAGAGGCAAAAAGGCGUAAGUCUGCUCAUACUCAUACCCACACUCCGUGAUUCGGAGAAAAUACACGCUGUCCCAAACAAUGCUGUUUUCAAGGGAUCUCGAAGCUGCAUUGGCUACUAGAAGGGGAGGAGGAUCUUCUUUGUGAUACAAGCAUGGAGGAUUGAGUGCAGCAGAUGUAUCGUACGGCUGGAGUAAGCUCCGCCAUAAAAGAGUUAAGAGCAGAACCAGGAGCCGUGAGAAGAUGGCGUAUUUGAUCAAAAUGCUUUCUUUCCUUGAUUUUGAUUCCAUGGUAUUCACCAUUGAUUACGAGCUCUUCUCCGAGGAUAAAAGGGCUCGUCUUUGCUAAACACGAGCUGAAAUUGAAGACGAAUCAAUCUGAAUAAACAAAUUUAAAAUUACGAUUUCUCAUCCAAGGAAGAAACUAGAGGCAUAGAUAUGCUUCUCGAUGGCACAAUCCAGUGACAAAACAGCUGAUGAUUUGUGUUGUUGAGCUGAGCAGAGAAGAGAAGGAAACUGAAGAAGUGAGGGAAGGCUCGUCGGAGAAGGAGGUCGGAUUUGAUCAAAAUUCGAACCUUCUAACUCAUGUAGAGAGUUUUGAUUAGUCAGAGCCCAGAGGGGCAAGUCGCCAGUUUCAAAACGCCAAACGUGAGAGGAGACCAAACGCGCCGCGUCAUCAGGACAUGUCAACAAAACGCGUCACGAGGCCAAUCACGUGCGGCCGGGUAACGCAGAACAUAGAUCGUCAUAAAUGGUAAAUUCGAAAGACAAAAAAAAUAGAAUAAUAAUAAUAAAUAAUUGAUCCCAUUGAUAAACCCUUUAAUUAAAAAUUUUACUUCUUCUUUCCUUCGAUCAUCGUCUUCCUCUGGUUCUCAGAUCUUUCAAUAGAGAAGAACCAAUUUGAAUGCUCGUAACAGGUUCGUUCAAUCCAUGUUCAAUUGUAAUCCUCCGUUGUAUAUGUAUAUAGUAUGGAGAAUUUUUGUUUCAAUUUUGCUAUUUUAUGAGAUUUGCUUCCGUUUGGGAUCGAAGCUAUAGGACGUUCUGAAGAUUUUACCUGGGUGUAUAGCUCUUGGAUCAAUUUCGUUUGCAAUCUGUAAACGAUUUUGUUCUGAGAUCUUCGAUGUCUCUUUCGAAUUUAAUCUUCGAUUUAUAAUUUGUCAAACAUAGAUUCGAAUGUGGAAACAUAGGAAAUUUUGUGAUGGAAUUUUGAAUUUGAUUUUCACUGAAACUUGAUGUGUUUGUUUGGAAUUGGAUAAGAUGAUAUAAUAUCUUUGUGGUGAAUUGUCACAUUGUGAAAUUUGUAAGCUUUUGAAUUUUGUUGUAUUACUCAAGUUUGAGUUUCUUUGAGGUUGACGUUCUCUGCUGGAAUUCUCAUCUCACGUUUGACUAGUUCAAUAUCUGAUUUUCAAAUAAAGAUAAGCUAGUUUGAACACUCGUUGUUGAAAAAAAUCAAGAUUUUUCUAUCUUCUGUGCUGUUGUGUGUGUUUACAGACCCAAAGUCUUAGGCAUCUGUGGUUAAGUUACCUGCCUUACAUCUCCAGUGUUAAUAAUAAUGAUUGGUCUUUUGUUUCUAGUGAGUUGCAGGAUUCUUAUUCUUGUUUUGGAAUUUGUGACUAUUGCAGUGGAUUUACUAUAGGAAAAGGAGCAAAGCAAAGAUGGUGAAAAUGACUUUGAUAGCUCGUGUUACUGAUGGGUUGCCUCUAGCAGAGGGACUCGAUGAUGGACGCGACUUACCAGAUUCAGAUAUGUAUAAGCAACAGGUCAAGGCUCUGUUUAAGAAUCUUUCCAGAGGUCAUAAUGAGGCUUCCAGAAUGUCCGUUGAAACUGGCCCCUAUGUUUUCCAGUAUCCUUAACAUCUGCUUUUUUCCUCAUUCCUUAUUAGUUCAUUUUCUGCUUGCAAAAGUUUGUUGAUUGGUAGAUAUAUUCCCCCUGUAAAGAAACUUGGUAGGUUAUUUACAUCAUUAGAAAGUUUACUUAGAUUUUGCCUGCAUAUAAUUUUGCAAAGUUUUUCAUUCACACUUAUGACAGCCUUGUACAUCAGGUUCUGUCUUAUGACACGUUUUAAUCCUCUUGCAUCAUGUUUACAUCUUCUUUUUUUAUAUUUGUAUGCUUUUACUUUAGAACUAAGGUGAAAGAGAGAACCAAUUAUGUAUGCUUCCUUAACCAGAAUACUUUAGUUACAUCAUAGAAGGACGUGUUUGCUACUUGACAAUGUGUGACCGCUCUUACCCAAAGAAGCUUGCUUUCCAGUACUUGGAAGAUCUCAAGAAUGAAUUUGAACGUGUCAAUGGGCCUAACAUUGAAACAGCUGCUCGGCCUUAUGCCUUUAUUAAAUUUGGUAUGUGCAGUGUAGAUUUUCUUCUGUAUUCAUUCAGUAUAUUGGAAACAUACCUUCCUGAAUUCACUCUUUCUCCCCUUUACUUUUUUUUUUUUUGUAGAUACAUUCAUACAGAAAACCAAGAAACUGUACCAAGACACCCGCACACAACGAAAUAUCUCUAAGUUGAAUGAUGAGCUCUAUGAGGUUCAUCAAAUAAUGUCGCGGAAUGUGCAAGAAGUCUUAGGUGUUGGUGAAAAGCUAGACCGUAAGUCCCAUCCAUUACUUUUCCUAUGAUCAUCAAUUAAGCUUUUAGAAUAAGGAGAAAUGGAACGAUAGUUUUGCGUUCAUUAUAAUCAGCUGAGCAAUAUUCUUAUCAUAUACCAUCUCAUCUUCUUUUCUUUCUUAAUACAGAGGUCAGCGAGAUGUCGAGCAGGUUAACAUCUGAAUCUCGUAUAUAUGCGGAUAAGGCUAAAGAUUUGAACCGUCAGGUGAGUUUGCUUGUGUAUACCUUUUAUUACACAAUGCAACAUUGAUCACACGGUUAUGAGAUGCUCUCAUUUCUUGUGAUCAUGAUAUAUUAUAGCUCAAAUAGUUUGCAUUUAACUCUAAAACAUUGGAUUUGGUUAACCAGGCUUUGAUCCGGAAAUGGGCACCAGUAGCAAUUGUGUUUGGUGUAGUUUUCCUUCUUUUCUGGGUCAAGACCAAGCUAUGGUAAAAAGGAGGAAACAAAGGCUAUUUUCGUAAUUUAGCAGACUUCUCCAGACAUAUAUCGACCUCCCAACCGCGGACUCAAAUCUCAGAUGCCAGCACCAAAAUAUCUUUUUCUUUCAAAGAGAAACUUUGACACAUUUUGUACUUUUGUAGUAUGCAGACUUUAUGAGACUGGUCUUAUUUCCAUCAAUUAUACUCUUCAAACCUUCAUUGUCAGUUUCUCAGGCUUCUAUAAAUUGAAUUAGAUCCAUAACUAAACUAUAACAAAUUGUGUUUGAUUUCAUAAAUAUUUCUAACACAAUCUAAACAGUUUAAACAGGCUAUAUUUUAGUGUUUGUGUGACCGCAAGUGUCUCUUGAAAUCUAGUGGACCUGCCAAAUCUGAUGAAGAAGUGUUCUUCAACUCAUCUGAAAGCUGCAACGCCCUCUGAAAAUCUCCUGACUUCUUCAGACAAUCAAUUAGUGCUCGGUAGACAUAAACUGAUGCUCGAAUUUGUCUUUGUUUCAUCUCAUCGAAAAGCCUCAACGAUUCCUUUAUGUUCCCAGACCGACCCAAACUGUCUAUCACCGCAGUAUAGCUAAGCAAAUCAGGCUUUAUACCAAACUGAACCAUUUCGUUGUAUAUCACCAAACACAUAUCAAAUCUACACGCUUUCCUCAUCCCGUUCAGUACCGUGUUGUAUGUAAUGAUGUCUACGGAUACAUUGCAAUCUUCCUUCAUGGAUGACAAUACACCCAGCAUCUCAUUCACUAGUCCAGCUCGUCCCAAGAUAUCCAAAACCGAGUUGUAUGUGAUCACAUCUGGUUUACAUUCCCACUCUUUCAUCUGCUGAAGUAUCAUAAGAACCUUAUCGAUCUGUCUAGAUUCAGCAAGUGCAAGAAUAAUUCUGUUCAGUACUAUCAGCCUACAUGGGAGAGAAGACUCGGAUAUUUCUUUGAGAAGAGUCAUCAAAUGCAUGCAAUCAUCCGUGUUAAUGAAUGCUCUAGCGAGGUUGAGAUAACAAUCUGAACUCACUGGUUCCUUACCUGGCGAGACCAGUAGCUCUCUGAAAAUUCUACAAGAAAGCCUGAUAUCGUUCUGCUCACCUGAUGCUGCAAGAAGGUUCUUGAAAACCGAAAUAGGCAAGCAUAUGUUCUUGUCUCGUAAGGACUGCAAUAAGUCAUAUGCAGCAGAGACAUUUCCAUCUCUUGUAUACUUCUCAACAAGAUCCAUAUAAUCGAUUUUGCUGAUGAUCUUCGAACCACUUUCACUAUGGCCAACCAUCUUCUUCAAGAGUUCUUGUUCAUCUUCUUCUCCUGUGUUUACCGAGGAGUGCAUACCGGAGAGCGAGCAGCUCCUGCUCAAAUCAACUGGAGCUAACACCAUAUGUUUCUGCAAUGCCAAAACACAAAGAAUCAAAAAUUGCAAUAACAGAAACAUCUGGUCUUUUAAUCAUCACCAACUUCCAUAUACAGCUAUGAACAAUGUGAAUCGAAUUCAUCCACUGAAUGAUGAUAUAUGACUUGGAAAAAGAAAUGACUUUCUAAGUUCCACAGAUGACAACGAAAACUAACUUCGUAAUCUAACACAAGCUAAAGCGUGGAAGCUCCAAAACUACAAAACGAUCAGACUCGGAAGAACAGCAGUGAUUCACAAUUUCAUAUCUUUAUCGAAUCAAACCAAACGUUCGUAGAGCUUUAACAAUCAACAGAGUGAAUCAUCGAAAUAUCGAAUCGAACAAAAUAUGAAUUACGAAAAGGGUUGGGGAAUAUUUGGUAUCCAUACCAUAGAAGUAAAUGAGCCUCCAUAGAUGGGGAUUCUCUUAACAAUCGACCACUUCAUCAUCUUCUUCCGUAUCAUUCUCCAGAGAGCUUGCAACACUUUCAGGUUUUGAUUUUUUUAAUCGAAUUGUUUGGGUUAAGAUUACUCAUUAAUAAAUAUCGAGCUAUUUUGUAAAUAAGCUUAAACUUACGGGGCUAAUGAGAGAAAUCAGCAAAUUUUCAAAAGCAAAAUGUAAUUUGACAGCUUAUUUCCUCGCAACUUCAACUUUCCUUCUUCGUAUUUUCCGACGAGAAAAUUUCUCAAAAUCCCUGGUUGGAAUUUUUAUUUCUCGGAGAGAUUUUCAAAACCCUAGACGCUCACAUUCGCUACGAGAUCAACCACGAUGCAGCAAUUACUCUUCGCUGUUGUGCUCUUCGAGGUUGUUGUGAUAAUGGCGCUUUCGUUCAAGACGCCGAUUCGGAAGCUGCUGAUCAUGAGCUUAGAUCGUGCCAAGCGUGGCCGUGGACCUGUGGUGAUUCAGACUGUUUCGGCGACGGUUAUCGUACUUCUGGUGGCGAGCGUGUACAAUAUGAUGGGGAUCCAGAAGCGUUGGAUCGAGGACGGUGCGGUGAAUCCUACAGAUGAGGUUAUAAUGGCUAAGCAUCUCCUUGAAUCGACUCUCAUGGGUAUGCUCUUUCGUUUCUUUUCUUAGAUCCGGUUCCCUCUAAGAAGUCUGAACCAAAAUUACUGUAUCUAGUACUGAAUUGGAGAUCCAUAUAUUGUUUUAGAAACUCUUCAAUGUUUUUGAUCAUUGUGCUGGAUCUUCUUACUCGUGUCGCUUGAUACUUGUACCAGGAGUUGCUAAAUUUGUUGGUUUAGCUAUUGAUAUUUCGAUUAGAUUGAUACUCAGUAUCUGGAGUUGCUAGAGUGUGGUUUAACUCUUGAAUUUUCGAUUAGAUUGAUGAUACUCAUAUCUGGAGUUGGUUGAGUGUCGGUUGGUUUAUCAAAUUGGCUUGAGAGGGAUCCAUAUAGUCGCAGAAGCUUUUAUUAUUGAAAUUCAGCUUUUCGGGUUUCAAUUCGAGCCUUGGAACUAUGUGUCUUUUGCUUUGCUGGUAAACUUUGGUUGCUAGUGUGAUUGUUUAUCUCUUUCUACUCCUUUGAUUCAACCUUGUACAUUCAAAUUUGCUCUGAAGGGAUCGAUAUAGUCCCAUAAGGUUUCGAUAUAUGGAUUUUGGCUUUUCCAAUUUCAGUUUGGUUUCUUAUGUGCAUUGGAAGUUUCUCUUCUGCUUUUGGUAAACCUCAGUUGGUGUUUUCUUCCAGGUGGUUUGCUAUUCCUUGGACUAAUGAUAGACAGGCUACAUCAUUACAUGAGAGAACUACGCAUAAGAAGGAAGACUAUGGAAGUUAUAAAGAAGGAAGGAGCGUUAUUGGAAGGUGUAAAGGCCAGAGGUUUAGAUGAAAUUAAAACCUUGAAAGAAGAAAUAAUGUCGCUUCGGAAGAGGCAAGAGCAGCUGGACUCUGAGCUGGAAGCAAAGUCUAAAGAAAUCCGUACAGAGAAAACCAGUGCAGUUGCUCUCCAAAAGCAAUCUGAAGGGUUUCUUAUUGAGUUUAACCGGUUGCUUGAGGAAAACCAGGAUCUUCGAGAGCAAUUGCACACUGUGGAUUCAAAACUUUCGCGUUCAAGCAGCAAAAAGAAUACUUAAGAGACUCUACUGCAACAUUUUAGAAUCUGUGUGAUGCUGCCAGUUGAAUAUAUUUGUUGAGUUUGAUAUCGGAAGCUUGGGGUUUGGUGUUAUUGCAUCUUGUUAACAUGGAAAGAUGAUGGGGAAAGAUCAGAAAAUACAAAACAAUGAUAGGUUUGCUUCUUAUUUGAGUGUUAGUCAAAGUAGAAAUGAUCAAUUCUUCUACACUAGGAAAAUGUAACUGGUUCGUUUUACAACAAAAACUAUUCGAAUUGGUUUUUAUUUCCUACCAUAUAGAUAGAUAGGUAUACAGUCGCUGCAAAGUAAAUUUUUAUACAAAUUCUCUCAAGUUCAAUGACUUAUUCAUUCAGACAUUUGUCUUGAUUCCGAGAUUUCCCGAGAUUGCAAGCUUCUUAUCUGUGGAUUUAGGGUCAUCACUAUAAAGACAGAACAUUUCUCAUUUUACGACACACCAAUUCUCAUUCUCAAUUGUUCAUAUGCUAUUACGUUUUAAGUUUUUUUUCGAAAAUACAAAUGAGAUAUACCAAAUCAUUUAAUUACGUAUGAUAAUAUUACGAGGCAUAAACAAAGGAGGCAGGCUUUUUAUUAAAGUUUUCACCAUCGAACUUACUUAGCAGAAGGUAUUUACAAAGCCAAUGCCUUCAAAACUACAAAGGCCUUUUUUCGUUAGGAAAGCAUUAAAGAUAAAGGACCUGCGCCACCAUUUCUUCUACUACGACUCAAAGUCUUCAACUCCAGAAAACAUACAAACAACACUUGAGACACAGAUUGUUCAUACUAAAACGAUACCCGAAACCAACCCGACCGUGUUUAGACUGCCUCUGCAAAUCCGACCUGUUCGUUACCGAAGUCAAAAACAGUGUGGUAUUUGCCCAUGAACACAUCUCCCAAGAUCCUGUCACAUUUUUAUUGCCGUCCACUAGGUUAGAAAAAAGAAAGAAAGAAACAACAAAUUGUACAGCGUGUAAUAAAGCAAGGGGUUUACCAGAGAGGUCCGCGAGGUGGAGCAACGUCAAGUGCAAUAAAUCCACUGAUGCACUGUGCAGCCGGUCCCUCGCCAACUUUCAGAACAUACUGCUCACACAAUACCAACCAGUACCAACAGAUUAGUAGAUGGGGAUUAUGUUCACUACAUAAAUGAAUAAUUUCCAAAACUGUUCAACAUCAUACCUCCUCUGGAGAAAGAUCAAAGACUUUGCCUCCUAUGGUUAGUGAAACAGUAGGCAUUGUUGAGAGUUGUGCACAAUCCACUGCAGACUCUCCCAUUGGGCUGGGAAGGCGUUCACAUAGCUGUUAAGAAUACGCAAAGAUUAGAUUAAUCAGUAAUCAACACGAUAGUAACUAUUGUUUGACAGAAGUAUUGAAAUGGACAUUUAAUGGUUUACCUCAUUGAUGUAGUUCAAUAUGCGCUCUUGAGUCAUGUUCUGCCUCAACUGGCUCUGUAUCCACACAACUGCCAUCUCACAAGCAGAACAUGCAGCAUCUCCAACACCAUUAGACAAUUUGGCGUUUUCUUUGUCCACCACAGACUCAAUGCCCAUACUAAACAAUUUAAAGGUCAUACCAAAUAUCAGCAGAUCACAAGGGGAAAAAAUCAUUCCAGGAUGAAGAUAUUGACUUAAUUGCAAUGUCUACAUAUUAGAACUCUCUAUAACAUUAAUGAGACCAUCGGAACUUUACCUGACACCACGGGUACCAUCGAAAGUACACAAACCAAUCUGUGAGCAGAUUUUCUUCGGCUGGGUCUGCAACGUGCAAGGAGAUUGAAUGGUAAACGAAAUGAUUUGUGCAAAUUUUGAUUUGUCACACAGAUUUUGUUAGCUAGUCCAAUAUUAAGCACACUGACCUCAGACAAAAGUAAAUCCAAAAUGGUCUCCCCGUAUUGAUCUACAACAGUCUUGCACUGCUGGCUAACAACUCCAGCAGCUCCAAUAGCAUGGUUUAUCAUGGUGAUAAUAGGCUACACAGAGAAAAACAAAAACAGAAGUAUUACUACAAAUACUAUUUGACGAACCAUAAUUAUAAGGCUAAAGCCACUUCAUUCUUUCUUACCGUUGGACCUGCAAGCAAAGAUGUACCAGAAUCUGCUAUCGCUGAACAGCCAUUUUCACAGAACCCUGUAUAACAACAGUAACUCAAAGUUUAGAGCCAGCUGACACCAGCAAACAUAAAUAGCAAAACUUUCUGAAUAUGUUAAGAAAAGCUAUAUAUAGUAUAAAGGAUGAGGCAUGAAUGUUACACAUACCAGUGGGUGCGCUGCCAAUGAGAACAUCACCCAUGUCAAACUAUAACAAAAUAUAUAUAUAUAUAUAUAUAUAUAUAUAUAUAUAUAUAUGUAUUGCUUGAGUUAGAACAACACUGGAAAACUUCAAAGAAAACCAAGUCAAGAAAGUGAUGUAUAACAAACCUGCCAGUAACCCUUUUGUGUCACAGGAACAUAUGUAUGCUUGCCCUUGAAAUGAUUUGGAUCAACGCCUCCAAAUACAAGUUCACCACCUUCUUCAUCAUCAGCAUUACGGUUAAGCCAAAAUGAAAAAACUGGCUCCUUGAUAAGGCCUUGUUUAAGCAUGUUGUACCUGUAAAAGUAAACAAGGCAUCUUGGCAUUAGAUUAAUACUACAGGAGUGUAAGAAACUCAACUUAAUCUAAAGAAGAAAAUGUUGGCAUACCAAACAGGAGCAGCAUUUCCAACAGAGAUCUCUCGGAAUCCAAGACCAAGGAUACCAUCAAAUUUAGCUAAAACAAAUGUUAUACCAGGCUCCUUAGUUGCCUCGAUAAACUCCUGAUAUGAGAUAGACAAAUGUUAAGAAGGAAGGUCAACCAUAUAGAAUAAAUGUGAGGUAAGAGUGCUGAGUAAGGUAAGAUAGAUAGUUUACCUGAUCCUUGACAACUAAAUCGCCAACUGUGACAGCAUCGUUACUAAAAAAACCAGAAAUGGCACCAGUGCCAUAAUGAAUUGCGGCAGAUUUUCCUGCAACAAAUACCAGCGAGUUAGUUAUAACUUCACAGCAUAGAUCAGCAGUGCUGUUGCAUCUUUUAACAAUGGUGGCAAAGAUUCCCUGCAAAUUAACAUGAAUUCUAGAGGAUACAUUAAGUGCAGAGAGUUUCAAAUAAAGAGAGAACAUACCAUUCUUCUCAUAUGUGCUUGAGCGUGACGACUUGUAUUUGGGAUGCAAGAGACAAGCAAUCUACACAAGGGACACAUAACAUUUAGUUUUCGUCUAAAAAGUAUCUCAACCACAGCUACCAAUUAAAGACCAAAUGUUGCUUACUGAAAAAUAGCAUUUUGAUGAUGGCACCCAGAGGUUAGAGCUUCCAGUGUCGAAAACCACAGUGAACUUCUGAGGUGGAGUACCAAUAGCGAUCUCACCGUAGUACUGAGCAUCUAAGUAAUUCUUCAGCGCAACAACAUCAGCAUCUCCAGAAUCUCCGCUGUAACCUCUCAGGGGCUUAUCUUGCUUUGAACCAACACGUGCUGCAAGACGGUUUUUGGAAUCCAACUUAAGCUUUUUCAGGCCAACUCUGACGGUACCGUCACUGCGCUCGGAAAAGGCAGAGAAAAACAGCAGGAAUGACACAACGAGCAAAACAGCAACCGUUGUAGAGUAUAUCUUCAUUUUACCUAUUCAUUGACACCAAGGAUCAACAACAUAUUAGAAUCAAGCUGAAAAGCAGAGUAGCUUCAAUACCCACACAAAUCAACUAUAACUGUCCAUUUUGGAGCUGAAACAUAAACUAAAAUGUAAAAAGUCUAAGUGACUAAAAAUAGGUUUACUCAAUCCUCCUACAACAGACAACGAAGGACAAUGAUACACGCAGAAAAAAUUGUACAAAUCAUUUAAUUUACUUGGUCUCCCACAAUUAGCCAAGAAGCGACAAUGUUACACGCAAUAAAACUUGUACAAAUUAUUAAAUUUAUUUUGGUCUCCCUUAAUGAGCCACGAAGCACUAGCGUGGAAGAAAAAAAAAAAAGUUUAUACCCUGAUUACAACAAAACCUCUAGAAACUUACAUCCCCAAAAACCUUAAACCAUUUCAACCAGCAUCACAUGCAGAGCACUGAAGUAUCAAACGAAAAAAAAUAGCAUACAACUUCUCUUCUUAAACAGUGAAACACCAUCAAGACUAGAAUCGAGAAUACUUCAAUUAAAACAAACAGUCUGAUUACAUAAUCAAACUAACCUAAAAGACCAAACAUAUUCAAACCAACGAUGAAAUGACUAGUGAAACCAAAAUUAGCCACAAAAAAUACAAGAAUCACCGAGAAAAGUCAAAUUUAAGCGAAUCAACGACACAGAUCGUCCAAAAAUAGAACUAUUGGGAUUCGGUGCAACAAAAACCUCAUCUAACUGUUCAGAGAACGAUAAAUGAACAAGAUCAACAAAAGAGACUAAAAAGGUAUAAAAAGAAUCUACGACAAGCAAUUGAAGGAGCGAUGAGUUUUAACAAAAGAAGAGAGCUCACCAAAGCUAAGCACCAGAUUCUCAGAGAAAUGAGGGAGAGAGGUGGAUUGUUGAAGAAAACGAGAAAGAGAGAUGGUUAAAUUUAUGGUGGUGACUGUGAGGAAGAGGAGGAUGCUAAACUAACAGCGCUGUCUCCCAUAAAUGACAAUUACAGGUGGGUCCCACUGUAUAAUCCCGUCAAAAGAAAAAGAGAUAUAUUUCGUGUGGGCUAAUCUUUCGUUUUUAACCGUUGGAUUUUACUAUAAUGAACGGUUUACAUGUUGCGUUGACGAAUGGAUAGGAAGGCCGAACGUAUCAUGUUUUAUAUUUAGUGAACAAUCACGUGUUUACGAAGUUAGAGUGGAUUACGUGCUCUUUUGAGAUAUUAACCGUUGGAUGAAGAUGACUUAAAUUGCACGGUGUCGAUUUGAAGAGUUUAGUUUCCUACCACAUUGGUCUUGGAUCAUGAUCAUCAAUGUACUGCUUAUAUUGGGCCUAUUCGAAGCCCACUUAAAUAUGAAAAUGAAAAAAAACCAAAGCUUAGUAGAUAGAGCAAGAGGAGUGUUCUUGACUUCUUGGACAUGUUUCGAAAGAAGAAUCAAGAAACUACCACACCGUUGCAAUAGUAGAUACAGAAUCUAUUUUCAUAUAAUAUAGUUUUAAAAGAAAAUAUUUGGAUACCUUGGAAGAUCUCAAGCUAUAUAUAUAUACUCGCCUGCUCCUUCGCGAGUGUAAUUACAACAAACAUGCUUCACGUACAUAUCUCUAUACUAAUAUUCGUCAUUACUCUCUCCGAUCCUCAAAGAAUUGAUCAUUCAACAUUGGUUAAUCACGAUGGAUUUGCUCGAAAAAAAAACAAAAAAAGAAGAGACUAUUUGGACUUCUUAGCCUCUAUUGCCUGAUAAUAUAUUCAAAAAUGCUCAAAUCCACUAAUGUCUUUCCGACAACAAGAUGAUAACAAAAAAUAAUAAAGGUCAACUAUACGUACAACCAAUACAGUAACAGAUACAUUAACUAGCUAGUUUAGUGUCUGCGCAAUAUGAUAACCUUUUUAUAUAAUUCGAAUUGCAUCUCAAGUAAAAUGUUAUUUCUCUUCGUUAGUGUAAGCACUUCUUCACUAAGCUUCUGAUUCUCCACUUGUAAUGUAGCCAACUGCAAAAAAAAAAAAUUAAAAAUUAAAAAAAAAAAACGAAAUAGUUACGUAUUAUCAUGAAACUUAAAUUCGCCAAUAUAGCAACAGUAAAUAUAUUAGUUAAUAUAGUUAGCCUAAUGAUCUAACUCUUCCUGCGACUGAUGAUUACUGUUACCUGUAAUUCGGCGUUAAUCGCAAGUGAAGUUUGAUUCUUUCGGGUUAGUGUAAGCAUUUCGUUAAGAAGCUUCUCAUUCUCCAAUGUUAAAAACUUUAAAUCCGCCAUCUGAAAAAUAAAAACACAAUAGUACUAUAUAAUAUUGAAAAGAGUUACGAAUCAAUAGAUAUUUAGGAUCAAGAAAAUUUUGUUCUAAGUGAAAUUACCUUCUUGGCUUCCAUCUUGGAGUUGUGGUAUGAUCACGGCUGGAUCACUAUUCCUAGUGUCAUCAAGUUUUUUAUAUUCAAAAAAAUCUCUUUAUAUAUAAUAUUGACAUGGAGAAAUUUAGUAAACCCUAAAAAAAAGUUAAAUUAGUAAAACAAUUAAUGGAUAAUAAAUUCUCUUCGAUUGCUUUCUAUCACUAAAUCUCAUUAAGUUUAUUUCUCAUAAUAUCUUAGCCAUUUUUUUUAGAAAAUAAUAAAUAUAAAAUCUGUUGUUGUUGAUUUUUGUAUAGAAUUUGGUUUCUAGCUAAGUUUUACCUUUAAAAUAAAAGCAAGUGAAAUUACUCUGUAUAUUUGAGGUUCUGGUACGAAAUAGUUUUUUAAAUGGUUUUCACUUUUGUAUGGAUAAGUUUUCAGAUAACAUGUUAUAAAACAAUUUUUAAUUUAUUUAUUUUUGACAAAAUUGUAUCAUACGUACAGAUCAAGAAAAAAAGGAAAGUUGUAUGUAAAUAUUUCAAAGACUCUGAAAAUAGUCAUAAAAUACAAAAUUACAACACAUGAAGAUAGCCAACAACGUUGGCUUUUUUAUUCACUUCGAUUACAAAGUUCACAAACUCAUAUCAGGAAGACAAAAGCUUUGAACCAAGAAAGUAGUCAAAUCCUAAUUGGACUGAACCGGUUUAGGUUCUUUGGGGCCGUUAUUCUCGAACCUCCAUGUCCAUAUAUCGUGACGCUCGACUUCACGUCCCACUGAACCGGCAAAACCGGUGAACAAUUUAUUAUGAAGUACCGUAGAGAGAUCGAUUUGGGUUUCCAUCAACGGCUUCUUCGGUUUGCUAAGAUAAGCCGGUGCAAUCGUCACGAUGAUCGAUUUUUUUACAAGAUAAAAUUUGUUCUUUAUGUUAUAGUUGCAAUAUUAAUAACCGUUUUAAAAACAAAACCACGAUUCCUCUUGAAUAUACUUUAUACUAAAAAGAAAGAAGACAUAUGUAUUUAUUUUCUUUAAACAGAAACCUAAAGUAACUAUGUUAACAAAGCACAUGACGAGAUUGAUUCUUAAACUCCUUAACAAGACAUUCUAAGCUUACUCAACACUUCACACCAACAAAUUAUAAUGUCAUAACUAAGACAUGCCCAAAAUAAUCAACUCAAAACUCCUAAUUUUGGACUAUGUCUCCACUUCACUCUUACUCGUUCUUCUUCUUCCUUCUCAUGGCCAUCCUUCUUCAAUCAACAACAACAUCAUCCCAAUCAAGUCUCUGCAGAUCUUCUUGCGGCAACAUUCCGAUAAAUUACCCUUUUUCCAUCGACGACGGCUGUGGUAGCCCUUAUUACAGACACAUGCUCAUUUGCUCCGACAACAACACCAAGCUCGAACUUAGAACACCAUCUGGUAAAUACCCUGUUAAGUCCAUAAGCUACUCUGAUCCUCAUCUUCUUGUCUCCGAUCCCUUCAUGUGGAACUGUCAAGACCGAGACAAUUUUCGUCCCACUAGAUCGUUCAGCAUCGAUUCAAGCACACACUUCACUGUCUCCCCUCAAAACGACUACUUGUUCUUCAACUGUAACGCCGAGAAAGUGAUCGUCGAGCCGAAACCGCUCUUCUGCGAAAGGUUUCCCGAUAGAUGUGACUCGUCUUGCGAUAGUUCAAGCUAUCUAUGCAGGCACUUGCCCGAGUGCGGCUCUGCUUUGGGAUCUAGGGUUUCUUGUUGUUCGUAUUACCCGAAAGCCACUCAGUCUCUUAGGCUAAUGCUGGAUAACUGCGCAACAUAUACAAGCGUGUAUUGGAGGAGUACGGGCGUGGAGAAUGCACCGUAUGAUCAGUUUCCAGAGUACGGGAUUAGGGUUGAUUUCGAAUUUCCAGUGACUAUGAAGUGCCUUCUUUGUCAAGAAACGACUAAAGGUGGUGGAGUUUGUGGGUUUAAUACGAGGACUCAAGAUUUCUUGUGUCUUUGCAAACAAGGCAACGCCACUACUUAUUGCAAAGGUAUAAUGCUUCUUUUCUUAUAUUUUUGCGUUAUAAGUUAUAACUAUAAUUAAUCUGUUAACGAAUAAUGAUAUUAAUGAAAAAUAUGGAAUUACCAACUAUUACGUACUAUUAGACAUUAUUAUGAGUUCUUUAGAUUAUAAAAAGAAUGUGAUUUGAAUUAGACACUACUAAUUAAUAAUUAUACGUAUAUUCAAUCAUUUUGAUAUAUUUUGCAGAUCCAAGCCUUGUAAAGCAUAAACACGUUGGAGCUAUCGCAGGUAACUAAGCAAGUUUUUACUAUAUGGAAUUUUUUGGUCAUCUUAUUAACAUAUGACUCUAUUAUAAUACUUGUAAGUUGUGAUCACCUGAUUUGAACCGGAAAUUUGUGUCGCUAACAGGAACAGUGACGGCGGUUUCAGCGGCUGGAGCAAUUGGCGUUGCCGGUGGAGUGUACUGGUACGUGAGGAAAGUGAGAGCCAAAGCUCCAGUCACUUGUGGAGUUCAAAGCAAUGAGAACAGAAUGUUCUAAAAGUACUAAUGAAAUCAUAGUUAUACAAAGACAAAAGCAUUGUCUCCCUCUUCUUUCUUCUGUUUUGUUCUCUUUUUCUUUUCCUUUUUGUCUUUGAUUUUGUGUAUACUACAAGUUCGGGAUAAAUAUUUUUGUAUAUCUUACAUAUAUACUAGUUACUUUUUCGUUUUGGUCGAUAUGUGAACUGUCAAUAUAGAAAUCUUUUGGUAGGCACCAAGCUAAAUUUUUGCAAUCAUAUGAAUUUCAUAUCAAAAUACUAUACUCUUCACAUAGUCGCAACUUCAAAUGUUUUAAAUUUUAUACAAGUCUUUAUAAAAAAAAAUCUUGAAAGAAAACAAAAAAAUAUAAAUCCUUCAAGAUAUAUAGUAAUAUGAAUUCCGUCCCGGGUACUGAAGAAUUCACAAAACGCACCUCAGAUACGGGAACUCCGCCUCGUCGUUUCAAAGGAAUGAAAAGAAAAAUUAACAAAACGUUACAUAUAAAACAUUAUAUAUACUCACAUAUGUGUAUAUAUAAAAGUGGUUAGCAAAUCCUUCCAGAGUAGCAACGGAGAGGACCGGCGGAAGAAGUAAGAGAUGGGACUAGAGAGCCGUGGGACACCGGAAACCACUCCGCUCUUUUGUACAACGGCGUGACGGUUCCGUAUCCAGACGGCACGAAGUAAGCUCCGUUCUUGAAAACGUCUUUGGACGUUCUCCAUUUCCAUCUCCUCCAAUCAUAUCCACUAUCUAUUCUCUUUGUCACCUAUAUACAUAUACAAAGAAUAUUGUAAUGAUUUUUAAUAAUGUAUUCAACAAAAUGUUUAAUAACAAUAUUAUAGUUUUCAAUGAAGAUACCUGUUUUUUGCUAGAGUCAUCAGGAGCAACGAAGUAAUUGCCUUCACUAAAGAUGGUUGGAUCAGCACUUCCUCCGAUCGCAUACAUUUGCCAUUUUUCGUACCUAUUGUUAGCUACGUGCGCAUACCCUCUCCUCACCCUGCCACGUCAUCAAGACAUCAACCGUACAUAUCCAUGUCAACAUAUUUUUUCCAACUUUGGUUCAAAUAAACUAAGUAACAAAGUAUAUAUACUUACCUUGGCAUCCUCUCAAUGAGACCUGGACCAAAAUGGUUGAAUGCAAUUGUAACUCUCAUGAUCUUAUCCUCCACAUUAUUGUCAUUAUGUCCGAGUAACAUCACCUUCAUAAUAACAUACCAAAUUAUCAUCAAGUAUAUUAUUAAAACGUUACAAUUAUGUAUAUAUAAAAACUUACUUUAUCAUGCUGCGUGAAGUAGUUAUUAGAAAUAGUGACGGCCGUAGAAGCAUGAAGCACAUCGAUCAAACCAUCUUGACACCGAGAAAAGUGACAAUGAUCAAUCCAAAUAUGUGAAGAAUCAAAAAUGGCUAUUGCGUCACCAUCCGAUCCUUUCCGGUUGCCAAUAUGAGUGGGGCUGCUCCGCACCCGACCCGACUUACCCGGUUUACAAUCAUGGAUACUUAUCCCAUGUAUAAUGACAUGACUUACAUGCUGGAUCGUUAUGCAUGGCCCAUAAGCAAUUUCCACUUUUGCUCCUCUUCCAUCAAUCGUCUUGUAGCUGUUCAUGAUGAGUUCGUUUUGCAAUACUAUGACCAUGUCACGUGCGAACGUGAUCCAUAGUGGUUUGGCUUGGAUCACCGCGUGUCUAAGAGUUCCGGGUCUGGGGUUUUCAGGGUCGUCUGUUGGGUUUGUAACCACGUAAACCGACCCGUAUUUCCCCCCGACCGCAGCUUUCCCAAACCCUACCGCGCAAUCCGCAAGGGCUCGACGGUUAUACGCCCAACCAGGGUUUCUACGCCAGCAAGAAUCGAUGGGAUUUAGUGAUAGUUUGGGAAUGGUGUAAGUGUAACCAUUACUGUAGGCAGCCUCUACAAGAGAAGAAGAGAAAGCUGCCAAUAGAAGUGAAACUGUUAAGAAAAGAGAAGCCAUUUGCUUGAAGAUGAAAGGCUUGAAUUUCGAACUAUGUGUGUGAAAAAAAAAAUAUAUAUAUAUAUAUAUAUACACGAGAAUACAUAGCAUUUAUCUAUUAUAAAUUUGAAUUAAGUAUCCAAUUUAUGUAUAUAUGUGAAAGAUGAGAAGGUGGGACACACGGAUGGUGCUGACUAAUGAUAUGAAACUAUAUUAACAAUGCUCUUUGUUAUAGAUAGACGUGGUUGCACGAGCUUAAGAUGACGAUGGAUUGGUUUGACUUUGAGUUUUUAUUUUGUAUUUGUUUAGUAAUCUCACAAGUUUCGGAUCUAUAUUAUAAGUUUAAUUAUAUGUUAAACAUAAAGUUUAGAGAAGAACUAGUGAUUACUAGUCCUAUAAUAUUGAACAUAAGUUAGUCGGUAGUCUAUGAUUCGUGAAAGUUUGGUAUACAAAGACACUGCAUUUUGACAUGCAUGGUAUCGGCCGACGCCUAUAUAUACAACAUGGUGCCAAUUAUAAGAUUUAAUUUAAUGGUUAAUACUUCAACUUGUUUAAUAUAAUGACGCUUUUAUUUUAAGACGACGACUGAGAACGAGUAAUAAUAUUUAAGAAUACUAUAUAGUUUACCAUUUGAGACGGCAAUUAAAAAAUCGCAUAUCAACAUUUUUCGAAUUGGUACUAAAGUCAACUUCUGUCAAAUCCGUACAUUUGAUAUAUCACGUUUGACGUUUCUAUUGGUAUUACAAGUAGAGAUGGAUGUGAUUAGGGUAAUUUUAGAUUUAAAGGGGAAAAAUAUGAUUAGUAGGACUAUAAAAUUGAUCUUAAGUAGUCAGUGUUAGGUAGAAAUACGAGUCUUAUAAAGUGUUUCGUGUUAACGACUUGCGACUAAACUUUCUAAUUAAUUUGUAUUACUUAAAAAAUGUAAAUGUAAUAAUAAAUUCAAAUUUUAUUCAAUAAUAAUACAUUGGAUUGUUACAUGUAUGAGCCAUGAGACAUGGGCAUAAAAAUAAAAUUAACAGUAUAAUAUUGAUGACAAACUUUUACAAUACUUUCUAUCUUUAAUAGCAAGUACUCGACCGUUAUUUAAUCUAGCUAUAUAAUCUUUGAAUUUUGAUCUGUAUGUAUAACAUGAAUGUAAUCCAAUUUAUAAACCAACAAAUUAAAAUUCUUUUUUGUAAUGACCUUUAUACCACAAUGUUUCUUUAUGCAUAGCUGCACAUGCCAUAGGCACACGAUCUCCCUUUCUUGCACUUCUUAAAGCAACCUCCACAGUGUCUCCUAUCGAACAUCGGGUUUACACAAUAUCCAUUGCAGCAAACCUCAGAGUACUGACAGCUUUUUCCACAUCUCCCGCAGUUCAGUUUGUUGGUUCUCAGGUCGACGCACUUCUUACGACAACAAUCACGACCUGGACUGCCUUUGAGACGACAGACUUUGGAGCUUUUGUCACAUGUCAGUGCUGCACCUAUACGUUUCCUACCCUUGUUGCUUGCAUUAGCGGCUAUCACCCGACCAUAGUUGCCAUGAUGUUUCGCCUCGACCUUUAGCGGUUCGCUAAAUGUUAUAGCAAUGGCUAAGACCAUUAUGAGUACCAUAAUGAAAUAUGAUAUCCUGAACGUAUUCAUGAUUCUUGUUUGGUGUGGUGUCUUCUUUUAAGUAAUUAAAGAAGAGAAAUUGCAAACAAAAUCUUUAGAAUGAGAUGUAUUUGCGUGUGUUUGUAUGUGUAUGAAUGUUUUUAGGUGAAGAGUAAGGAACGGCGUGAAUGGGUAUUUAUAGACGAGAGAAUGAUGCAUAGGUCAAAGAAAAAGUUUGUUAAAAAAUUAGGUGUCUUAAGAAAACUAUUUGACUUUUUAAGACUCUUUUUAGUGGAGUGGUCAAUUAAAUUCGAAGAGUUUAUAUUUCAUAAGUAUAAACGAGUUAGGCUCGCGUUGAAGGAACAAACAAACUGUAUAAUUUUCUAAAAUUAGGCAGAACAUAAGUCGAACAUAUGAAAUUCAUUUUCGCAUUUGGGAAUUGUAUAGUUUAAAUAAUUAUAUCAUUUACAUAUCUCCAAAAUAUAUGUUAUCAUCUUUUUAAUAUCAACGAUAUUUUGGAGCCAAUAAUUUCAAGAGACAAGCUAGGGAUUAAAUAUUUAUUUAAUAAAAAUGAGGAAAUAUCUAGAUAUUUUAUUGAAAGGAUCAAACCAUGAGAUAUAUAUAUAUCCAAGUGUUUAUUAUUAUUAUCUAGAGAUAAAAUAAAGAAAUAAUAAUUUUAGCUAAAAGUUUAAUCCAACUAUUAUUGUAACGUCUCGAUCGAGCUCCGUUAGUGAAUUUGAUAACUUCCUGAUCCUGACAACUCGAUCAGUUCGUUUCAAAAGCUCAAAGGACUUAUCUUUAUCUACUAAUUUUUUUUAUAGAAAACCAAUAACUAUUUUGUUAAUUAAUUCAAUUACAAACUAUAAUGUUUUCUGUUUUCAUAUAGAGAAAUAUCUAAUAUAGAUAGAAAAAAACAUAUUAGAUAAACAUAGAAGUAUGUAAAUGUAGAUAUUUAGUAAGAUAUGUUUUCUAAAGUGCAUAUGGAACUCCACUAUCCAAGUCAUUCGUCUUUUUGUUGUACACACUUUCGCCUUUAGGUGCCAUGUUUACGAAACUUCCUGUCUAUUUUUUUUUCUCUCUCAUUUUCUUGUCAAAAGGUUGAAACAUUAACAUAAACUACAUCAAUCAUAAAUAUAAUAUGAAGCAAAUAAAUAGAUUUAGAAGUAAACGAAUACGGUGGGAAAAUGGUAUGCGUGGAAUACAAGAUUUGCGUAAUAUACGCUACAUGAAUCAACUUGUUCAAAGUUGAACAAAAUCGGUUAUGAGAGCACUCGAGAGUAGGCGUUGACACUUUAGACACUUGGUGUUAUAAUAUAAUUUCGAUGAAUAAUAUAUAUUCGUAUCUAAGACAAGUACAAAUGAGUCCCAUUCAAGGACAUUACUGCAAUAGAAAGUUCGGACUGUGACAUUGUAGCACAACUAAGUUAACCUAGAAAUACAUGAAAAAAGACAAUGCAUGGUUGAAUUUUAGUGGUACAUGUGUGACCCUUAUCGUUCUUAUCGAACCACUUUGUUUCAUUUGCUCUCUAUGUGAUUGUAGUUUCUGUCUCAAAAUAUCUCAUGACACUUAUCUACAAAUAUUUACUGUUGUAUCUAAUAAUAGCUGUAAUACACGAAACGUAAGUCUCUUUAUUCAAAUUAAAGCCGUUAUAAGAGCACUCGAGUACCAAGGGAUUGACUCUUGGUCAGUUGCUCUUCCAUGGAUUAACUAGUUAAAUUCAGUAACAUAUUUUAAUUAUAAUUUUUUCUAAUGAAUUUUGUGAAUGAAUGUAUAUAUAUACGCGACCGAAGCUUAGAAAUUUUAGCCACAGAAAAAAUAAUAUUUAAUAUCCAAAAUAAUAAUAAUAAGAGUACCACAAAGAAAAUGAUACUAUAUGUUUGUAAUAUUUCAAAAACUCACAGAAUUUAUAUAUGUUAAACACCAUUACGGCACAUCAAGAUAGUUUACAUCGAUGAUUGUAAUAGUAAUUAAUGUAACUAAUAUAUACAAACUAUAACAUGAAUCACAAAACGUUUGUUUUAUUAGAAACUUCUCAUGGUAUAUGUUAUUUGGUUCCACAUAGUGAUGAAGUCUUCAUUAAGAUAUUUAAUAAUAAUUUCAGUAUUGUAUUCAAGAUAACCAUAAUUGAUUUUCUCUAAAAUCUUUUUGAAAAUGGGAAGUAAUUUUUUUUGUUCUUACCAUCAUUUAAUCAAAAGCUACAAUAGUUUACAUCAAAAACAAUUUCAAAAAAAUGCUUAAAUAGUGAAUGGAAUGUACCGCCACAAUAAUACGCUAAUAAAUACAAUGACCAAAAAAUGUAAAAUAGAAAAUUAGGCACCUAGUGAUCAGAAAAAAAAUCUCUCUCAUACAAAAGUAAACUUGAAAAAGGCCUUUCUCACAUCUUCAGAGCCUCAUGUGAUCUACAACAAUAACAAAAAUUGAUUAAUAAAAAAAUCCACUUUAAGAAUUUGAAGAAUUAACUAAAAUUCUAACAUGCAUAAUUUUGGCAUGCUUAAUUCGGGAUAGUGAGAUGUUGACAUCCAAUGUUUUCUUCAUAUGAUCCAGAACGCCAUCUUCAAAAAUAUCCCUAUUCAGUCUUAUAAGGUAACUCUUUUCAGGUCUUUCACACAGAUACAAUCACGCCAUAUUUGCAAUAAUUUCAAUAGUGGAAGACUCUCCAUAAUUCAUACUAUAGUAUAAAUACUAUUUUUAUUUUUUGUACAUUAAAUCCAAACAUGCAUGUUAACAUCAUUUGAGUUUUAAUUGAAAUACAAAUCGGCAUGCGCUAAGAUUAUCUUCAAUGGUGUUCCAGUUCCAUUCAAAUACAUAAAUUUCAUUACAUUCUAAGUAGCAUUUGUGAAUUUCAUAUUUAUUUUUAUUUGAACAUUAAUUUCAUUUUAUUCUACAUACAAUAAUAUUAUAUAUAUAUAUAUACAGUAUAUUUUAUAACUGAUCAAAUGUAUUCGCUAAUAAUACUUAAUAGUUUUAAAUUUUCAACUAUGUUAAAUUAAAUUUACUUAAAUAAUACAUACCACCUACAAUAAAAAUAUCACCAAUCAAUAAUUCUAGUAAAAUUAGGAAAUCAUAUUUGUACAACUAUUCUAUACAUCAAAUUGCUAUUUGUACCACAAUUAGAUCAAAAUAUAAUAUUUACUGCAAGUCAAGUUCAAUAACUCGCAUGUUAUCAAUCUGAGCCUUGAUAUUUCUCGUCAAAGACCACUUAACAAGAUGUUAUAUCAAAACAAAAUUCAGAUUGUCAAAAUUUUAAUUGUGGCAUAAUGGUUAAGUUUUUCCUUCGAAAUAAUGAUGUCCCGUGUUCGAACCCAGCUGUCCCCUUUUAUUUCCUUUUUAUCGAUGAAGGAUCUAGAACGACAAAGGGAAGCCCAACAACGAAGCGAACGUGGAAUCUGCUAUGUCGGCGGCGGCGAUUGAUGGCGUGUCGGCUUUGAGAUCGGUGUUUCAGCGGGUAAACCAGGCGGCGGAGAAAGCGGGUCGUGGAUCAGAUGGGAUACGGGUCGUAGCGGUGAGCAAGACGAAACCUGUUUCUGUGAUUCGCCAAGUCUACGACGCUGGUCAUAGAUCUUUUGGAGAGAACUAUGUGCAAGAGAUCAUUGAGAAGGCACCUCAGGUUCUCUGCUUGCGAAAUUUCUACUAAUCCUUGAAAAAUUUGAACUUUUUUUUAUUUGGUACUUAUUGGAUUGAAAGAGUCUGAAUUUGAUUUGAAAUUGCAGCUUCCAGAAGAUAUAGAGUGGCAUUUCAUUGGGAAUUUGCAGAGCAACAAAGUGAAGCCUUUGCUAUGUAAUUGAUUUUGCCAUUUCAAAGUUCUUUCAUGCAUCACUCUUUUUUCUAUCCGACUUGACUUUUAUAUUGAGUUUCUUAAUUGGGUGCAAAACUCCACACUUGAGUUCUGCAAUUCGCUGAUACUUAAUCUCUGUUGAGUGUGAUUCCGAGUUUUUAUUUGAGUCUUUGGUAUGUUCUGUUCUUAAUUCUUUGAUUUGGUUGCAUGAUUGAUCAGCUGGAGUGCCUAACCUUGUGAUGGUGGAAAGUGUUGAUGAUGAAAAGGUAAAAAAUUAUCUUUUCGUAUAUUGAAAAAGAAGAGGUUUGGUUUUGUAAAUGUUCUAUAGCUCUUUCGAGGUGUUGGAUAACAAAAACAUCAGGAUCUUUGGGUAAUAAUACUGCAGACUGUGAAGUCUACCAAAUAUUUGUUGAACUUUUGUUGGUAUUGAACUGUAAAUGCUGAUGUAAUGACAAGUAAAGAUGCAUGGAGAGUUUGAUUAGAUCAAACACAUAGUAAUUUGAGGAAUAUGCUUGAGACAAUACUGCUUUUCUCUAAUUACAUUGGCUUCAUAGAUUGCAAAUAUGCUUGAUCGUGUGGUUGGAAACAUCGGUAGAAAGCCCUUGAAGGUUUUGAUCCAAGUGAAUACCAGCGGUGAAGAGUGUAAGAACCUGAAAAUCUGGAUUUUUUUUCUUUAACAUCCAUCUCAAAUGUUUUCCCACUUUCACCUUUCUUAAUGAUAUCUUACAUGAUCAUCUUAACUGAAACUUCCAGCUAAAUUCGGCGUGGAACCCUCAGGAUGCAUAGGACUGGCGAAACACGUGAAGGAAGCUUGCUCGAAUCUCGAGUUUUCUGGGUUAAUGACAAUAGGGAUGGCCGAUUACACGUCAACCCCAGAGAAUUUCAAGGUUAUAUAAUAUGGUUUGGACCUAAAAUGUUGUUUGGCAAUAUGAUGGGACACUAGAAGGAUCUCACUUUCGUUUCUUAUUAUAUGUGUAGUUGCUUGCAAAAUGCAGAAGUGAAGUGUGUAAGGAGCUCGGAAUACCGGAGGAGCAGUGUGAGCUAUCAAUGGGGAUGUCUGGUGACUUUGAGUUAGCCGUAAGUUGUUGUGAUUGUUGAUUCAAGAUUUCAAGUGACAAAAUUCUGAGAUCAGCUCAAAAUGAUAAAGAGUUUUGGCUAUGGUUUUGGGAGUUGCAGAUUGAACUGGGAAGCACAAAUGUGAGAAUAGGGUCUACAAUUUUUGGGGCGAGAGAGUAUCCUUUGAAGAAAUGAAGUAAACAACUGGGUGAUGAGAUCGAUUUGAAGUUGUAACAUCAAAACCAGUUUCGAGGAAGAACAAGAGCUGUGGGUUUUAAAUUAAGGGUGGAAUGAUUUGUAUACGCAUUGUAUUUGCUCUGCUUUUGCUUGUAACUACAUUUCAUAGAUAUAAUAAUAAAGACGUAAAGUAAACAACAUCUUGUCCUUGCACGGAUGAAUAAAGUAAACAUGCUACGAUAUUAGUGAGAAGUUGUUAGAAGGUUGUCACAAGAUCGCAUCGUAAACCAAAAGAAGUCACAUUACUAAUUAAGCUUUGAGAGCUCUGCUAACUACGAUCGCAAUAUGUACUUCUUAGUAUACCUAGGAAGGGGCAACACAUAAUCAUUUUAUCAGCUCAAAAUGAUAAAGAGAUUUAGCUAUGGUUAUGGGAACUUUCAGAUUGCUACCUUUUCUACCUUUCAGGCAUAUAUACAUAUGAAACUUUAACACCCAAACAAGAUUCCAAAGUAAGAAAAUUCAUGAAGAAGGAUCUUAGUUUGUACUGAGCGUCAUAUAUAAAAUCAAUUAAGUAAUACUCAUGAGAGAUUUCUGUAAUGUAUCAAUGCUAUUCCCUACUUUAUGUAUACUCUCUGUUGCUUUACCUACAUGAUAGGUUUCCUUUCUCAGUUUGUACCCUAAAAAUUUGCUUACACUGUUGCUGUGUUAUAAUAAGGUUCUGUUGGUUGAUGAUCCUACUAAUCCUUCGCUCACAAUGCGCAUAGCAGCUUCAUUCGUGAACUUCCUUGCAAAAAGAAAGCACGGGACUGGUUUUGAAUCCGCCUUGCACCAUUCAGUUCGAGAUUCAGACUCGUAAUAGACAUGGUCUAUUUUCUGUUCAAGAAAAGAACAAGAACGACAAAUUACUCAAAAGAUCCAUUAGGUUGUGACUAUGAUCACCGGUAAAGAACAAUUAUAUAGUACCUUUACUUCUUUAAUUUCCUCAGGCCCAGAAUUUUCAACUGUGAAAGUGACGGGAUGCCAAGAUUUGGCUUCAUAUUUUGUAGCCGAAACGUUCCAUACAGUAUAUGUCACCGUUCUACGUUCCAUUUCACUCUCUAGUCCUCGCAUCUGAAAAGAUCAGUUUCGAAUACAUUACCAACAUGGAAAUUUUUAGAUGGAAACAAAAUUGGGAGAGAUUUUGAUCAGAUAGGAUUACCGUAAGCAAUGUUUGCACAUAGUGUUCAUCGGGGAUGCAGUUGCGCCGGUUCUGUUUCUGAGUUCACAUCAAACGUAAAAAAAAUUCCACCAUUUGAUUAAGAAAGAAAGAGGUAAAUCAAUGAAGAGAAGUGUUCAUAGACUACAGAAUAGACAGUGCUGAGAUUGUUUUGAAACCAACACUAUGAAUCAACAUAAUCGAUUCAGGCUGCUAUAAAAUGAAAAAUCCCAACUUCCAAGUAUAACUUACAAGAAACAACCAUGCCUCAUUGGUACCUAAAGGUGGACAUCUCUGCAAUUAAAAGAGAAUCAUCAUAUAAAUAUCCUUGUUUCUUCAGCAAAAAUAAUAAUCAAGAUUGACAUUAUGACAACAAGAACUGAGGUUUUCCUUAAUGGUGGAACUGGUUUCUACAAAUUUACCUUGCAGAAUUCCUUGAAAACCGGGAAUACGAUAUCAUCAUUUACAAUGACCUCUGCAUGACUUCUGAUCAAAGCUAUCCACUGCAAUAGAUCAAACUAGGAUGCAAUUAAAAACUUUAUGAACUUCAAAGAAACCUCUUGUCCCUCUGAACCUGAUGCUUAAAUAUCCAGAAGACACUCAGGUUUCAAAAUUGUUGGUAAGCAAUCAAAUUCAGGAAUGUUGGUUUCAUAAGCAAGGGCAUUGAAGAUACCUGGGAUCCUUUCCGCCAUUUCUCUUCAGGUAUGACAGGAGACAUUUUCACACUGUACCGUGUCUCUUUAGUAUGAAGAAAACUGCAAAUAGAAAGCAAUAAUUUUUGUAUCAUCAUCAUCAUCAUCUAAAUAACUCCUCUUAUACUAGACCAGUUAUCAAUCAGGCCAUCAUAAAUUCAGACUUGCAAUCUACCUAUCCACAAAACUCCUCGGCGAAGAGAUAAGAUAUCUGUAUAUAUAGCCAAAGUCAUAUAAUGGAGCACAUCUGCAAAACAGAAAGAAGAUCAUUGGAAAGGGAUAUCAAAUCAAGGAAAUGUAUGCAAAAAAUGCAAAAUUCAGCAAGCCAUGAGUAAUGCUGAAAGAAGCACCACACCUGUCAGAGAGAAGAACAAAUCUUUGAUUGGACUGAUCCUCUAAAGCAGAUGCAAGCAACAAUCUUUCUGCUGCAAUCAUGCUUGAUUCUCCCCAUACUACCUAUACCCACAAACACUCAUCCUAAGUUGUAAUUCAUCCACUAUAUAAUCCCUUAGGGAACAGUCCAAAACGAACACUCACCUUAAUGCUAUUGUUCAAUUGGCGAUUAUAGAAAUACUGAGAUCGCGUAGUGUCUUCAUUGAACACGAAACCAGGUAAUGAAUGUACAUAAAUUGAAAAAUUCGCAUGAUCCACACCCUACACCAGAAUCAGCAAUUUUUAUUCCAAAUUUGAAAAAAAUAAAAUAAAGAGCUUAAUUUUAAAAGAGUUGGGUUUGACCUUGAAGAAUCUAUCCCACAUAAAAUCAAGUGGGAGAUCACGGCGAGCUAAGAAAAGGAAAGCGAGCUUGGGACGACGAUCGCCGGAGUAUUCACGGAGCAGAGUGUGAGAUCUCGCAACGGAGAGCGGCGACGGCAAUGUCGCGACGGAAUGGUACUGUAGUUGAAUCCUGAGGAGAGCGAGAAGACAAAGCGCGGCGGAGAAAGCGAUAACGAGCUUCCAUCCAAGCCAAACGAAGCCGCGACGUGACAAUGGGGGCUGAAUCUGCGGCUGCGGUUUCCUCGUCAUUGUGAUACCUCGGAGAAAUCGCGAUCAAACAUUCGAGUCUCAAAAAAAGCUUCUUUAGGAUUUUGUGAAGUCAACAGAAAAGUUGAGAAGAAAAGGAAACUUAAUAACUGGAAUUAAAACAUUUUUGGAUUUGAGAGAAGAGAAGAACUGAAGAAAGAAAGGUAGACGAAGAUGGUAGUUAGACUUCUUCAAACGACGUCGUAAGCCACCUACAUGUUUAAGUUAGGUGGGGUCUACUUUCAUACAAAAACAAUAAUUUGUUGUCCGAAAUUUAAAUUCAACUAUGAAUAUGUUAUAAAAUGGUAUGUUUUUUUUUUGACAAUUUGACUAAGAAUAUUAAUUAUUCAAAUGUAGUUAAUUAUUUUCUUUCUAAAUAAAUACAGUUUUUUACUUUUAUUCCUUUAUUACAAAUUAAACAAUGGUGUCAUCACCAAGUUCUCACAAGUCAAACAGAGUCCUUAGAAAGAGUCUAGGCCUACACAUUAUAAGAUUUACAAUAUAUGUCAACCUUUUUUCAUUUGCUCACCAAAUGGUGCUAGAUACAAAACAAUGCAAAAGAAGAUUACACAUCAAAUUCAUUCAUCUGCCAAAAAAAAGGAAUUAAUGGCCUCCUCCAAUUUCAAAAAGUUACAUUAAAAUUCCCAUUUUUGAAAAAAAGGAAUCAUUGUUUUCAAGAGACACAUGUCUCUUUUUUUACAUAUAUAUAUUACACAACAGCAAAAGCCAACUACAAAUAGCCAUUGGCUUUACAUUCCUACAAAAUCUGCUGUCACUCCUACAACAACAACAAGGCAAUAUAGAAGUUUUUAGCUGAGAUCUGCCAAUAAUGUCUCCACUUCUUUCAGUGCUUGUUCCACUGCGUAUAUCACCAUCUUCUUUAUCUGUUUUCACAUGGCAAAGAUUAAACAAAAAAAACGAAAGUUAGCAAAGUAUCACCUCACUUACAGAUUAAACAACAAUCCUAAGUUAGCAAAGGAUCACCUCAAGUUUGUCUUCUCUAGCUUUGUGGUUCUUUGGGAGCUGUCGGAACUCAUCAGUCAAACGGAGACACUCAUCGAUGUUCUCUGGGGAAACAAAAUCAACAGCUACCUUUGUACACGACUGUUUCAAAUCCACAUUUAAAAUCAUUUUAUAUAUGCUAAGGGCAAUGAGAAGAAGUUAUAAUUUAUAAGACAAAAAUCAUUCAAACAAUAACCUUAAGAUUCCGAACUUGAUGAGGACAACCAGCGGGAAUAAACACUGCUUCUCCUAGCUUUUGCACAAAUGUCCAUGGCUCAAUCCCUUAUAUUCAUAUAACACAAAAACAUAUGAAACAUAUGAAUAUAAUAAUGUGGGAAGUCACAGUUAUUACAGUUACCAGUAAACCAUACCAAAUUCCGCCUUGAGUUUUCUUUUAUGCUCCACGGUCAAGAAACAAGAUUGGUCAUGUAUCGGAUGAUACACCUAACAAAAGAAUCCUAUCAGCCAAAAUAGCCUCGAGACUCAUGUAAUGAAAACGUUUUGCAGAUGUUUCUUUUCUUACCUUUGUCACAGGAGAGCAAAAAGUAUGUCUGAAUUCUUUGCAAUGCUUCCUUAGAUACUCUUCAAGCUUAGGAACAUCUUCUCUUCUAAAUAUGUCCCAGAGUGCACCACCCGUAUCAUCAUGAUACCCAUUCUCAUAACUCACAAUCUCUUUUCCCUCUGAACCAUUUUGCUCCUGAAGCUCUUUCUCAUUCUGUAGCUUGUGUUUCUGUUUCAGAGCUUCGAUUGCAACCCGUUGCUCCUCAGUUAAGGUUACUUCAGCCGUAUGCAUCAGGAUGUUCACCUACAAACAAGACACCGUUAUAUACUUGACAAACUACAUUUUGUAUUCAUUAGUAUUGUGUAAGAAUUCUGGAACUUACUGCAUCUGACAUAUCACAAUGAAGCUUAGUGACUGAAUCGCCUCUACCAAGCUCAUCUGAAGUCCCAUAUGCAAUGUAGGUUUUUGGACCAAGAUCUGGUUUAAGAAGUCCUUCAGGAAGUUUUGCAGCAAUGUUGAGAAUUCCGGAUCUAGGAUCACUAUAUUCUUGGAAUGGUAAUGCGGAAAUAAACUCAUCGCAGUGACGAGGUAAAAGGUUUUCAAACUUGUCUGAAGGAGGCCAAUCCUUCAGCUUCAGCAUCUCAGGCCAGAAGUUAGCAUAUCUUCUCCCUUUGCUGUAUCCUUCAAAGAAACAUCGAGUAUUGAUCUUCACCUGAAAUCAUAAGAAACAAGAUGAGCUAUAGAACCUCUAUCCCACCUCUAAAAACGUUAUAAGAAAUGAGUUUCUACCUCACAAUUAGCUAAACAAUCGAUAGCUUUGACAUCAGCCAUAUCAGUGCUAGUUGGUGAAUCAACAUUCUCACAUAAAGCCCGCCACAUCACCAUUGGCUCCCAGCUUAAACCAGCUGUGUUGUUAAGAGCGUUUCGAACAAUCACUGGUUCACCUUUGGACCAAUGCUCUUGGAAAUGUAGAAGCUCUUCUUGCUUCAGGACAUCAAAAGAAUCAGGAGAGUAGAGGUAAUUGUCACUGGAUCCGUCCCUUGAAGCUGCCUUCCUCUUCAUACUCGCCUCCAAAUCAGAAGAACAUCCACAAUAUGACAAUGUUGGAUUGAUAACAUAAGAGGCUAAGAAUGUCUCUGCCUUAUGCUCCAAAUCUGAUAUCAAAGUCACCGGUAGGAUUCGCUUAAGCUCCAACACAGAUUCACCGCAACCGCCUAGCUCUUUUAGCGCACAUGGUAUGUUUCCAUUUUCAUCAGCAUUCCACUUAAUGUAUGUAGUUUUAGUUUCAUCCUCAGAAACAGAAGAAGAGCUCGGUUCUGCAUCUUCGCCAUGUAUAUAUCGGGUCCCUUUAUUCUCGAAUUGUAGAUUGAAUUCCGGGCGUUCUGAAAGCCAUCCUCCACGGAUCUCUUGGCAACAAUUCAGACAAAGCUCAUAAGAGCACUUUGUACAGCUUCGAUGCAGGUCGACAAUUGAGGUUGCACAGUGGUUACUACAGCAAAAGAUGAUAAGUCAGUAAUAUAUGAAAUAGAUACAAUGUCAAUGUAACUCUUCAAACCAAUGCAAAAUCGGGUGAUACUUACCAGAAGACGCGCUCUUCAUUUGAGCAUAGAGACUCGGAUAUAUCAACUUGAGAAGGCACUACUCCUAUAUAGAACAAAUCAAUUUCAUUUAUCUUGUAGCAAGAAAAAAACCUCGUGUUAAUAGUAGAGAAGAUUGCUUUAUACCUUGAAUUUUUCCCUCGGAUUCGAUUUCUUGAUCUUGUGCUUCGCAUAGCUUUUUCAGGAAAGGAAGCAUUGACACAAUCAAGUAUCGAAGAUGAUAAAAUCUUUCGUAAUUACUGAGCUUUCUCUUUGAUGUCUGCAAGACAAACAGAUACAUUAUGGGGACACACUCAUGAUUGUUCUUCACAUUACUUCAAAAAGCAAUCAUAUUCAUUCUCAACAUGAAUCUUUUGGCAAGAAUACAAUCAUACCUCGAUUAAUCCACUCGAAUGCAAACAUGAGCAGCAAUUGCAAGUUCCACGGCAAAAGGGACAUUUGUCUAUGACAUCAUCCUUGGUCAUAUGGGGAUACCUGUGACAGACCACAAGAUUAGUUAAGGAUACUAAAACAUAUAGCCAAAAGAAAGUUAGUAAAGAAACUUCAGGACAAAGACUAACCAUUUCUUUAUACAUGGAAGACAAUACAACCUCUCUUCACAAAAGGUACAAAUGAAGAGAUAUCUUCUUUCCCCUUUAGAGCAUUGAUGGCAAAUUGCAAGAUCUCCCAAAUCAGCCUGUGGAGAGAAGCAAAAAGAAACAUGAUUUCAGAAAAAAGUAUUUGAGUAAAGUUUCAUCGCAUCAUGUGUUCUUGUUGUGUAUAAGAACAAUUGUUUACCUUUAAGUUCCUUGUCAUGAUUCUGCAGUCACUAAAAUUCUCGCUUUUCAGAUGAAAAUCCGGGAGUUCAGACUCAGAACGUGAACUAGAAGCGCUAACAUCAAUAUCGUUUCCAGGAAACCAAACAUCCCCACUGUCUGAAUUCUUGCUCCUGCUGCGAGAUGUUGGCUUGGUGAAAGAAACGAGUUGGAGUUCUUGUUCCCAGUUCUUGUCAUCAUCAACAACUUCUUCUUCUUCUUUAGCUCUCCUUUUGACAGAGCUCCUCUGCUUCUUCUCUACUUCCUCACAUUUGCUUUCAACACCACCAAUCCCAUCUCGCUUCUUCUUUCUUGAAGGUUUAGCUUUAAUCUCAUCAGCUUUAGAGCGUUUCCGUCUUUUAUUAGAGACUCGCUUCACACAUUCCACGCUACUCUCUUCUUCUAUGUCUGAUGAGCCACUGCUAAGACUCGUCGCCACAAGCAGUUUCUUCUUCUCCGGCCAACAAGUUCCUUUUGAACCCUCCUUCCCACCCUUAUGUUUAAGAUUCACUCCAUUAGCAGUUACUACAACACCUUCCAUAUCCUCAACUUCACCUGCCAAAAAAAAAAAACAAUGUCAAUACUCAAAUUUCGCCAAUCCUUAUCAAAGAGGCACAUUGUUGAUACAAUUGAGUAAUUCAAACUACGAUUUUAAGCGUCUUCCUAGAAACUUCCGGAACCGGGGACAGAGGUAUUUAGCAUUGAAAUCCACCGGAAAAGGAUUCUACACCGGAGUCUAUAGUAAUCUUAGGUCUCUCACACAUUACGAAAUGGAUUAUCAAAUGAGUACACAGUUUCAGAACCCUAACAGUCACAGAAACAAAACAAAAUAGAGAGAUUAAGCCGAGUUCAGAGAACAGUCUGAACAAGGAUAAUAGGAAAAAACAAAACAGAACUUGACGAAUCCGAAACAAUACAUAACUGAUUGAAGACGAAAAGAAAUGAGAAUUUCAGACGAGAGAAACCAACAAAUAUAUAGAAUAUCGGAAACAGGGACAGAGAGUAGAGUAGCAUCAUCACCUUUUUAACUGUUACAAAGGCUUCAAAAACAAGAGUAGACGAUAUUUUCAGAUUGCUUUCCCGGUGGAGGAGAACCACUCCUAGAGAUUCAUCUUCUCAAUUCAGUUGACAUAAACGAAAGGCGCUCAAAUAUCAAAAUAAUUUCAUGAACACGAGAAGAAAGAUAUGUUCGAAAAUGUUUAUGAGUUAUUAAAAAAAGAAAAAAACAAAAGAAAGAAAGAGAGGAGAGAAGAAAAAUGUAACAGUCAAAGAAGAAGCUAUUUAAGAGGCGCUUCUAAAGUUAGUAGUACCCUAGUGACUGACUGACUGAUUCAUUCGUACGUCCGGUGGAACCACGCGCGCGCGUGCGUCUCUAUUUUUAUGAACCGAAGAGACCGCCGAUUCGCUCUCCGUCACAUCCACCGAAGCUUUUUGUAAAUUAAAUAAAAAAACAAUUUAUUACUAAAUCCCUCGUCUUUACUUUAUCACUACAAAAAGAAAGCAAUUAUUCUUUUCACCCAUAAUUACGCAUCGAAAUACACAAUAAUAUGGAUACAAUCUUCUUAUGCGUAAAUGCAGAUUAUGAUUACAGACCAAUUUCAUUAUCAGACGUUUAAAAAUCUUUUGAGUUUCUCUAUUUUUGUAAAUAAUACGCAGAUUUGUCAGUAUAUUUUGAAAAUUAAGAAAUAUAUCUCUAAUUGAUAUUUUUGGUCAACAAAUUGACAAAAUUGUAACUUUUAUUUUCUUUUUAAGUAGAUAUGUACAACUCACCAUUACUUUAUUUUGCAUUUACUAUUAUGGUGGUCAAUUUUUUUUUAUUGUUAGCAUUUAAGGAGAUAUACUAUAACAUUUUUUGCUAAAAAUACUACAAUAAAGUGUUGACUUAUCCUUUUUUGACAACAAAGUGUUGACUUAUCCAAAGAAUUCAACUUUCUUUUAACUUCUCUCAUAUUUUUUUGACAACAAAACGGUACUCGAUCCGUAUAUAUCAAAAAGAAAAAAAAAAAAAAAAAAAAAAAAAAAAAACCACGCAUAGAUUUGGGACUGUGGGAGUAGUUAAUAUACGAAAAAGGGAAACUGAUUUGGAAGCUGUUCCGUAUCGAGUAAUUGACAGAUGUUUGAUUUUUCUAUGGUUGAAUCGUUUGAGCAAUUAUAAGAAGAGAGAUUCCUUAGACCUUGGCACUGAUUUUUGUUUUUCCUCAACAAUUGUUGUCACAAUGGGAUUUCAAACAUGUAAACAAAUUCUAAAAAAUAUUCUCAUAAUAUACAAAUAUCUGACUACGUAAGAAAAGAACCAAAAAAAAACUAAUAACAACUAAAUUUCCCAACAUGUUUGUUUACAUCUGUUUUUUUCUUCUAUAUACUGUAUUCCCCCGGUUAAAGUGUAUCAAUGGGUCUCUUCUAUCAUUUUGACGGUGGUGACCACGAAGAACCACGGCUAGCAUGGCUAGGCGCCGGAGUAUUUUUCCGGGACUGACGUUUGGUUGGCACAGUAACACAGUCUUCAUCCGAAUCCUCUGCGCGAUAACUCGAUAUCUCAUCAAACCGACUAUCCUCAAAGUGGUCGUCUCUGAAAACCGGAUGAAUAUAUGCUUUCUGAAGAUAUGGUUUCAGAUUAAAGUAGGGAUCUCUAGCUUUUUCCAAUGUAUCUUUGACCAUAGCUUCCUGUAAACCAGGCCAUUGGAUAUAUAUCGUAAACAUACAAUCAAAUAGAGUUUCUUUUAACUGAUGACCAAACCUUGGCUUGAGUAAUAAUAGUGAGAGACUUUUGCUACUAACCUUCAAGGGGUGUCGGAGGAAUGCUGGUUCAUAGCGGCCUUUGCAGAACCGGUGAAAGAAAAAUGUGAGGAUCGGUAAGACGAGGAGGAAAGGCGUGGACUGAGCGGCUCCUUUAGUGCUCAUUAGUCCCAUCAAAAGGACUUGCGAGAUCAUCAAUGCUGAUAUUAUACGUCCAUGAACAUCUGGCCAGAACCUAGCCCCGCUUUCAUAUUCCUGAUUGUACACAUUUAUGAUCUGCCAAAACGCUUAAUCAGCAAAACAAGAAAGUUCAACAAGUAGACAAGUAUCUGUAUGAUUCUGUUAAGCUCUCUUGAUAACCAAAAGAUCAAAAACCAACAUUUUUAAACACCUUAUCCGGGUUUGGUUGAUACAACCAAGGAAAAUCUUAGGUUCAAACAAAACUUGGAAAUCUUGACUAUGGAAAAUAAUCUUGAAGAUGUUAUAAGAAGAAACAGAGUUAGGUUUGCUAACCUGAUGACGAAAUACCAGGUAGGCCAAUGCGAAGAAGAUAAUAAUAAAUGGGAGUAGAACCGGAGUCACAGGGGCAUAGACAAGACCAAGUAGGAAGUAGAGUUGAAUCCGAGGCUCUGUCGCAUGAUAAUUGAUCUGUCCCGGGUUCAUUGCGUCUUCUCUAUCCUUUUCUGUUUUCACCAAGAAGAAGUUCUUUAUAUGGAAAAAGAUCAGAGGUUUCAGCCUCAGUAUCUCCCCUGCAAUACCCGCCCAACCGUCCACCAUUAUAUAUGUGAUAAAAAAUGUUGCUUUUAUCGGUAUCGCUACUCCAACUGUCCUAGGAAUCCUAUAACAAAUGACAAGUGCAAACAAUACAUAAGCUCGACGACAUACAGUUCUAAUAGAGACAGGGACAAAGAAAUAGGAACUUACUGAUUUGCAGAUUGUUUGAGGAAAGAAUCAAGCUGUUCAAAUGCAGAGCCGGUAAUUAUGCUUCCGAGGAAAACAUUGACGAGGUUAAAGACAUAAUACCGAGCAGCUGCUCUUCUCUCUAACGAUGAUAACGAUACAAACCCUUCAAACUUCGACAUUACCAUCAAAAUGCUUGGCAGAAAUAUUAGAAAGAGCUUUAACACAAUACCCGGUAGGAAACCUUGGAUAACCGAUUUAACAAGCUUCCUGCAAAACAUAGCAUAUUUAAACAUCUAGACAAAAAAUGUAGAGAGACAGACAGACAGACAGAGUCACAGAGGGAAACAUACUUAUCAAUGAUGGAUUUGAGGAAAGGAGCGGAUUUCUCGAUGCCUUCGAUGCUUGCUAGGGAUUGAACAAAGGCUAUCGGAAUCAUGAAGAAGAAAGUGAGGAAGAAGAAUGCAAUGUGCAUUAUAAGUCUUCUAACUGUUAAAGAGACAUAAGGUAUGGCGAGGUUCGACCAAAACACUUCUCGUGCCUCGGGAGCCCAUUCAGUUAACCAUUCAGUCGGAUCGCUUGACUGUUGAGUCUGUGCACAAACCGCAGCACCCCAUCGUGUUUUAAAUGAGACAAAAGCUGCUGGCAUUAUACUCGAGUCAUCUUUCUUUACUUUCUUCCUCUCCUCUAAUAUCUAAUCAAGAAACCAAAAAGAUAAGUCAUGUUUGAUUAUUUCGAACGGAGAAAGGUGUUGUUGCAAGAAAUGAGAAGACAAACGAUACUCACUUGCUCAUUUAAUUUCUCGAUUUCAGCUAUAUAAUGAUCGAUUGCGUCAACAUUUUUCCCCCAUAGCCCGAGAAAACCCGUCUAGUUUCCAAAAGAAGACAACAUAAGACAGAUUAGAGACAAGAGAAGCUUCUUUAAGUUUGUGUCUAAGACCACUCAGUUACCUUUAUCCUUGGCCUUUGUUCCUGAUUUCUUGUAUACUUCAAUUGGUAAUAGUCAAGCCAAUUCUGCGUGCUCUUCUUCUGCUCUACUAGUGCUUCCAAAUCGUUUGCAUUAUACACAACCUGGACAAAUCAAGUUGUAGGAUUUAAACACAACCACGGAAAAAAGACCGAUCCUUUCUAAGCGAUGAAUGAGCAAAUAACCUGAUGUGUAAGAUAAUGGUCCGGAUGGUUAACUAGGAAGAAAUGUUCCACACUCUCACUAAUGGACUCGUCUGCAUCCGCUGGUACGUUCCUAACCAAAACCUGUAAAAGCAAACAGGGUCAGUCCAAGGUUAUAACAUCAGGAAACAAAACUGAUCAUAGAUAAUAGCUUUACCGUGAACUGAUCAGGGCGACGUUGCUCGUUCUGGAGAAAUGCCAAACGCAUAGCAGCUACUUUCUCAUACUCUUUCAUUAGAACAUAGCAAGUCCAGAAUGUAAAGGCGUAAGCCAUCACCAGGUGAGUCCAAAACCUUCAAAAAAACACAAACUUUUUUAAGACACAGGUGGAAGAAUAAAAACAUAUAUGAGAUUUUUUUUUUUUUUUUGGAUGAUUUGCAAACCUGUCUGAUCCACGUUGGAUAUUCGAGAUCGAUAACUUAUCAAUAUCACUAGAUGUUACAUUACGAAGCUUUGCUAGUUGCAGACCAUCACUAGUCCAAUUGACAGGUACAAGAAUCGACCAAGCAAGUAAAGCUACAGGGACAAAGAUCUUAAGCCUGAAACAAAAAAAAAAAAACAGAGAAACAACAAUAAGUCUUAAAGAUGAAACCAUGCUAAAGCAACAAUCUUUCACAAGCAAAAUUACAAAAAAAAUGAGUACCCUGUCAAGUAAAUCCUCAAGUAGACCGCAGAAUCCAAUCCAGCAUGGUCAAUAAGCUCGGGCUCGGGCAUCUUAAGAGCGGCGGGCAUCCAGUUCAAGAACCGUAGGUAGGAGCCUAAGUCCACAUUGACAAACUUGCUGACAAGAGCACCUGAAUGCAAAGGGCUGCUUCUAAUACCUUUGAGAUACCAUUUAGGAAAAUAAACCCUGUCGUUGAAAGGUUGAAUCCUCAAGAUUGCAAAUGCCAAAAGGAAGAUGAUGGCUGUGAGUAUGUUGAUACUUGCUGCUACUCCAAUAUCUUCUAGUGUUGCCAUCUCUCUUUAGCUCAAAAUCUAAUAAUCCCCUUUCAAAAUCAAAAGCUUCGUUACCUGCAAAAAUCGAUUCAAACAAACCCUUUUGUAAUCACAAAAAAAUUGCUUUCACUUACAAAAUAGAUUCAUCCCUAAAUUCAUUCAAAUGGCGUGUUGUGAAAUUUUUUAAGCAGGAAGAAGUAAUUAAUAUGGAGAUUAAUAUAUCUAAAGAUUUAUUAAAAAAAAAAUCUUUCUGAGAAAGGAAAUAGAUAUGGAGGAAUUGGAAAGAGGACAUAUUCACAGCAUUUCUAAAAAGAUAGAACAUAUAUAAUCUCUCUACAUUUUAACAUCAUCAGUCAAUAAUAAAAAAAAUGACAUAAGAGUUCAAAGAGUAAAUUAAAACUUUUAAUUGAGAAACUAGUACAUUUAAGAAGUGAUUUGAAUCAAAAUCUCUAAAGAGAAACCCAAAACCCAGAAAAUUGUGUGUGUUUUAUUAAUUUUCGGGAGUUAACGUCUCUUUCCGACAACAAAAUACACUUUUCCUAAAAAUUCUGUAUAAGCAAUCUAAACUAUAAGUUAACUCCAAUAGCACCAAAUGGAAGGAGAAAAAUGUAAAAGAAAAAAACUAAAAAAACCAAAUUAAACAAGUAAAGGAUACAUACCUUUGGAUUUGUCACUCUUAUUAACAGCAGCUUGAGAAAUGUAACCACCAACUCUUCAGAGAUCGGAGAAGAUCGACCUUAUUCUUUGCACACAAACAAAAAGGGUAAGAAAAAUAGAGGCGUUGUGUCGUUUCUUUAGCUGUUGUAAAACGCUGAAUAAACACGGAAUAAGGAAUGGUAUAUAAAGUGAGGACGAGGAAGAUGAAGAACCUUUUUCUUUUUUUUCUUUUUUUUUUCGAUUUUUGUUUCUUGUUGUUGAGCAUUUGGGUGUAUUAAUAUAUAUAGAAAAGGUGAUGUUGGUGCGCGUAUAGUCAGAGUCUCUGGCUCUGUCUUCAAAGUUAAUUUCGUCAUUGUAAAGUUUUAAGAAAAUAAUCCAGUAGAUUUGUAAGUAAUUAAUUGUCAAUUAAUUAAUUAAUGCAUGGUUUAUUAGAUUUGAUCACGAAAUCAGCUAAGCUGCCACGUGGGGGCGGCAACGGUUGUAUUACUGUACUUGCCACGUGUGUUUCCCUAUAGAACGAGAGAACUUGUUGAUAACCUCACGCGCCGAACUUUGAGCUUGACCACACGUUCCAAUAAAACAUCAGAUGUAUACAAGUUACUGUCGUUUGAAGUCUGUGGAAGCGGGGAAUGCUGAAACGACAGCGUUUUAGCCGCAAGAGAAGAAGGUGUUGUUGUGAUGUGUGAUUAUGAACACUUGACCAACCAUAAAUCUUAAACCUAGUAUUCUUCUAUUUCAAACUCAGUUUAAGUGGUAAAACUUAAACCUAGUAUUCUUCUAUUUCUUGAUAAUAUCUUAAAAUACAACUCAACUCGAACGUUUUAAUUCAAAUACAAGAUGAUACAAAAAAUGGAUAAAAUGGGUUAAAUCAUCAAAAAAAAAAAAAGACCGAAAUUGUUGAUCGGUUACUUUUAAAAGUUGAAAAGUUUUUAACCAUCUCAAUAAACGGAAUGGCAAAAAAACCAUUAAAUUUUAUUUUUAGUACAAUCAUGAUGAAUCAUGGAUCAUGCAUGGCACAUACAUUCUUUACAUCUUGGGUAACGGUAAACGCUACGUCCAGUAGGUCUAGCAGACACAUGUUUUGUUUGUCUAAUCGCUUUUCUUACUCUUUGCUCAAACACGUUCCACUCUAUCGUACUGUUCCUCAUCAGUAUGUCCGAAAGUCUCCGUUUGUUCGGUCUUAUCGUCGGCAUUUUCCCGCCUCCGUAAUAUAUCCGAUAUCCCGAUACUAGAGACGACAACUGACUCCCUGGAUCCGUCAUCGCAAACGCGUCUGCCGCAGCACAAGCUAUGAAAUCUAAAGCCGCUAGCUACACCAAACGUAAACAAAACAUAAUAAUCUCUAACCGGUUUGAAACCUUUGUUGAGGUCUUAAGCGGAACAAAUUAGUAAAGCUAAAGGGAAAAGUUUCGUUUUUUUUCUUGUGUUAACCUGAGAUGAAAAGUUCUUGAAUGGUUGUAGCUCGGAUUGUGUUAGUAACUUCUCUUUGGUGACUAGGUUCGGGUAUAAGCUCGUUAACACGGCUAACCGUUUUGAUCCUCCAUAUAUAUUUGCGCCAGCUACAAAGACUCGGGUUUCACGGUUGAAGCCGAGAGCAGCGAGCAUAAGCACCGCUUCUUCGGGUGUUAACGGACAAAGUCCUUCCGUCCUCAAAACAUCAGCAGAUGGGAACCUUGAUUACAAAAGAAUCCGAAACAGAGUAAUUUAGGUUUAGCAUCGGAAACAAGUAAGAGAGGAAGCUUGGGUCUGAAGUAAGAGGAACAAACUUUUUUUUUUUGGUUAGAGUUAAGAGAGAAGGGAAGUGUUUUUGGCGAUAAGAAUCCAACUCUUUCUGUUCUGUUUUGCCUCCUCCAAAAUAACAUAGAGAGUGAGCCACCAUGUCGAUUUCAAACCGUAGAUGGAGAGCAAGGUACUUAGAAGAGGAAGUCGCCUCAUGCUGCACUAGUGGAGGAUUAGAUUCAUUUCCCAAGAUUAAGGAAGCGAAUUUAGGACCAAGGAGAUGCUGAUCAAGUGGUGCAACGUAAGAUCUGCUGUCUCGUAGUCUCCUCAUCAGCAAAGCCGCAGUUUCUUGUAUUCUUGGGACAAAGUGUAGCGCGUGAAAGUUACAUCUGCACCGAAGCCUCUACUACCAAAAAAGUUUAGCACAAAGAAGCUAGCUAAUUAGAGAUAGAAAUGCAGAGGACUCAAGAAUUAUAUAUCUACCUGUAACUCAGACGGAAUUGGAUCAAAGGCUAAACGAUUUCCGAAUCCAACAAAGUGGACUACUCCGUUCUUGACUAGUAUAGGGAGAGUAUGUUGCAUAUAGAAGUCUGGUUUGGCUUCCUUCAUCACUUCUGAAUCUGUCACCUUAAGAGAUAAAAGUGACAAAACAUAAAACAAACAAACAAACAAAAAAAAAGAGAAAGAAAGAUGAGACUCGUCUACAUCAAGAUUUGGGAAAACUCACGACACUGCCGAUUGCUUCAAGAUCCAAAGAUUGAAGGUUUUUUGGUAGUUCCUUUACUAUCCGAAUAUCAGGUGACAAAUACUUUAUAAAAUGUUCCACUUGGUAGAUAUCUCCAAAAUGACUAUGAAGUAGCAAAGUUCAAUAAAUCCGUUACAAAUGUAAAAACAAUUCUUCUGUAUGAUUUGAAAACGGUAAGACAGUGUGAGACAGAGGACGGAGAGCUUACAAUAGUUACCUUGCAUCUGUCCAAACGUCACUUAACAUGAACUUGGGAAUGACGAGAGACGCAUUGAGCAAUCGGGCUACAACAACAAUGUUACAUACCUGUGAAGACAUCCAAUGGUUGUAAUCUACUAGAGAAAUUUUAAAGAUAAAUUGUAGGACAAGGAGAAGAAAACUUACAGCAACUCUUUGUUGAUUAAUCCCUCCGUUUGCAGUUACCAUUAUAUAUCCAUUUUUGCCAUCUAUAAAAUCAGGUAAAGUAAAACUCCAUAGGAAACAAGCUUCAACCCAAUGUUAAAGAGAGAUAAAAAAGGACUAAAAGAGAGACCGUCAGGGGUCCAAGAACGUUGAUCAGCGCAAGGCUUCCAUGCCGAGGCUUGUUCCCUUGGCUCCUGCCAUAACUCUUUUGGCUCAAGUUUGUUCUGAUCAAAAUCGAACACCAUUUCCAUGCAAAUUAGAAAUCGAUCGAAGUAGCAAAACAGUGUUACGGAGAAAGGAAGAUAAGAUUGGUUUUUGAAGAAUACAUGAUUUACCUCUGCCAAAGCAUGAGCAGCCAAACUCAACAUCCUACCAUAUGUUCCAUUAUAUUUCCUCUUUGUUUUUUCAAACUUCUUACGUUCUUCAUUCUGAUUCACACACCAAAGAAAAGUUAGAUAAAAAAAACUUUAAGUACAGGAAAAAAAAGCACAAUGUGAAAAGAGUGUAACACAAGAAACGUAAGUAAUUAAAGGAAACAAGUCAUUGACCUGUGAAAAAACUAGUUUUGAGUUCCGGUUAGGGUUCUUAGAGAGUCCUCUUCGGAGCCAGACACGACCUUCGUGAAGGCGAGAGAGCAUGAACCAAUUAACGAGACAAAAGAAACCCAAAAUCGCGAUAACGCCUAUGGCUGUUUUAGCCGUUCUUCUCUCGGAACAAGCGGAACAAGCUCGUAUUCUCUUCCUCUUCCCUCGCUUUAUCGAUUGUUUUGGAUUCAGGUCGCCGGCUAAUGUAGAGAUCCGGGUCGGGCCUAGACGCGCACCACCGUAGACGUAAAGAUCACGUGACUCGGGUCUCUCUUCGUCGUCCAGUCUCUCUUGUCCCAUGAUCAACGAAAGACUCCUUUUCUUUGUAUCCCUCCCCCUCUCUGUGUCCGAAUCGACAAAAGGGGAGAGAGAGAGAGACUAAACUAAAGGAUGUAAGAAAUUGCCAUAAAUAAGUAAGCGAAAGAUUUGCCGAAUCUAACGAUGAUAGUGAGAGUAUUUUCUUCGUUCGAAACAUCGAACAUCAUUAACGUUUGAUCUUAGUUUAAUUUUCGACCCAUAUAUAUAUGCAUGCACGUUAAAUUAUCACGUUUUCUGAAUACAGUUUUAAGCUAUAUGAACAUUGAACAGAAAAUAUACUAUACCCUUUGGUAUUUUUUCUGAAAUUAAAUCUUGAAUUUCUAAAUCACAACUACUUUGAUUAUUUAUCACCAACAAAAAGUAAAUAAUACAACUACAUCAUGCAAGAUGCAACCGGAAAAAAAAAAAAAUCGACUAGCAAGGCUAGGUAAUGGAAUCUAUAAACUUUUUUACUAUAUACACAAAGUAAAGUCAUAUGUGAUAUUUCGCUUUCGAAUUAGCAAAUCUAGUAGAAUACAACCCAUUAACAAACCAAUCUACCAGUAGAGAGUUAUUUAAAAUUAAUCAAUUAUGGGACCAUGAUGUAUCUUUAGAACCUACCAUGCAUUUGGUAUAUCUUUUAAUGGGCUUAAAGAAGAGUUGGCUAUAUAUCACAUCUAUAUUUUAGAAAUUUAGACUCCAUCUUUAGAACUUAAAGUAAAUUUAGAAGCCUGAUCUUGAUGUAUCAUCUUUAAAGCCUAUCAUCAUUAGCUAUGCUUAAACAAAACUUGGGGUUUACCGUUUACAAUACAUUUCGAUUCAACAAUAUAGUUAAAAUCUCCGAAGCCAUCAUUUGUUGAUCCAUAGCUUAAAUUUUUUCGAAUAGAACCACGAAGAAUUUUGAAUUGGUCACUCAGAUUUAAGAACUUUGUAUUAAAUUUAGACUAUGUCUUCCAUAUUAUAAUUAUCUUAUAUAUUGAAGAAAAGCAAGAGAGAAAUAAACACAACCGAAACGGUACGGGUACGUAGGUAACAAAUAUAGAAAGAGACCAAAUGUGAAAUUCUAGGGAAAACAGAAAAGCAAGGGAAUGGUUGCUGAUCAAGAGAAGACUAUUGAGCCCCGAGCUCGAGAAGUAGCGUGUGGCUGAGAGCAUCUGAACCUGGUCCUGUGAAUUGGAUCGGACCUGCAAUAAUAUUUCCACAGAGGGUACACUAAGAAUCCAAAGACAACACGUGUUUUGCUUUAAGACAAAACAAAACUGCAACGAACCUGGGCUGAUGUAUCGGUUCUUCAAUGCCCAUUCCUCACGCAGCGAUGCAAAUUUCUUAAAAGGUGCACCUGCGGAUUCCAAAAAGUCACUUAGCAAGACCAUUAAACCGCAGGGACAAAAACUAUAAAAAGAGAAGGGAAUCGAAGGGUCACCUUCAAGUUCCACCAUUGCUUUCUUGAUCACAGGCUUGAACUUACCUACAAGUUGAUAUUCAACACAGAUUGUUUAAUAUCCAUAUUUCAAAUCUGAGUAGACUCUUAUUGAUUUAUUUUCUUACCGUGUCUCCUCUCGACAUCCAUCAAGGCAGUGAGAGCAGUCCCACCUACAGUCCAGUCUUCCACAGGAGCAGCCAAGUUCCCAACCUGCGCCAAUAAAGUACUAAUCUCAAUUUAAGCAUAAACUAGUUAACCAAAAGGCAGUUUCGAUCAACAGAUACAUGAGAAACAGAGAAAAACUGAUUCGAAUGGAAAUAGUGGAGUACAAACCGAAGAAAUCAGUCCCGUUUUCCCACUGUUGAGGAGUACUCCAGCGCCAUAACCAAGUGCAUAACAGUAUGUAGCAUCAAAGUUUGUAGGCAAGCCGCAUCUUCCUUCAUACCUGUUUCAAAUCAAUAAAUUGAGUUUGUUUCCCUCACAUAGAUAGAUAAGUUAUGUAUUAUGCAGCCAUAUAUAGGAACUUAGUUCACUGAAAGAAAAAAAACGAGAGAAAGUACCCGAAGAAAUGAGACUGUCCCAUAAAAUUUCCCUUGUAUGCACCAGCUUGCUUUCUUUUCUCCAAUUCAGUUUCAACCAUUUGAAUAAGCAUCUUCUCAGUCUCAAUCUUGGCCACCUAUCAAGAUGUACGAAAAAUAUCUAUAAAUAAUCUAUGAGAUAUGAAGCUAGUGGAAAUUUAAUAUGAGGUGACAAGACUAUUAUCAAUUACCUGGACAUUUCCAUGUGGGUCUCUCUCAAGCAUCAGCUGCUCCUGAAUCGCUGCAGGUAGAAGAUCAAACAGCUUCAAGGAUUGCUCUGUGAGCUUCUUCUUCCACAGCCCAUCUUCAUCAACAACCUCAUUUGCCAAAAUCUCAUUCAGUUCUGCGAUCAGCUCUUGGACCUAAGAAGUCAUAAAUUACAGAACACAUCAGAUAAGAACACAAUCAUAUUAAUAGGCUUGAAAGUGGUAUAUUCUAAUAUCAGACACAAAAACACACCUCGGGGAUAAAAUCGAUCAGGCCUUCUGGAAUCAGUAUGACACCAUAGUUGAAACCAAGUUCAGCACGUUUGCAGAUAACAUCUACCAUGUAGUCCGUCACAUUCUUCAAAGUCUGCUUCUGGGCGGACACCUGCAAAAGAGUUUUUCCAGAUCAAAGCUAAGUAAAUGUAGACUGAUUGCUACUGAGACUUGUGUGAGGUCUCUCUGAAACAUUAAUUCCGAUAUUAAUAUAGAUUAUUGGCUUCAAGGAAGUGUCGUCAAAAUGAAUCUGAUAUGCAGUUUAAUUUUAACAUCAAUAAGACUCAAAUAUUUAGGGCAUUUUGAAGUCAAACAAGAGUGUACCUCUUCUCCAAUAAUUGUUAUGUUAGGGUGAGUUUGUAAAGCACACUCAAGUGUAAUGUGGGAAGCAGCACGACCCAUAAGUCGUACAACUGCAAUGAAAAUGUGAUACGACAUUGUAAGCAUCAGUAACAAAUAGGGCUUGUCAGAAAUAAAGCAACUAUAAGAAUUAUGCAACUAUAAGAAUUUCUGUUAACCAUUACUUACAAUGAUAGUACUUUCCAGUUGACCUUGCAUCAAUCAUGACAUUUCCAAUCAUUUCAGAGUAGAUCUGCAUAAGCAAUAAAAUGUUUCAAUAGGCUUCUUUUUCAAACUAUUCUUCUGGUAGAACAAACAAACAAUUAGAUUCUUGACAAGGAAUAAAAUCAAAAGCACACAAUUAGUUAUGUAACAAUUAGUAUAGGGAAAGCAAGGAAAGUCCAGAUAAAAACUGAUCCAAACGGUAUCUCACCUUGCAAGCUGUAUCAAACCCAAAACUAGUAGGAACCUCUUUACAUUUCAAAUCACCAUCAAUGGUCUUGGGGCAACCAAUGACUCGGGUUUUCAAGUUCUUACUCCUAAUAAUACAAGUAAAAAGCAAGUCAAAAUGCUGAAUCAAUAAAGCAUUAAAGAUUCUGUUCACAUGAAUCUUCAAGACCAACAACUUUGGACUAGGAUAAAUAAACAGACAUGAAACAAAUAUGACUCUGCCAGUAUUACCUGAAGUUUUCAGCAAGGAGGCAAGCAUUGGUGUUGGAGUCAUCUCCACCGAUAACCACCAAUCCAUCCAAAUCUAGCUUCUUUGCUGUUUCUUCAGCUUGUUUAAACUGCACAUGUGAGCCAUUUAUAAUUACUCACUGCAUGGAAUAGAGACUUUGGAAGCAGUAACAAUUCUUUUUAAACCACGAAAAAUAUUCAACCUGAUCAGGUGUUUCAAUCUUGUCUCUUCCACUGCAGAUCAUGUCAAAACCACCCUGUUGAGACCAAAAGAGAAUUAUAACCACAUCGACAUAAAAAGACAAGCAUAUCCAACCAAAAGGACUUAUGCUCCACUAAAUGUGGAUCAUCAUAGUGUAAAUGAUGAUUGCUUUGACUUAAAGUGAAUUAAAAAUGAUGCUGUAAGUUCUAACAUCCCAAAUCAAUCACAAAGCUCGUGAGAAGGAUCUAUAAAGUAAACAAGCCAAGUACCUGGUUUCUGUACGGGUGAAUAUAUUCAGCAUUCAACUCAACAUAUUUGCAUUUCAUGAUACCAGCUGGACCACCCUUGAAGCCGUAAAAUGUGCUUCCUUUGGCACGCUCUUGCAAGUAAUCUAAGAGCGGAAACAAAAUUACAAAUCAGGACAAUGUCAGCUAGAAUUCGACGAAAAUCAUCAUUACACACACAAAAUUAUGUCUUUGAAACCCUUACCAAACAGUCCAGAAAUGACAUUGUGCCCACCAGGUGCCUGACCACCGGACAAGACAACACCGAUCUUCAAUUUCUGUGCAGAAGAAGGUGCACUCUGAUCUGGGACCACUGCUACAGAUGGCUGGCCAUAUAGACCCGGAAACAACUUCGCUAUCUCAUCUGCAGUCAUAUCAAAGCAACUCUAAAUCCUCCAGAACACUCUAAUAAGUCUAUAAACCACAGAUCUGUAAGAAAUUUCUCAGACUCCUCUUGAGCCAUUGCAUAAUCAUAAGCCAUUAAGUUUCACCAAAAUCAUACAGUUAAUCAAUUCUCUCACCAAACUAACAAGAUCUAGAUCAAGCAAACGACACACAAAUCGAAAAAAAAAAAAUCAUCAGAUCAGACUGAUAAAAUAAUUCAAUCUCCGAUCUCUCACCUGGAUUCCCGGCUGCGGUACUAGCGGGACCUUCGACGAUUUUGAAAGCUCCUUUAAGUACAGAAGGCAAAGGGAGAGCGUUGUUAAUACGGCUUGAUUGAACUUCGCUGUAAACCGAAGCACGUCCUUUCGCCGGAGCAUUAUCCGGAGAGCCGACGGCGGCGGUGAGAUCUCGGGAUACGGCAAGAGCAGGGGCCAUUGCUGUGGGGUUUCUAUCGUUUUUCACCUAACUCACUUUGUAUUGUUUCGAACCUAAACUUUAACUUCCCUCCUUUCCUUCACUUCAGCGUCAAUGGAGUUCACUUCGAGGUCUCCGCAUUGGGGUUGGUGUGAAUUUAUACUCUGACUCAAGGGUAUAACGGUCAAUUCAAAAAUCAUUCUACUCAUUCUACAAGGCAAAGGGUAUUUUAGGGAUAUAUCGUUAGCGGCAUGUUUUACUAUGUUCAUAUCUUAAGGCCCAAUAAAUUAUAUGGGCUUUUCAGCCUUAAUAUUUAUAUCUUAUUUCAAUGUUUUGCAAUUUCAGAAUUAAAUGCAUACUCAAUUACUCAUACCGCAUGAUUCAUUUCAUACGACGAGCACACACAUGCGUAGACACGCAAACACAAUUAACCAAGAACGAUGUAUUUUAUUUGUUUACGAAAUCAUCAUAGAAUAUGAAUGUGAUUUCAUUAGCUUAUAUAAAAGCAGUAACAGUUGACAUUGAUCGUCGAUUAAUGUGUUUCCUCCUAAAAAGGAUUCAAUCAGCUCUAAAUGCACUUUUCUCUGUAGAAAUUUCUUAACCACAUUUACCACCUUUUGACUUUGUUGGUUAACUUCUUUCUUUUUAUAAAUAAAAGAAAAAUAUACGAAUGUGUGUAAUGUUUGAUAUGGAUCUCUCCAUAUUCAAAGAAAAUAAGUAAUGUUAAUAUAUAAGAGCAACAUUAUAGGUAGUAUGUUAAUUAGGGUAUCUUACAUUAAUUUAGUAUUAAAUUUGAAAAAGUAGAAUUUAGGAGUUUUAAUUUUGUUUUUAGUUUUGAGAAGUGUUUAUAGGUAGGAUCUUAAGUUGGGUAUCUUAGAAAAAAAUUAUUUUUUAAAAAAUUAAAUAAAUUUAUAAUUUGUAAUUUAAGAAAAUCUUAUAAUUAUUGCAAAUUUAGAAUUUGAUACAUACAAAAGAGAUAAAUUAUAAGAUAGAAAUUAUAACAUAAAGUACAGUAAAAAUUUAAACUUGAUUGCGAGAAAAUUUAGAGUGCUCGAUCAAAUCGUUCUUCAAUUGUUCAUGCUUAGCUCGAUCUCGAAGUCGAGUUCUAGCGGCCAUCAGAUUGACGAGAUUUGAAGGCAUAUAUUUGGUUUCAGUUCUUUGGGAAAAGUGUGUAUUAAGAUUUAAGAUACAACAAUUAUAUAAAAUAAAUAAANNNNNNNNNNNNNNNNNNNNNNNNNNNNNNNNNNNNNNNNNNNNNNNNNNNNNNNNNNNNNNNNNNNNNNNNNNNNNNNNNNNNNNNNNNNNNNNNNNNNUUGAAUCAUGACAUAAAAAUGAAUAUAUUUGAAAAAUGAGAAAAGUUAAAUCCUUAUAAUAUAGGAGUAUAACAUAGCUUUGGAAUUUGAAAUAGAUGUGACAACAUAAAUUCAAAAUUUACUAUGAUAACAAUUGUAAUAUUGAUUUACUUAACUAAACUUUUAAUUAAAAAAAAACUAAUAAAGUAUACUCUUAGUGAUUUAGUAAAUAUAAUAUAAGAAAUAUUUUACGCUGAAUAUUCAGUUNNNNNNNNNNNNNNNNNNNNNNNNNNNNNNNNNNNNNNNNNNNNNNNNNNNNNNNNNNNNNNNNNNNNNNNNNNNNNNNNNNNNNNNNNNNNNNNNNNNNGAAAAAAAAUUUUAGGGUUAAAUUAUUAAUUUAUAGAUAUUAUUAAUUUAUAGACGAUUAUUAAUUUAUCGAAUAUUAAUUUAUAGAGGUUUUACUGUAUUUGUAUCAUACGAGAAAUCCAUUCGUGUACUUUUGGCAGUUUCCGCUUGUUGAAAUUCAGUGACAUCAAACUGAGUAUACAUAUCUCGUUCAUCUUCAUCUGAGUAAAAUUUGUUUCUCACAUUAAAUAUUUAUCAUCUUAGUCAAUCAAGACUUUACAAUAAAAAAAAAAAAAAAAUAUCAAUCAAUCAGAGUCUGCCACGUAGGCGUCUCUUAACCCACCAAUGGUAUCUUCUCCAACAUACUCCAACAUAGGUAUCUUAAUAUUUAUUAUAUUUUUUGAUUAAAAUUUAAAUACUAUUAAUACUAAGAUACCCCUUAAAUCCUGCUGAUAAUGCAUAAUUGUAGUAUGAUGGUGUGAACAUAUUGUAAACAUAAAAUCUGAUUAGAAAACAAAAACGUUACAAUUGAGAAAGUACGUGAUUUGGAUAGAUAAACUAAAAUUUGAGAAAUUUGCUAAUCAGGUUAAUAAAACAAACAACUCCCUUGCAUGGAAGCUACGAUCAUCAAAGGAGAAGUAGGUGGCUAUAGCCACCGACUGAAGUUUUUUCUUUCUCAUUUUUUUGUCGUCAGUAUAGUUCAGAAGACACGAGAAAGAUAAAGAUUGAUUUAUUCUCUUUGUUACAAGAUAUUUGUUUGGCACGCUUACUAUAAUUAACGUAGGCUAUUACAACUUGGAAUUAAAUAAUCACAUCUCGUGCUAUUUUUGUUACGAAAAGAGAAAGUACUAUCAUUUCAAACUUAUUUUUAUUUUAUGUUCACUUCUUAGUGAGUUGUAUACUUUUCUUACCAAACAAUUGAAUUGUUAAAACAAUGUGGAAUCUUGUUCCUCUAUUAUGGACGGAUCCAAAGAUAACAUAUUGUAAAUUAGUUGUGGCCAAGGUUUAGCUAAACCUAUAUUAUCGAAAAAGCAACCUCAUAAAUGAUAAAGUUUGACAAAAACAAUGAUCAAGUUAAUUUGACAGAAAGAUUAACAUGUUUGUAUACUUUCUUCCCAAAAGAAACUAAAGUUACUGAUAAUUCAAAAGGACCAAAUCGUAAAACGUUCAAGUAUGUAUGGUUGGUAUGAAUUAGAGUACUAAAAUGAUUUGACGUUUCUGCAAAGUUAAAACUUUAAUUCCACAACUUUUUAUGAAGAAACAUUAAAACACCUCAUCGUACAACAUAUUUUCAGACAAGUUAAAACUAAAUUUAUCAUUUCAGUCACUAAAACCUAUUUUUAUAUUUGUGUGUACGCAUUUUACAAUGAUACGUUAGUAUAGCUAGAUAAUCAAAUAAAUAUAUAUUGCUAUUUAUCCAGAUCGAUCGUAUACUACACACUAUCCCUAGCCUUUCUUUUGCAUAUACAAUGACUCCACAAAGCACCAGUAGAUAAGAAUCUUCGAGCCUUUCUCAAUUUCCCUUACUUGUACGAACCUUAUAAACAAUUUAUUCACGUUAAUCAAGAAGCAAAAGAAAUUAACCAAUAGAAUUGCGCAAUUAGAGAUACAAAUGGAAAGCAUCAAAGUUUUUUCUAUCUCAAAAGCAGGAGAGCAGCUAGGCUCCCACCAAUUAUGUUGCACACAAUCAUAUACAACUUCCACAAACUCCUUUAACAAGAAAGAAAAAUUAAUUUUAUAUUUACCAACUUUAUUCUGAAUGACACAAUUAUAUGAUCAUACGACUCUAUGAUACUUAUCUAUCGUUUUCAUUAUUUUAUUUUAUUUUUUAAAUGAAAUAUUUGUUUUAGUUUAUUACGCCUAUAAAUAACGACCCUCUAUCAACCCUUCAACUCACACAUUUAGCAUCAUCAAGUAUCAGAAACUCAAGUUGUCAGUAAAAUACAGAGAGUUUACAGAGAGAGAGAGAGAGAGAGAGAUGGAGAAGAACAUUAAGUUUCCAGUUAUAAACUUGUCUAAGCUCAAUGGUGAAGAGAGAGACCAAACCAUGGCUUUGAUCGACGAUGCUUGUCAAAACUGGGGCUUCUUUGAGGUUCGUUUUUCUCUUUUAUUGUCCUUCUUAGUUAGAACUCCUUUGGUAUUGUCGUAUAUAUAAAACUUACUAUAUAAAACAAUAUAUCAAAUCAUUUUUCUCUUUUUGGGACGUUAUAAUUCUAAAGUCUUGUAACUAUUUCAGCUGGUGAACCAUGGACUACCAUAUGAUCUAAUGGACAACGUUGAGAGGAUGACAAAGGAACACUACAAGAAACAUAUGGAACAAAAGUUCAAAGAAAUGCUUCGAUCCAAAGGUUUAGAUACUCUUGAGACCGAAGUCGAAGAUGUUGAUUGGGAAAGCACUUUCUACCUCCGUCAUCUCCCUCAAUCUAAUCUCUACGACAUCCCUGAUAUGUCAAACGAAUACAGGUACACAAAAAAUAUAUAGAUUUAGCCUUAAAAUCACAGCUCACAUGCAUGAAAAGAAAAACUAAACCAUUCGUUUGUUUUCGAUGUUUCUUUAACAGAACGGCGAUGAAGGACUUUGGGAAGAGGGUGGAGAAUCUAGCAGAAGAGCUGUUGGAUUUGUUGUGUGAGAAUCUUGGAUUGGAGAAAGGGUACUUGAAGAAGGUGUUUCAUGGGACAAAGGGUCCAACUUUUGGGACAAAGGUUAGCAACUAUCCACCAUGUCCUAAACCAGAGAUGAUCAAAGGGCUUAGGGCUCACACGGAUGCAGGAGGCCUCAUUUUGCUAUUUCAAGAUGAUAAGGUCAGUGGUCUCCAGCUUCUCAAAGACAAUGAUUGGCUUGAUGUUCCUCCUCUCAAGCAUUCCAUUGUCAUCAACCUUGGUGACCAACUUGAGGUACAUAAAUUAUCAUCCGGUUAUUUAUUGCUCUUUUAAUAUGGUUUAAUCCCGGUUAACCACUUAUCUUAUUCAUAAAAUUGUGACUAGGUGAUAACAAACGGGAAGUACAAGAGUGUAAUGCACCGUGUGAUGACACAAAAAGAAGGAAACAGGAUGUCUAUCGCGUCGUUCUACAACCCAGGAAGCGAUGCCGAGAUCUCUCCUGCACCAUCUCUUGUGGUGGAUGACAAAGACUCAAAGUACCCGAGCUUUGUGUUUGACGACUACAUGAAACUCUAUGCGGGACUCAAGUUUCAGCCCAAGGAACCAAGGUUCGAGGCGAUGAAGAAUGCUGCAGUAGCCGCGGAGUUAAAUCCCGUGGCAGCCGUCGAAACAUUCUGAACUGGAUGUGGGAUACUCUUAUGAAGGCUACAAAGAUAUGAAGAUAACAAAAAUAUGGGUUUGAUAUGGUGUGGUAUUAGUAAUUUCAAUAAGUGAAAAAGAGUGUUUAAGGAUUGAUAAUGUUAGUAAAAUCUAGUGUGUGUUAACUAACCAUUAAGCAAGCGUGGGAGUGCUUUUUUUUGUAUGCAAUAAUUGUGUGGUUUAAAUAUCGAAGAUGAAUGAAACUAAGAGGGUUACAUACAGUAGGCCUAUAUAUAUAAAUGUUCGGCCCAAAGGCCCAACCCAAUAACAUUGUCUUCGAGAGUUGUUUUCUAGGGCAUCAUCACUCACUCUGUAUCAUACACUAUAAAUACCUCCCUGCAGACCUAGAGCCUAACUAUCACACGAUUUCUGUAGGGUUGUGAAUGUUGUUAAUUAGUUUUUUCUCUAGAUUAGAUCUGGAUUUUAAAAGUCUUAUUGGUUUGAUUUUGUAAAGAAAGAAACCUCGGGGUUGAUAAAAACGGGCAAGAGAGAGUAACGGUGUCUCUGUGUCCUUAAAGAACCGGCGAGGGAAACUAAUCUGGCCGAGAUAUAUCGUUUCUGUCGUUCUUUUUUCUGGUUAACGAUCUGAUUGUUACUCGUCCACAUCUGAGUUUUUAAAAACUUGUUUUUCGUUAUAAUCGUUUUGCUCAAAAAUAUUGAAUGCGAAUGAAGAAUUUUAUUAUUUUCUUCACUUUGAUCCGAUUGGAUAAUUUUUAUUAUCUCUGUGGACAAAUGAUUCAGAUUGACUGACGCAUUCAUCUUUUUGAUUGAUCGUGUAUUAUAUAUUCUUAGGUUCUCGUUUUUUUUAUUUAUCUUUUUUGUUAGUUUUGAAUUGAAAUUUCUUAAUCGAGAUUUGGAUUUUCGACAAAUCAGUUUUAAGACCAUGAUGUGAAUAAGCAAACUAAUAAGAGUUAUAUACAAAAAAAAAAACAAAAUAUCCUAAAAUUAGUGAAGACUUCAGUCAGUAAUUUACAAUGAACAAAAUGAUCAAAACAGUGUUUACUGAUGGAAUUAGUUUGUAGUUUUGAUCUUACAAAAACUAAUUUGAUUUCCAAGAUUGAAUUAGUGACUUCAUUUGGACAAACUAGUGCAGCUAUGGAUAAAACCCAGUAAAAUGAGAAUAAUGCAGCGAAAUCUUAUGUAACAGUAAUAAUCCAAUAAAAAUUAAAAGAAAAAAGAUUGAAUAAAGUAAAGUUUGUAAAAUGUUAAUCUUGAAGAUCAUAGUCAAUAUUUCAAAAUGUAUAUGUAAACCAUUGAGGAACUCGGGUGUUGUCUCACAGCUAAAUUACAAUGGUACACAAUUUAGUUGGAUCUUUUGAUAUAUUGAAGGCCCUAUCAAAAUCAGAGAUUGGACCCUUGACCGGCCCAUCUAGAGAUCCUUAUUGCAAUAUUUUGUGUGUGGUUUGGUUUGGGCGACGGAAUCAGAAAGAAAAGUCUCUCUACGACGAGUAGUACAGGAGGUGAAACAGAGGAUCUCUCAUAUUCUCUAACGAGUCAAUAACUCGUAUACCAAAGAAUGAUUCAUUGUCAACAGUAGUUACUUCAAUACGUUAUAAUCUAAUAACGUGUUUUACGUAUAGUAGAACACUGACCAAGCCUAAAAAAAAAGAAGAUGCUAUUUGCAGCAGAGCAGGCACACAUAUGUAAAACGAGUCAAAGACGUUGCGUUGAGAUUUUUUAGUACUACCAAACCAAAGUCUUUUUUUACUGCAAAUAAAACCUCUCAAUCACGUCUCAGUCGUAAUGUGACAAAGCUCCUCUGACAUUACAUAUUUUAUUUUUACACAUGAAUAAUUAGAAACAUCAAUAUGACGAUGACAACUUUUCCUCUGGCAUCAUCUAUUUUUAAUCAAUGAAAAAGGUACAAUAAAAAACAUUUCAAUAAUUCUUGAAUACUAUCGCAUGCGAAAUUUUGUUAAUAGUACGAUUAUUAAAGAUUACCUGAAAUUGUCAGGAUAUAUGAAUUUGUAAGGCCAUCAUUAACGGGAUAUUCUUUCAGAUUUUAAAGUAUUAAAAUAAUAACAAAAUAAUAAAACAGUAACAUAAAAUGUAGAAGUCGGGUUUUGGUUAACAUCUUUUUGGUUGGGAUGUUAGAUGAUAUGGCAAGUACUGAGUGGAUCUUCUUUUAUUAUUCUCCAACAUCUCCUAUUAACAUAUUAAUUUACUGUUUCUAAGCCAUAUCCUCUCAGCUCUCCUGAUAAUGAUGCCCUAAUAUGUGUGCUUUUCAUUUGGUCACUGUUUUAGUCACUACAAUAGUUUAGUUUCGAACUAAACCAUAUUUAGUUAUAGAUGAUAGUUCGUUUGGUUCAAACAAAAAUACUUGUCAUUGAGAAAUGUGUGUUUAAAGUGUUUACACCGAGACAAGAGCCAUUAUGUCUCCUCUUUUCUAUUUUCUUUUUGACAAACCCAAUGUUGGAAAUCCGCAUUUCUAGGAUUUAGUUCCCUCUAUAAAAUGUUGAAUUACCCCAUUUUAGUUUAAUGUUUACCCAAGAGACAAGAAUGAUGAUCAGAUCAUUUUUUCUAAUACUACUACUUUUACUUUGUUUAAAUAUUUUGCAAUGGAUUUUCUUUCAUUUGUAUAGGUCAAUUUUAGUAAAUAAGUCUCUCUGUAAAAAAAAAAUACUGCAAAUGAUAAGUAUGUUAAAAAUGUUGUUUAUUUUUUACCUAUUUAGAAUUGGAUUCGAAAAAACAAAACGAGGAAGAAAAAAUAUUUGUACGUAGAAGAUAAGGCAUAGGGGUCCAGUAUUAUUAUUCUCCAAGUUGCAUGAAAUCCCAAAAAAAAAAAAAAAAAAACAUCAGAUAAAGGAAUACCAAAUCAGAACCAUGAUUACCCAAACAAAAUUGAUGUUUAACUAAAAAUUAAGAAUAAAUAAUGGAUAUUACAUAAUAAUUAGCUGAAAAUAUAUAAAAAGCUUGGAGAAGAGCUAAUGUGACAAUAAUAAUAGAAAUAUACCGUAUGAGUCAAAUACUUCAAAAGGUGUUUACUUUAGACCAACCACUUAAUCACUUUCCAUAUAACAUGUUGGACGGUCAAAUAAUUUCUAUACUUUUUUUUUGGUCCAGAUUUUUUUGUUGGUACAGUAAAACAAUAAAAAUAAAAACUCUCCCUGAACUUCCUUAACCAAACCGUACAUCAUAUGGGCGUAUGAUUAAUUAGUGUUUCUAGUCAAAGUUGUUAGAGAAUUAUGUUCUUGUGUAGACGAUCUGAUUAGAACGUAAAAGUGAGAAGUCUAACUCAAACUCGAUCGACACGUCUAACAAAAAGCUCUAAGUGAUUAUCUUUUUUUUUUCUUGAUAUUCCAUUUCAGUUUGUAGCAUAUCUGUAUUCCAAGGAAUGGGAGUUUAGUUUAGUGUUUGGACUUUAAAGGCUUUGGUGAAAGAGAUCAAAAGAUUGAGUGAUCCGGAAAGGGCAAAAAUGUACAGACAAAUAAUGUGACAACAACAAUUCAUGGGCCUAGCAUAUGUGAACGGCUGUGGUGGUGGGCAGCACAAAAGAUGUCUUUCCACUGGAAAUAUAUAUUAUUUAGUUACUUUAGUAGUAUUACACCAUACAAAGUGAUCCUAGAACCUAGUAAAGGAAUAGAUUAAUCGAUUACACAUGUCUAGCUACCAGCAAGUAUCUAGGAAGUAACAAUUCUACUUUGUAUUGUUCUCAAUAAUAUAGUGUAUAUAAUCUUUGACGGUAAUAAAUAACUGAUGCAAAGUUUAAAUAUUUAAUAUCGUUUAAUUUGUGGUCACACCGUAAUAGUUAAUGCGCAUAUCUUUAAACGUAGUAUUAAAUACGUACAAUUUUACCGAUGUUAUAAUACAAUGAUACUUUGGUCGCAUUAUAGACACAAUUAAAUGAUUCCACAGGAAAACUUUCGGAGGUAAUCUAUAAUAACAUGUUGGCCUAUAGAUAUCAUCCAAGUGAAUUUUUAAUAAAUUCACAACAAAGAAAAGAAGAAAAAAAAACAUUUUUAGCUUUUUUAUUUCAUUAAACUUUUUUCUAAGCCUUUUUUUUAUCGGCAAAAAAUUUCUUAUCCCCAAACACCAAAAACUUUCUCACCAAUGAAACUCACAAAUCUCCUUACGGUUCCCUUAUCCUCCUCCUCCGCCUCAAGAUAAGCAUCUCCGUCACAAAAUUCCUCCGUUGGUUCUAAACCUCCGUUGCAACCAUCAGCUAACUCACUUGAAUUAGAACACGGACAAGAAUUCACAACAGACACACCGAGUCGACUCGGAAUCUCCGAAUCAUCCGUACCAAAGCUAGAGCUAGUAGCAAGAAGUGUAGAAGAAGAAGAAGAAGACUUCCCAGAGCGCUUUCUCCGAUCUUUCUUACCACUCACGUUCUUCUUUUUGUUGCUGUUCUUCUUCUUCUCCAAGCUAUCUUCGAAAGCGUCGAUGAUUUCGUGAAUAAGCUGACGACUCGGUGACGUAUCCCAUCUGACCCAGUAACUCGUGUAGCAGCUGAAACAGUCACAGUGGAAGAGAGGCGAGUGAUGGUCGAAAUGGGCUUUCUUGUGGGCUUUUGUCUUAUCUAGACGAGAGCUAGGGUUUCGGUCGCCGGAGUAAGUAGCGGUUGAUAUGAGAUAAGCCAGAACUUCACGGUCUUCCGGAGAGAGAACCGCCGCUAGUGAGAAGAUAGCGACCGGAAGAAGAGAUAAAAGGUUUUCGUCGGAUUUUAUCUGCGGCGGCGACGGGUGUACGGUUCCUUUCCUGUAGAGCUUCUUCAUAUUGUAGUUUUCUAUGGAAGAGAGAGAAUGAAAAAGGAGAGAGAGAGAGAGACUUGUGUAAGAAGAUGUUAUCGAGACUUUAAAUACCGAAAGGUUUAUUAGGUUUUGUCUGUUUCGGUAUUGUUUUAUAGUUAUUGUCUUUCGUCUUAAAAAUCCACCGUCUUAACGUUUGUUUAGUGGCAAAACUAGGUUUAAGGCUUAAACCAUUCGACCAUUUUUGAUUUUUCAUCAAAUUGGAUAACAAAAUUAGCCAAGUAAAAAAAUGUUUAAAGUUUUUAUUUGUUUCUAGACCAAUUAACCAAUUUUGACGGCUGGCUUUAUAAGACCAAUUUACGAACUUAACUCAUCUUUAUUGGAUAGACAUUAAGUCAUGUUCCGAUUAAUGCUUAUCAAAUUUUUUAAGCAUUAACUAGAAUUUAAUUUAUGAAAUGAUCCUAAACUGGAUAAAAUCGUUAAAUAGAUGAGAAUCAAACGCACCACACUCGAAUAAUCAGUUCAAUGGAAACAUUGAAUGAGAUGUUAAUGAGAUAAGUUGGUCUCCACUUCUUCCGAUAUAGUGAUAUACUAAUAACAGUUGUUUCAUUAUUACAACUCUGAACUGAAUCUCAUAUAAGCUACUUUUCCCGAUCAAGCCUUUGAUAUUUUAGUUUAUCACUAAACAAAUCGGGAGUAGUCUUUUACUCUUUUGAUAUGUAAUCGUGAUUUCGGAAUCUGAUAGAGCCAGGCCAAUAACGGGCCGAAGGUGAAAAGCCCAUUAAAAAUGUUGCCUAAACAGAAUAAUAUAGACCACUACAACUUAAAAUAAGUUGGUAGUAGCCAAACAAACACUUUGUAGAUAAUUGCUUCUCUAAUAAACCCCCAAAACUUACCUAUAUUUACAAAAAUAUUGGAAAAAAACACUUAAACAUCAACUCAUAGAGCCUAUACUUUUUACUCUAGAAUACAAUAUCUACAACCCGACUACACUGUCGUUGAAAGCCACCGUAAGCCGUCCAACCUUCAAACCACUCCUCUUACUCUCCCUCUCUUUAAAACCAUUAAACGGUGUGGUUUUAACCAAUUCUUCAAACCCUAUGCGCGGUCCACAGUCACAGCUCUUAACCCUACUCACCACUUCGUUAGAGGUUCGUUUGUAGUGACCGAACCACUUGGCUUGCAUAUAACCGUUCCUUCUCCAUGGCGGCACGAAAAUCUCCGCUCGCUUCAUUGACCGUCUCAUCUCAAAGCACAUGAUCCUCACAAGCUGUUUCAGCUCCUCAGGUGUUCCCACAAAGACACGCGGCAGUUGAGCUAAGAGGGAGAGGUAUCUUGUCGUUGGCCUAGCAAUCUCGAACUCUCCGGCGAGAUUUGUCUCGACAAUGUAACGUUUCUUAUCUCCUGCUAUCACGUCGACGUACUCAUACUUCCCGGCCGUGUUCUUACCAAAUUUCUCCCACCGGGACUUGCAGAGACCUAUACACAUAGAAUCAUCUUUUCAUUUCAGUAUAUUUGCACAUUUAAAUCCAAAACAUGUACAUAUCAAAAAUGUGAAUAUUACAAGCUUACAACAUCAUAUAAGAUUAAAAAAAAUUAACAUACGAUAAUUGUUCUUAAACAAUCCAAAGAUUUUUUUUGGCACUAAAUCUCACUAAAUUUCAAAUGCUUAAGUGUUAGGAUACAACAUUUACAUCUAUAUAUAUCCUAAUUAGGGAAAAAAUACUUACAGUAACCAGGAACGCUUUAUAAGAAUGAAAUGACAAAUCAACCUCAAAGCUAAAAUGUGCUACUCUAUUGAUAAAAGCGGUUUUCCAAUCUCAAUAUCAAAUUUACUUCUUAAUCAUGUUUUGUAAUCUCUAAACCAAACAUAUUCCUUCCAGAGCUUAUUUGUUUUAGAUAGUUCAAGUACCUAUAAUUAAAAUAGAAAAACUCAAAUGACCAAAACUCUAUGAGCUUAGCUAGGUAGAAGAGUCAACAACCAUAUCUCAAACGGAUUUGAGAUAUCAACAAACUUAACCAAUCCCUCAAAAUCAAACACAUACGAAUGUAAUUUCAUGUAAACAUAAGAGUCAUAGAGAUCGUUUUUAUUACCUGCAUCAAACCCUUUGCCACGUAGAUAAGCCACAAGGUGACGUUUCUCUCCGACCACGAAACGACUAGCAUUAACCGCCUCAUCCACUAUCCUCCGCCGCUCUUCGCCUCCGUGAUUUUCAAGAAUCUCACGAAGCCUCUCCUUCACAUCUUCGUAAUCCUCAUCCGACUUAUCAUCUCCUUCCUCAGGAACCUCCUCAUAUCCCGCUUCCACUUCUCUGUCGAUAAAAGAUUCGACCAUAUCCCAAAGAUCCGCUGUGUCAUCCGGAGAGUGAUCGCUGCCGCUGCUGCUACCGUACGGAGGACGUGCACGCGCCGCCGCCACGUCGAAAGCCGCCGCUGUUCUUGUAAACCUUCCCCCAAUCUCUACCAUAUUUUAUGUCCUUCUCUUGAUUUCUCCUCUUAUUCGUCGAAUUGUAGUGUAUAUUUAUACACUCGAAUAUUAAUUAUUAAGUGAUGUUUUCAUUGUGUUGACAGCGACUUUGACUUUUUUGACGGCGUAAACGACAAAUGGUAAAAAUAUGACAACAGGAUGGUGAAAUGAUGUUGAAAUAGAGAUUAACGGCGUUUUGUUGGGUAACGGAGAAAAUAAUUACAGUUUUUGAGAUGUGCUAGCUUGAUUAACUUUUAGAUUCUCAAUUGUCACCACUAUAUUGGCCAAAUACAUUCGCUCUCAAACGAAUAAUAUUUAAAAAAACACUUAAAUAUUAAUGGUAAGUCUUUUUUUGUUCAACAAAAUAUUAAUGUUAGUCAAUUUUAGUAAAGUGAAUUGUUCUAGUUUCGGAAAAAAGAGAUGGAUAGUUCUAUAAUUGCUACUCGUUACUAAACUCCACUUUCAGAAAUAUAAGUAAAAUAUUUUCUUCUCUGUUUAUUCACUAAAUUCGUUUACAUUUUCAGAUUCUGACCUAUAAAUUAGAAUAAUUUCUACUAUUUGACUAUUUUUGUUUUACUAAACGGAUGCCACUGUGGUGCCACGUGGCGAAUCGUGGUUAGACUUAGAUCUUUGGUCUUGUACUAUUAUUUUUUUUUACUUCUGUAGAUUUUGCUGAUGUAUGUUACAUCUGACGCGGAGACCAGAAGUAGAGAAAACUCAAAACACGUCCAAGUGCAUUGAAUUCGAAAAAUAGUCUAGGUUCAACGUAUCCAAGGUUUCUCUUCGUUCGUUUGGUUUGUCCAAGUUUUAAGAUGGUCAUGCAAUUAUUAGUUGAGUAUAUUAAAUUGUCACCGGUGAUACUUGAUACAGAUGGAAACUUAUCCAUUACACGUGAUGGCACUAGUUUUUGGUUUUGAUUUAUUUUUAGACAAAUCUCUAAUUUUGUAUUCACGUUUAGAGAAUAGAGAUUGAAGGGAAAAAAAAAACGAUUUUGUGGGCUUUUAUUGUAAAAUACAAUAUGUUGGGCCGAACUUUGACUCGUGGUGGCUAUAAUCCUGCUAGCUUUUGUGUCCAUUUUUGAGUAUACUGUAAAUGUGUAACUGUAAUGUGCUUGAACGUUGACCAACGAUCAUAUAUGGGUUUGGUGAUUAGUUCUGAAUUUAGUGCCACAAAACUUUUAUAAUCCUUAAUGAACUGAUCAUAUAGUACUAGUCUAAUUUGUGUGUGCCUUUUUUGUUUCUUGUCUAGUUUUAGUAUAAUAUAACAUGUCCAGAUAUAUUUUACAGUAAUCUCUUGCAUUAAUUGCAAACUUAUACACACUUUGUAUAUGAACAAGGCCUCUGUUGAUAUAGUUCAACGUGAGGGUCUGAGGCUCUUUAGGCAAUGUCAUUGCUUCAGGCGAAGUCAUUGAACCAACAAAACAGAGAAUUGACGAACAAAAAGUUAAUAUUUGUGAAUUGUGGUCAGUGGAGUAAAUCACAUUCAGACAUCACCUUAACCUAAAGACAUGGAUGAAGGCAAUUUUUUCUUCUUCUUUGAUCUCUUUCGAAAAUAUACAAAACCGACAUACUAGUUUCUUAUCAAAUUUACAAAGUCAUGAAGGAAGUAGUUUUGAGUAUAGACAUACUAUAAGUUGAGAAACAGUAGAACCAAUGUACAUUACUCACUGAAUAAAGAAAUAUACAUUUUGCAAACAUAUAUGAGAAAGACUAAUUAAAAUGACCAUUUUCUUUGAUUAUAUCUUUACACUUAUCAAGUUUGCUUGAGUUUAUGAAAUGUUGUUUGUUAUAGUUAAUUAUGGAGAUUUUCAGGGACAAAAAUCAUCUUCUCGAGAGUAUUUGAGACAACCCUAUAUAAACCCUUCAAUAUCACAUGAUGUACAAUUGUCAGAUUUGCUUAUUUAACUACCCACACAUUGCUUAAAUGUGAGGUAUUUAGCUCAAUUUAUAUAUGUCGAAUAUAACCACAUAAUGUAUCUUUUGAUUGUCUUUAAAUUUUUCUUUGAUCAGGCGAAUGCACAACUUUUUCUGUGAUUUCGCUUCGGUGAACUUUUACCCAGGGGGUCACCUAUUUUUAAGUACCACUUUGAGAUUUCUUGGUCAUAGGUAUAUAUCUACGUGGCUUUUAAGACACUAUAAAGAAUGAAAUCAAAUAGUUUAUGAUCACCAUAUAUACAUGAUACUUCAAAUUAUUCUACAAGCCAAAAAAAAGAUAUGGACCAUGCGGUUUUAUGUUAGCAACUCACCUUUAGGAAGACUUGGCAUAACUGAUGAACAACUCUUAUUCAUUGGAUUGAAAGAUCUAAGGAAUGGUUAUAUACACGUUUUGUGACAGACAUGCGUCCAAGUUUUGUUCCCAUUUGGUCGUGCGUCCAGGUUUGUCUUUCUUUGACCGCUUCUAAUUCCAUAGAUCGUGCAGUGCUGUCAUUUUGAGUUAUCAACAUACAUAACUCUAUAUUUUGAAACAUACACCACUCCAUCUUUUAUAUGAUUUAACGUUGACGGCUGAUUAUUAUAUUAUACAACAGCAAAGAAUCUUUAGGAACGUGCAUCCAAGUCUGAGAAACUCAGUGACGAUGGUUAAUUUCAUCUCCGCGCAAAGGUCAGCUCUUUUGGUCUUCUCUACGUUUCCCUCAACGUGUAAACAUGUCACCAAUUGACAAAUUCAGAUUUAAGAAAAAAGUAAGGAAAACUGGAGAGAGAAAGUGAUACGACUUUUUGAAUUUCUAAACUGUUUUAUAAAGAUGAAGCACAUAGAGAUAUUAGAUGUUCAUAAUUAGCAAAAUUGGGUUUCUUGACCCAUAAGCAAUGUUGUUCCCUCCUAUCCGUUCCUUCUUCUUCCUCUUCCUGUUGUUCUCCUCCCUUUGUUUAUCACAGAUCAAAGCAGACGACGACGAUGAAAGCGGCUUGGGCAGUCAUAUCAAAGUAGACAAGCGUCUCAAGUUCGAGAACUCGAACCUACGUGAAGCCUACAUUGCUCUCCAGUCAUGGAAACAAGCAAUCUUCUCUGAUCCUUUCAACUUCACAGCUAACUGGAAUGGCUCUGACGUUUGCUCCUACAAUGGAAUCUACUGUGCCCCUUCUCCUUCAUACCCUAAAACCAGAGUUGUUGCAGGCAUUGACCUCAACCACGCUGACAUGGCUGGUUACUUGGCUUCCGAGCUUGGUCUCCUUACCGAUCUCGCUCUGUUCCAUCUUAACUCAAACCGUUUCUGCGGCGAAGUCCCUCUCACGUUUAAGCGUAUGAAGCUUCUCUACGAGCUUGAUCUUAGCAACAACCGAUUCGUCGGUAAGUUCCCUAAGGUUGUCCUCUCUUUGCCUUCCCUUAAGUUCUUGGAUCUCCGCUACAACGAGUUUGAAGGCAAGAUCCCGUCAAAGCUCUUCGACAGAGAGCUUGACGCUAUAUUCUUGAACCACAACAGGUUCCGGUUUGGGAUUCCCUCGAACAUGGGGAAUUCCCCUGUUUCCGCUUUGGUUCUUGCGGACAACAAUCUCGGAGGAUGUAUCCCUGGAAGUAUUGGUCAAAUGGGGAAGACACUCAACGAGCUUAUCCUCUCCAACGACAACUUAACCGGUUGCUUACCUCCCCAAAUCGGAAACCUCAAGAAAGUGACAGUUUUUGACAUCAGCUCAAACAAUCUACAAGGUCCGUUACCAUCUAGCGUCGGCAACAUGAAGAGCUUAGAAGAGCUUCACGUGGCUAACAAUGGCUUCACAGGAAUCAUUCCUCCAAGUAUCUGCCAGCUUUCUAACCUUGAGAACUUCACUUUCUCUUCCAACUUCUUCACCGGUCGUCCUCCUCUAUGUGCAGCUACUUCGUUAGUCGACGCUGUAGUGAACGGCUCCAUGAACUGCAUCACCGGUUUGGCUCGGCAAAGAUCGGCUAAGCAAUGCUCAUCUCUGCUUGCUCGUCCUGUUGAUUGCAGUAAGUUUGGAUGUUAUAACAUCUUCUCUCCACCACCACCAACGUUCAAGAUGGCACCACAGUUCCGGACACUUCCUCCCCCGGUUUACGUGUACUCAUCCCCUCCACCACCGUCAUCCAAGAUGUCGCCUACCGUCAGAGCAUACUCUCCUCCGCCACCACCGUCGUCCAAGAUGUCGCCUACCGUCAGAGCAUACUCUCCACCACCGCCUCCAUAUUCCAAAAUGUCGCCUACCGUUAGAGCUAACCCUCCACCACCGCCUUACGUAUACUCAUCUCCUCCGCCACCUUAUGUGUACUCAUCUCCUCCACCACCUUACGUAUACUCAUCUCCUCCUCCACCGUACGUAUACUCAUCUCCGCCUCCGCCAUCACCAUCUCCUCCUCCACCGUACGUAUACUCAUCUCCGCCUCCGCCUUACGUAUAUUCAUCUCCACCCCCGCCUCCUCCAAGUCCACCUCCGCCGUGUCCUGAAUCGUCUCCGCCACCGCCUGUUGUAUACUACGCACCCGUGACUCAAAGCCCGCCACCACCAUCGCCGGUAUACUACCCACCAGUAGCACAAAGCCCGCCACCACCGUCGCCGGUAUACUAUCCACCAGUAACAAACUACAGUCCUCCACCACCAUCACCAGUAUACUAUCCGUCGGAAACACCAAGUCCUCCACCACCAUCACCAGUAUACUAUCCGUCGGAGACACCAAGUCCUCCGCCACCAUCACCAGUAUAUUAUCCGUCGGAGACACCAAGUCCACCACCACCAUCACCGGUAUACUAUCCGUCGGAAACACCAAGUCCCCCACCACCGACUGAGUACUACUAUUGGCCAAACCAGUCACCGCCGCCAACAAAGGGAUGUAAAGAAGGCCAUCCACCACAAGCAUCACCGAGUUACGAACCAACUCCUGAAUAUUCAUACUCAUCAUCACCCCCACCGUCUACUCCAUCAUACUCCGACACGUCUCUUCCACCUAUUCCAAGUGUCUCGUAUGAUGCGUCUUCUCCUCCUCCUCCGUCUUACUACUAGUUUCAAAACCAUUGAGAACAAAAAAAAAAAAUGCAUUAACGACUACUCACAAUUAUAUUCUUUUGGCUGCGAGACUUUUAAAGUUGUGUGUUUGGUUGAUUUUUUCUAAAAAAUACAUUCGAGUUAUUUUUCUUUCUAUUUCUUCUGGAUAUUUUGUUAUCUUUUUUCCCCUAACACAGAGCUGCAUUUAGCAGCAAUGGAGUAUAUAGUUUCAGUUUUAUCUAUCGUAUCUGUAUUUGUUAUUAAUGUCAUUAAAAAAUGUUCUGUAUAAAUAAUAAAAAUAAUAAAUACACACUCAUUUAACAGUUUCUUUGUACCUCAAAAUUAAAAAUUCAGUUUUAAUUUAGUAAAAAAUGUAAAUAUGACGUCAACUUCUCAGUGUUCAUCUCAAGAACGGCAGCUUAAAAAAAAAUCUAUACGCUACCUACCACUUCGAAACAACUGUCCUCUCUUUCUAUAAGCUACUGGAAUUUGGGAAUUAGCUUGGGAAACUUCGCCGGAGAGUCAUACAUCGUCGCAUUCUAGUGUCUUCAUGGCGUUGCUGAAGUCCUUUAUCGAUGUUGGCCCAGAGUCGCACUUCCCUAUCCAGAAUCUCCCUUAUGGUGUCUUCAAGCCGGAAUCGAACUCCACUCCUCGCCCUGCCGUCGCUAUUGGCGAUUUGGUACUGGACCUCUCCGCGAUCUCCGAAGCUGGGCUUUUUGAUGGUCCGAUGCUCAAGGACGCUGAUUGCUUCCUUCAGGUUCGUUUUUCUCGAUUCCUAUUAACUCGGAUUACUAUGUAGUAGUUACCUGGGAACGUAUCCGUGGAUGGUUUCAAAUUUGGUAUUUGAAUCAUAUACUUUCUCUAGUUUACUCCACCGUUAAAAUUGGUGAGUAGCUCUGGAUUGCGUCACCGACCAAUUAUUCACUGUAUUUAGCCAAUUUCGUUUAGCUCGGAAAAUUCUGAUGUUCUUCUAAAUUUCUCGUUGCUUCAGUUGGUACACUUUGAGUUUUCUGAUCACGGUUCUGAACUUUUGCCAACCAUGAUUGAUGGGUCUGAUGUGAUAUUUCCCUUCUUUUAUGAUCUGAUGGUUAUAGUUUUGUGCUUACACUAAGCUAUUUCUUUAUAAGGAUGAGGUUCUGUUCAUGUUCUAGUCAAUCUCUUUGUUUGUUAAUGUUUUAAGUUUCUGUGGCUCUGUUUACAGCCUAAUUUGAAUAAGUUCUUGGCCAUGGGACGGCCUGCGUGGAAGGAAGCGCGUUCUACGCUUCAAAGAAUUUUAUCAUGUAAGCUCUGUUUGAUCAUAUUGAUUCGUGUAAAUUAUGCGUGGUUUGUUAUUUGGCUUUUUAAGGUUUGGGUUUUUGUAUGUUUUUGAUGCAGCUAAUGAACCCAUCUUACGAGAUAAUGAUGUUUUGAGGAGAAAGUCAUUCUAUGAGAUGGUUAGUACAGAAAAAAAUUUGUUUCUGCAACAGGCUAGAUGAGAUUGUUUGAAGCUAUUUUACUAAUGAUGUCUUUGUUUGGUGAGGAUUUGCAGAAUAAAGUAGAAAUGAUUGUUCCUAUGGUGAUUGGGGACUAUACAGACUUCUUUGCAUCUAUGCAUCAUGCAAAGAACUGCGGACUUAUGUUUCGUGGACCUCAAAAUGCAAUGAACCCAAAUUGGUGCGUUUAUAUUACUUUUGAGCUGAGAGUUUUCUUCAUGAAAUGGUCAAGAUUAGGAAAGGCUGACUUUGCAAAUUUUACAUGACAUUACCAUGUUUUUCAGGUUUCGUCUUCCCAUCGCAUAUCAUGGAAGGGCAUCAUCGAUUGUCAUCUCUGGGACCGACAUUAUUCGACCAAGGUUAGGCAAUUGUGUGUUUAUUAUCUGUUUUUUGGUUUUUAUACUGAGAAUGGUUGUUAAGGAUUCACAUGUCAUAUCUAAAGUCAUGCAUCAUGCAAGGUUUUAUGCUUUGACAAUAAAAAUAGUUGUUCUUAAUUUGUGAGAAUAUAUUGAAACUGAUUUGGAAAACUCAAUACUGAAAUGCUAAUUCCAGUUUUAUAUUAACUUGUUUUGUAAUCUUCAAGAGGUCAGGGCCAUCCACAAGGAAAUUCUGUCCCAUAUUUUGGACCAUCUCAGAAACUUGAUUUUGAGCUUGAAAUGGUAAGCAUCUGAUGCCUCAGUUAUGUGGAUUCUCUUAAGAAUGAUUCAAUUGAUGCUAGUUUGUGUUACUUAAGCAAAUCUCUCUUUUGUCACAUGAUAUUCAGGCUGCUGUGGUUGGUCCAGGAAACGAAUUGGGAAAGCCUAUUGACGUCAAUAAUGCAGCCGAUCAUAUAUUUGGUCUAGUGCUGAUGAAUGACUGGAGUGGUACUUACUUGAUCAUAGUAUUUGCUGAGUCAUCCAUUUAAGUUGACCGUGCAUGACCGGUUUUAUGAAAUGCUUGUUGUUAACUUGUUAUAGCUAGGGAUAUUCAGGCGUGGGAGUAUGUGCCUCUUGGGCCUUUCCUAGGGAAGAGUUUUGGUGAGAAAUUAGUAUCCAAGCUUGAUAUUGGGCUUCAAAACUUCAAUUUCGUUUACUCUAAUUGGAGUAUUUGAGGAAGGAACUUCAGUGAAUGUUGAUUUGUUGUGUUGUAGGGACUACUGUAUCCCCUUGGAUUGUUACCUUAGAUGCGCUUGAGCCUUUCGGUUGUCAAGCUCCCAAGCAGGUUGGUACUUAGGCAUCACAUUCUUCUUGGUGCAAUGCAAUCAUUGAUUCUCUAAUCUAACAUAUGCUUUUUGCAGGAUCCACCUCCAUUGCCAUAUCUGGCUGAGAAAGAAUCUGUAAAUUAUGACAUCUCUUUGGAGGUAGCAUUCAAUAUUUACCCGUAGAGUUUAAUUUGUUUUCACUAUCAAGUAUCAACUAGCUUAUGGUGGAUUAAAUCAAAAAUAAACAUGAUUUGUUUCUCUGCUUAUAGGUUCAACUAAAACCUUCUGGCAAAGAUGAUUUAUGUGUAAUAACAAAGAGCAACUUCCAAAACUUGUGAGUUCCUCUUACCCAGUCCCUCUAUAAUUAAUCAGUAUGAUUCUAACUCAUUUAAACUUAUGUUGACAGAUACUGGACUAUCACGCAGCAGCUAGCACAUCAUACAGUUAAUGGUUGCAAUUUGAGGCCUGGUGAUCUCCUUGGAACGGGAACUAUAAGCGGACCUGUAAACUCUUUCAAACCUACUCACUUCUCUGCUUAAGGAUGUGAUGGCUAAAAAUAACAAGAAGGAUAUGUGUUUCUUGAUUCUUAACGUAGGAGCCAGAUUCAUAUGGGUGCCUACUUGAGUUAACUUGGAAUGGACAGAAACCUCUAUCACUCAACGGAUCAACUCAGACAUUUCUCCAAGACGGUGACGAAGUGACCUUAUCAGGCUUAUGCAAGGUAUCAGCUAACUAACAGAAGUUUAGUUUUUGUUUUAUGUCCCAACAAUUCCAGAUGAUUAUGAAUUUGCUUGCUAAUCAAAUUACGGCAAUGAAUAAACCGGUUGUAGGGAGAUGGUUACAAUGUCGGAUUUGGAACCUGCACAGGGAAGAUUGUACCUGCACUCCCUUGAUCUGCUCUCGCCGGUAAACAUACCUUUAUCACAUUAAUAAUUAUUUUCCUUAGAACCCUGAAUUAUUGUAUUAUUUAGACCAAAUUUUUAAAAAAUUCCCUUCCUUGCAGGAAAAAUGGUGAAAAAUAAAGAUUUCUGUAAUCACGAUUACGCACUUGGGGUAUGAAUAAUGGAAUAUAAUUAAGUAGAUAACCCCAUCAUCGGAUUAAUAAUAAUAUCAUCUUAAUAUGUUAUUCAAUCUUUUAUAAAGAAAGACAACGGAAUAUUAUUAACUUUCUACAUAAAAAGCUUUAGCAACGGUCGGUCACAAAAACUUUGAAUAAUUUGGUCUUUACUCUUACUACUUACACUAGUGAGUGAGUUAUAAAUUUUUAUUCAACAUUAUCACGAGUAAUAUAUGAGUCAAUAACGACCACCGUCAGAGAAAUUCUCAUCCAUAUCCAAAAAAAAAAGAAAGAAAAAAAUGAGAAGUGCGAAAAAAUUCUCAUCGUCGACAAGAACCACCACCGUUAACCACACUUUUUAUAAUGACCAAAAUACCCCUCCAGCUACAUCAUCCAAACAAGUCCCGAUCGAAACUCCAUCACCGGCGGCGAAAGCCACCUUCAAGACUAACUCCACCCCCGCCGACGCAGCAGCGAGGAUCCAGUUCGGCUACCGCUCUUACAGGAUCCGAAACCUAUACAAGACAAUCGCAUCCGUCAAUCGAGAAGCGAAUCGCGUGCAGAGCAUGAUCCAACGGCAAGAAACGGUCGACGCCAUUAGAACCGAUGAGAAGGAACGUCUUCGGAUGAACGAGACUCUAAUGACUCUGCUCCUAAAACUCGACUCCGUUCCAGGUUUAGAUCCGUCGAUCAGAGAAGCGCGGAGGAAAGUGAGCCGUAAGAUCGUGGGGAUGCAGGAAAUACUCGAUUCAAUCUCGGAGACAAACGACGAGAUCCAAUGGUGGAAUUACAACGAUCUCGGAGGAGUCGACGCCGGGCAAGGCGGCGGCACGUGGCCUUUGUAUUGGGAAGAAGCGGUGGAGGAGGAGAUGUGUAGAGAGAAAGGCGGUGAGGAAAUGGAGAGGUUCUGUGCUCAGUACUUGGGUUUCAGAUGUUUCCAGAGAUUUCUCCGAGAAUGAACUACGGCGGUAAAAGAAACUAAUCGCGUGUGUCGCGGUCUACGAUUAGAUUCUCUAUUUUACUCCGUUUUUGUAUGUAUGUAAACUGGAAUACGUGCCGUCUUUACUACAUUCAUGGAAACGUCGCGUAGUUUUUAUAUAGUUAUUGUCAUGGAUAAUAUACGAAUUACACAAUUACGGUCUCCAAAGUCCAAACUCAAUUUUAGGCCUAUAGUACAUACUACAUAGUAAUGCUAAGAAUUAAUAAAUUUAAUGUAUGUUAGAAAAAAAUUAAGAGAUAAACUUACAUAAAUAUGUGAUUAGUGAUGUUUAUAUGAACUAUACGAAUUGAAGCAUUCAACAUAUAUGAAGUUAAAAUACAAAAGAUCCAGCAGUUGAUACAUUAUUAUUUCCAAACAUAAAAGAGAGGAUUAAAAGUCGAAUUUUCGUUCUUAAGCCGCGCAACUACACUUACACCUAGAAACGCAGCGUUUACACUCGAGCAGUGAGGGCUUGGCCGCGGUGUCGCAUCCGCACGUAGUGGUGCAUGUCUUCUGAGUCACACCACCCCAAAGGCAACGAGCCAUGCAUCGGAGCACCGGCACACACUUAGGACAAACGUAUUUCAUUUGCUCCGCCAUGCAUGUCUUGCAGCUGUUUCGUGACGGCGGGUGCCGGCAGACACCACGGGAACCGGCGGCGGCGGUGACUUUCGAAAUGGAUAGCAGGAGGAUUAUGAGGAAGACGAGAGAAGAGAAGAGGCUUUGAAAUUUGUAGGUCUUCUUCAUGUUGGAUUUUGGUUUUGGUUUUGUGAGAGAGUUGAAUAUUUGAUAGAGGUUUUAUUCGAAAAUAUUUCUGUUGAUUAGGUUCGAGUGACUUCUACAAGAGUUAAAAUACGAGUCUGAUAGUGCAGUACACCAAGUUGCAUUUAAGUGAGACAUUCAUUGUUCUUGAAGUGUACAAUUUCCUUAAAUGCCUUCUUCAAUCUUUUUACAACGAAUAAAAAUCAUGUGUUAUAAUAUUCAUGCUUGAUGAAAACAAAGUAAAAAAUUCAAUCGAUCUCUAGCUAGUUUGCAAAAUAAAAUAUAAUCUGAAAAUAGUAACUUACAGAAAGCCAAACAAGCAAAUUGUCUAUAUCAAGUGAGAUGACGAAUCAUUAAAAAAUAUAUUAUUGAAGAACUAUAUAUAUUUAACAAAUAUGAACUUAUGAAAGAAUUUAAAUUAAAGAGCAAAUAAUAAGUUGAAAAAAAAUUUGAUUAAUAAUAUAUAAAUUUGUUCUCUUCUUCCAGUAAAUUAUAAUGGAUCACACCCAGUUCUUGCGAAUGUCGAAGGUGUAGUUGUUCUCCAAGUAGCAUUUAUUAUCAUCAUCCACGAACUGCAAAAAAGUUAUAAGACCUUUAUUAUAAAUCCAUUCUAAACCAGAGUUUUGAUACACUACGCCUAACAAAAAAAAAAAAAAACAAACAAAACUUAUGUACCUUAGAUUUAACGGAAUAGGAGCCUCUAACAAGCAAACCAGAGGGAGCCGUUUCCUCAAACAUGACAUGAUCGUACGGUUCCGCCUGUGGACUAUACGUCCCUAGCAUCUCCUUUCUACUAUACACUAUUCUCCACAAAGAGAUAUUUAAAACUGUUUAGACAAAGGCUUCUCAAACUUGUGUAGUUAACAAAUGUGUAAAUGACAAAAACUAAUACCUUUGAUUCCGGUUUUCCAAACCGUAUUGCUGUACCGGAGGCCGGACACAAUGUUGUUGGUGACACGGAAAGUAAAUAUGAGAGUGUACUUCGAGCCUUCUUUGAGAGUGAACCAUGGUCCUUUCGAUGUUGGUUUUCCAUUUUCGGGGAUCUUUAAUACCAUGUCUUCUCUGUCCGGUGACCUAAUUGUUAAUGUCAAUAUCUUUACCACCGGAUCCGGAGUCUCUGCAUUCCACAAUUUCUUACUCAAUAUCAAAACAUUACAUACAUAUCUAUAUAGUUUCUUUCAAAAACACAACAUUCAUUGUGGGACAAAACAAUUACACGUAUCUAUAUACCUAAGUCUAAAAAGUGACACAUCUUCAUCUGUUAAAGAAAUGUGGUUACUUGGUCUAAUCGUAUCUUACGUUAAUUCACUCAAAAAUUAAUGGAGGCAAGAAAUGCAUGAAAAUAUGGGACGAAUUUACAGUUUUUACAAUCAUUAGAAAUUCUCUAAACAGGAUCCAUAGCUAUGAUAUACUCGGAUUUUUACCUCCGACCUCCUCAAGAUCCACGCUGCCUAGAAGUUGCUCCUUCCAUCUCCUCAAGCUUUCAUCAUCCUAAACAAAUUUUUAAUCGUAGGGAAGUGAUUAGAUUGUCGUGGAGAUAUUGAAACCCAAAUCCACCCGUUAUUAUACAGGCAAAGAUAUAACAUAUGUGUACUAAACAUAUAUAGCCAAAAAUCGAGGUUUUUGUAAUGUAUGAAAUGAUGAUAGCAGGAGGCUAUGAGAGAUCAAAUUAAACCUUGUCUUUCUCGAGCUGUUCUUUGAGAGCAAUCAUGGGACCAAGUUCAAGUUUCUUGUCUUCCUCUUCCUCAUCAUCAUCUGUUGGACACAUAGAGCUAUGGCUGUUUUUCCUGCUUAGCCCUUGUCCCUUUGGCUCUUCUGAAUACUCUUCAGCUUUCUUCUCCUCAUCUUUGAAACCCAUUUUUUGUUUUCUUGAUCUCUAUUCGUUCUCUGAUUGAAUUCGGAUCUUAUAAAGCGUCUACAGUUUGAUUUGAUUUCCUGGAGAUGGUUAUGCGCAACUGGGUUUAACGAGGAGACAACCAAAAACACUUCAAAAAGGCAGCAAAGAAAAUAGAAGAGGAAAUUAAAGAGCCUAAUUAAAGGAUUUGUUUUUGGUCAAAAGAAUGAGAAGAAAGUAACAAGAAGAGAAAUAUAGAGAACUAAAAUUAAGACAAUGAAAGAGAAAGAGUUGAUACUGUUUUUGUUUGAGGAAUGUUUAAAUAUGGAUUUCGAAGAAAAAGUCAUGUGAUGAUCCUUAAUUAAGACUUGUAGUCUUCCCGUUCACAGGAUUUAAGUUCCUUUUUCCUAAAAAUAAUUUGUACGAUAUAAUUAACAACUAUAUGUACAUGCAUGCACGUAUAGCUCGAUAUAAUUUGUUGGCCCAUUUAGUUAGGCCUCAAGCCCUAAGUCUAAUGGUAUAUGAACUUGGACAUCCACCACAAUCUUGUUGCUACUACAAUAUAUAGCAUAAAAAAUGACAUCAGUUUUUUUUUUUUUUUUUUUUUGUCAACAAAAAAUGACAUCAGUUAUAGCAUAAAACUAUAUUUUUGAGUUUUUUUUUGGCUAUCGGUCGAGCAAAAUCCGAACCAUUUCAGAUUGACACUUGUAUAUAUUUGCCUACUAUAAGAAAAAUGAAAAUUCGAAAAAGUUCAUCACCGUCAAGUCACAAGUGCCAACUAAUCUGGCGACGAUCGAAGAGAUUCCCUUCCUCUAAGAUAAACAUCUACCAUCAGAUUUAAAGCCUCUUUUCAGAAUCAACGGUGUGAAAAUCCAGACGUUAGAGAAAAAUAUAUAUUCAAGAGACACAUAUCCUUCACUUUGUCCAGCUUUAACGUUACACAUGUUCAAGGCAUGGGACGUUUUAUCAUAAUUGGGACACUAAAAGUGAAUUAUUUGCAACUUUCGUUUCAGAUCUACAUCAUAAAGAUUUAUCAAUUACGCUCGAACAACAGUAUCCAUUAAAAAAAAUCUGAACUUAGAAAUAGAUUGAUAGAUGCAUUACUAUUGUGUUAGGAUUGUAGUGUACUACUGUAGAUAUAUAUUACCAACCGAGCGAUAUGUCCCUCUCGGUGUUGACCUAUACCUAAUAUAUCUACUCAGUUUCUCCCUAUGUGUCUACCUAAAAAAUUUCCAAUUUUGUAACGUUCAUGGUUCAUCCCUUAAUGCAUUAUUGGUGUUUUUAAGUUUAGUUUCGGAUACAAUCAAUGGGGUCAACUGAAAUGGGGUCAUCUUAGCCGUCCAAACCCUUUUUACCAGCUUUUCUGCUGUGGUCAUUCUUUACAGAUUGUGAGAGUACGUGGCUUGUGGCUGUAUCUUCACUUUUUCUUCGAAACUGAAAAACCAAAUUCCUAGCUAAUCACACAAUUUGCUCUAUAUAUUUCCACAACUAAAACGUAUAUACAUGUUUUUUUUUUUUUUUUGGUAACAGGCUUAGUAUAUACAUGUUGUUUUUAAGGUUUCAAAACCUAGAAAAUUAUCGAAAGGAUUUAAGAAUAUGUAAUCUAAUUAAUCGGUUACUGCUUGUUGGCACCAUUAACAACGUAACGAACAUAAAAUAUACAGUAAUUAAUUAGAGAAAAACAUCAAUCACAUAAUUUGUUUUUUAUUUUACCAACAUCAGUAUGUUUACAUAAACGAAUCAAUCUUUCUAACUGACUGAAUAUUUAAGGUAAAAAGAUGAAUAUAAUUUAUAUAAAUGUAAUAUGUUUAAACUAUAUACUUAGCGAGAGACAACAAUGUCGAAAUUAAUCGCAAGUAUAUUUUUAUUUUCUGCUAUUUAAUUAUAUAAAUUAGGUAAUUAAUUUAAGAAUAUAAUUUCAAUGUUUAAAAAAAAAAAAUUAACAUAUUAACAAUAAUAUUAGUUAAUAUUAUAUUUCUGUUUUUUUGUUAGGCAUAUAGAUACCUGUUUAUAUAAAAGGAAAAGGAAACUAAUGUACAAGGAAGGGUCCCACAUUCACGACGAAUCCUACCUGGCUCACACUCACAUGGGCCCGCGUUAACUUUUAGCCACGUCAUCAUUUGUCAAAUAUAUAUAGUACCAAUUUAGUAGUACUAAAUAAUUUCUUUAGAAGGAUUUUUAUCUAUUUUAUUCAUAGAAAACACUUUUGAAUCGUCAAAAAUUUUAUUGACUCUAAUAGUAAAGAUUGCAUUAUCUUUCUCAGACAAUAAUCAAUCUAAAUUCCUUAAACAUGAUCAAAAUGUUGAAAAGAACAUCAUUAUAUAUAUACACAGUUAAUUCAUCAAGUAUAGUUCUUUAUACCUGUUUCUUACGUGGCAUGCUAUUAAACCGUAUGAUAAUGGUGUACGUAGAGUUCGAACGUCAUAGGAGAACAUUGCUCAUGAUUUUGGAUGAUCAACAGAAUAAAAGAUGGUCCACGCAUGCAGGCGUUUAAUACUUGCUUUAACUGAUGGGAUUUCUAAAAGAGGUCAACGUUCACAAAAGAGAAGUUCUAACGUUCAGUUUCAUAGGAGUUCCAACGUUAUUUACAUGAUAUGUUUCUUGUAACGUUCACCGGGCUAUAUAGGUCGCAGAAUAAGAGGAAAAAAAAAAGAACUUCUCCAAAAGUUCUUUUGCAGAUAAAUUUUUCUUUUUUGGUAUAAAAUAAAUUUAAAUUUCUUAGUUGAUUUUUUUUUUUUUAAAUUACAACUUGGUACGUAAUGGUUAAGUGAUGAUGUUCUAUGUUUAUGUGGCAUGAGGUGUAUAAUUGUACAAUUUGUUUUUUAUAUAAGGAAAAAAAAAGAUUCUUUCAUGUGCAAUACUCAUUAUCUCGAUAUAUUAUUUAAUGACAUUUAUUGUAGACAAGCAAAAAAAAAGAAACUAAUAAUUAAUAUAUAUUUUGUAACAAACAUUAUUGUAAAUCAUUUUGCUUCUACUAUAAAUACCACUCUCCCCUUGAUCAAUUCUCUUCACUCACCAAAGCAUCACAUUCACAUACACUUACACUUUCUUCUCCCCUUCUUAUUUCCCUCUUAAGCUUUUUUUUUCAUUUCGAGAUGGCCACCGUUGAGGUAUUGUCUUUACAUAUUAGUUACUUUAUAGUUCAGAUUAUAAAUUUAUAUCCGUACGUCAUAAUUUUCUGUAUUACUCUUUUUUGCUUAACGAUCAAAUUAUUUUAAGCUGAUCAUAAAAAACGACAUACAGUUUUUGUGUUUAAUGAGUGUGUUUUGGUUUACAGGUUGAACAAGUGACUCCAGCAGUCGUAGAGAACGUUGAGGUACCAACAAAGACAGUCGAGGAGCCAGUGGUGACCCAACAACCUGAAGAACCCGUCACCGCCGUGGCAGAAGAAGAAAAGGAAGCACCAGCCGUGGAAACGAGCAAAGAAGUGGUUGUGGAAGAGGCAGAGAAGAAAGAUGAUGAAACAGAGAAGAAAACAGAGGAGGAAGAAGUGAAGACAGAGGUGAUCACGGAAGCCCCCGCAGCUGUGGAGGAGGAGAAGAAAGCAGAGGAAGUAGUAGAGAAGGAGGAGGUGACAGAGGCUACAGCAGUUGUGGAGGAGGAGAAGACUGAGGCGGCGGAGGAGAAACCAACUGAAGUUGCGGCUGCUGAGGAAGUUGUCGUCGAGAAGGCCGAGGAGUGAAGAAGAAGGAAGAAGCUUUAAUUGAUGACCUAUAUUUGGUCUUAUAAGUUAUAUCGUUUUCUGCUAUUUUAAUUUACUUUAUCAUAAUCUCAUAUAAAUAUGUAAUUUCCAUCGUUUAUUUGGUUUGUUAUAAUGAAAUCAGAUGUUUGGGACUUUUUUAAUCAGAUGUUUACAUGCUUGAUCGUUCAUAACAUAUAGCUUCAAAGUAUAACCGAGAACAUGGAAGAUUAGAAACCGUUUCCGGUUGCGUUAUAUGUACAAGCAAACAAAAUAAUAAUUACAUAAACCUUUUCAAAAUAUUUACAUAAACAUUUUCAAAAUACAUAUAACAUUAUUCAGUUGUUUCAUAGAACUGUAUAUACUUGUCUUUAGCGUUUAGGUUUGCUACCAAUGUAAAGUUUUUAAGAUGUACUAUAAGAUUGUGAUUUUUAUUUGGAAAUUUGGAAAUAUUUUCAUAUUAAUUGUGAACGAUAACAAUGUUCCUAAAAUCGUUUGUUUCUAUCCCAAUUCAUCAAGAGAAUCGUAAGAGAAUUUCAAAGAGGUCAAUGAUGCAAUCUUGAAUGCAAAAGAUCUGAUAUUCUUGGUUUUUAAAUAUGAAUCAAACAAUGAUUAUAUUGAUGAUUUACCAAAAGAUUUUAAAUCUAUAAUCUUAGAGACGUCGACGAAUUAAAGUUAACUCUACUAGUCGAAACGUUUUAAAGCGACAUACUUACAAAAGAUUGCAGUAGAAUUAGUCAAAGACUAUAAAAUAUAACGCACAGUCAGAAUCUAUAUAAUGCGUUAUUGUUGUACCUGUCAGAUAGAGGCACACAAAAGAUGAUAAUCGUUUAUAGAAUUCACUUUGGUGUUGUUGGUUUUAUAUUGUUUGGGCCUUUACUCGAUCUGUAGGCAAUAAUGUUAUAUGAGCCUAGCCCACCUUAGCAUGCAAUUUCAUGGAAAUUUGCCAUAGAUUUCAUUUUCAUAUGUUCUAAUUCAUUUGAGUAAAUACAAAACCACAAUAAUUACAGAUCUAAUUGGAGAUGUGAGAAAAUGAUCUAUACACACACUCACACACAUUUAUUAGUUUAUCACAAGUGUGUUGAGCCUAUAUAUCUACAGUCACUGAAAUCUUGUGCUAUCGACAAAUGAUUAUAUUCAAAAUAUAUAAUUCACAAAUCACAAGCCAUUGCUUAAAGAUUGAACUCUGUUUAGCAAUAAUGAAAUCAUUGCAAAAACUUAACAAAAAAUGUACAUACGCAAAAAAAGAUUGCUCCAAUAUCCCACUAGUUUGUUUUUGGAAUUUAGCACAUCCAUGAGAGACAUGAAGUUCAUGAUUCAAAAAUACAAAAAGAUGGAGAUUGCUUCUAAAACUGUAUCUUGCUUAAUCGAUAUAUAAUUCACAUUAUAAAUGAUUUUGGAGAUAUUAUUCAUUGAACUAAGAGUAAGAAGAAAACAAAGAGAGUUCACGGGCUCAAUAUGCAUCCACCGAAAUUUAUUUAUAUAAUUGCUCCUUUAGGGACCAUCCAAGUCUGAAAUGACACGCAAGACAUCGUGACAGCAAACUGUUAUGACACAAACUCACAAAAAUGUAAUUAAGUUCCUUUGUUUUUAAAUGAAUAGUUUCUGUAUAUAUUUGAUUAAUUAAUUGGUUAUUGGAGUGCUAAAAAUAAGUGACAGAACGAUCGUGAAAGUGAUCUCUAGCAAUAUUUCCCUAGCAUUUUUUUCUGACUCUACGAACUAGCAUCGUAUCUGUUCCUUUAACUCAGAUAACGAUGAGAUUAAUAGUAACAUCAUUAUUUGUAUCAACACUAAUAAAUGAUAUAUAAUUGUUCUUCAUUUUUAUUUCUUUCCGUUUGAUGUUUUUAUUUUUUUUGAAAAAAGUCAUGAAACUAAAUUAGAACAAUGUUCCUCCGAAUUGGCUUAUUUAAUAGGCUCAUUUGAGUUGAUCUUAUUAAACAGUUGAACAGGAAAAAGAAAAAAAAAAUUUCUAUAGCCUCUAUAUAUGGCCUUGGUCACAAAACAUUCCUCGUCGAUUAUGACAUCCACUAUAUGUAUUAUUGUAUUUAUUCAACAAUUGACGGCCAAUUGCAAGCUGAACUCCUAAACGUCACGUUAAAUUACAACCGCAAGAGAUUUUAUAUAUAAUUAAUUUGUCCUUGAGAUUAAUUAGUACUUUAUAUUAAUUUUGUCUUCUUUGUUCUUUUUUACGUUUGUUUGCUUUGAUUUUGAUUUUUGAGGUUAUAAAUGUACAUAAAAAAACUAUCUUAAAACCCAAAAUAUUAGAUAUAUGAAGUGAAAUAUACGACCAAAAUCCGUUGUUGGAUAACGUUUUACGUACCGUAUAAUGAUACCGGAUUUAUAAUAAUUAGUCUUAAUAUAUGUACGUAAUAAUCUUGUAGCCAAUCAUAUAUAUACACAAACGAUUUUUUCUCCUUGGAAGUGCAUGUGGUUAGAGACCCAUACGUUUUCCCUUUGUUUAUGUACCUCAUUAUGUGAACUUUGAGGCUGGUUUGUUUUCCUGUAACUACUCCUCCAUGGCUGGAGUUUGAGCUUCUUUAUUAAAAAUGUUGGUUUACAAAAAAAAAAAAAAAAAAAAAAAAAAAAAAAAAAAAAAAAAAAAAAAAAAAAAAGAGACCCAUACGUGGUCUGGAAUCUUUCAACUUUAUUGAAGUGGUUACUACUUGCUACUAUCCCAAAAAGACGAAACAAAACAAAAACACACCUUCAUGUUUGUUCUUUAGGUCCUUCUUUCC